GUUUGUGUCUCUCUUUAUAUUCCACUAAGGUCGGUGAUCUUGAUGCCACACACACUCAGAUGUGUGUUCAUCUCCAGAUACUACUCCAUGCUACCUGCCCUUUUUGUUUUGUUCAAUAACUGGGUAUCAUAUCCCGGCCAGUGUGCCAUCUAUUUUGUGUUUGUUUCCUUCUAGUUCCAAAGGGGUCAUCAUGAUGUUACCUUCUUUCGAUAUGGUGCUUUGCAUGACAACUGUUGUAUGGUACCAUCUUGUUGGCCAAUAAAUACAUCUUAUCCUAUGACCCUUUGCUAUGACCCUUUGCAAAUAAGUACAAGAUUGUUAUAAGCGUCAAUACUCAGUAUAAUUGAUCGCUGCUGUGAGUUCCCUUUCAGCUUAUCGUAGGCACACAUUAUUGCUAGCACGGUAAAGACAACCAACACGAAUGAUGAAGUAAACGUAGCGGUACUUUUGUAUACCAACACCCUUACUUAAAUGUACUGGUGUCAUUCCCUACUGGCACAUAUAUUCUUAUAUGCUAGCCAGAUUGGAAAAUUAACCAAUUAAAAUAAUUAUUUCAAGAUAGAAAUAACUUAUCGGCUUCUCGAAGCAUGUGUAAUUUUAAUUCAAGGACUCAAUGGAAGUUGAAUCACUUCAUCUAGAUUGCCUUCUGGAUUUUGGUUAACUAAAUUUAACAUUUGUGUCGGGGGGAAAUAUUAACGAUUUUCUUACGCUCUCUAAUUAACGGAUACAAGGGCUAGGGCCCACCCCUAAUACCCAUAAUCUCCGCUAACAACACAUCCCAGAGGCACUCCGCUCCGCCUCGCCCGACUUCAGGGUCGCAGGGUCGGACGUGCCCGACCCCCCAAGGCCUCGCCUCGUCUCAGCCGAUGGAGUUCCGCCUCGCCCGACCCUGAGCCCAACGGAUCGGACGCGCCCGACCCCUCGAAGCAGGACUCCGCCUCGCCCGACCCUGAGCGCAAGCGGUCGGACGUGUCCGGUCCCACCUGACAGAGCUCCGCCUACCCGAAGGUACGAGCAGGUCAUCAGACGGAAGCGCGGGCUCUGUGAGUCCCCCUGGGCUCACCCAACCGAUGGGACCGCGCAAGCUUCCAGAUACAGUUCUGACACAUGGAGAGGCGCCCGCGUUCCUCGACAUGACCUGUCAAAAUGUUGGUCUGCGCACUGCUGCCACGACUGCACAGGGCUACACCUGCACCGUCCUACCCCACUGUGACAUCUGUCAUAGGGCACUCAUCGCUCAUACCAUCUAAUGGAGGAGGGAAAACCGCCUAGUUUUCCACGUGGGCUAGCAAGAAGAGCACGUCAGCCACGCCGCCCCGUCAGGGUGCAUGGCUACAGUGGUUGACCAUCACCCGCGACGUGCACAGUCACAGUGGCCAGUCGUCACCACCAACUUGCACAGCUACAGUGGUCGGCCGCCAUGCACGACUCGCGUGUCCGGCUACAGUGACCGACCGCCGAGUCACCGAUGGGACCCAACGGCAACCCCUAUCCCUUAGUAGCAGUACCGACAAGACGCAGAGACAAGAAGGGAAGACGACGUCUCUAGUAGCCCCACUUGCUUCCCUUUUUACCUUUCUACCUGUUUACCUUCCUUACUCCCGGCUCAUUUGUAACCUCUGUAUCCUCCUUGCACUAUAAAAGGAGACCAGGGGGUCUGAGGGCAAGGGACCCUCGGAGACCGAACCCCGAAUUCACCCAAGUACAAACCAACCGAACCACCAGACGAGAAAGACUCACAGAGAUCUGGGAACCAGCUUCCCUCUCUCACCUAUUUGUAGCCUCUACUCCAGACUUGGUACGAGUAACACGAGCAGCCACCCGCACUGGACUCCUCCGCCAGAAACUGGUCCAACCAGUCGGGUCCCUCCCCCUGCUCUUCGUCCUCAUCAUCCUCAUCAUCGUCGUCCUCAUCCGUUGCCGUGUCUGGCCCCUCCGCAGCCUUCAGAACUCCGCUGCAGCUUUCUUUUUCUUCCUCACCGUCUCCUUGUCCUUCCUCUUCUUCUGUGCUUCGUCGAGGAGGCGGUUCCGCUGCCUCUGCACCACGUCCUCUGGCACCGGUGGACGGGAGGCUGUGACAUGGUUUAAGUUACCCUGCAGAUUCGAAGACUCCGCGUCAGAAUAGCAAACCAGGAAAUGCAGGAAAGAAGAACGAGAGUGCAAAUUUCUAACCAGCAGGACAUAGGCCUCGUCCGGGCGCAUCGGAGGGUGCCCCGGCACCGGGAACACGACAUCCCUGUCACCCAAUGCAUCCCGGACACGCUGCUCGAUCUCGGCGUCGGCAAUUGCACCCGUCGCAAGGACGGUGCUGUGGUACGCCCCAACAACUCCGGCCCCGGUCAGGCCCUCCUCCUUCAGAAGGUUGAUGGCUUCGAGGAGACCCCGGAUAUUCUUCUUCUCCUUCUCAACAGGGCCAUAUGUCCACGUUCCCGGUGCCUCCACGAUGACGCGGCCAGUGAACUCCGUCAAGAGGACAUCGGGGCGGUUCUUCACAUAGAGCCACUGCUGAUGCCACCCUUUGUGGGAUGACGGGGUCUUCAUCGAUGUAUACUCCUUGGGCCGAUGGCCACAGAGGUGGAUGCCGGCACACCCCAUCAGCAUCGGAAUCGUCCGCGUCUGGUUUCCUCUCUUCUCGGUCCUCUGAUGAAGAGUGACAGCGAAGAAGUACUUCCACAGGGCGAAGUUGGGCUCGAUCCCCAGGUAUCCCUCCCAAAGCACGACGAACGCCGCGAUGUGCUGGAUUCCGUUGGGGUUGAGGUGCUCCAGCUCAAUGCUAUAGUAGUGCAGCAGCCCCCGGAAGAAGCGACUUGGGGGAACCGCGAACCCCCUCUCGUGGAAGUGCGCGAAGGAGACGAUGUACCCGUCCUCCGGCUGUAGCACGGCCUUGUUCCCGGGAUACCGCCACUCGUUCUCGGCGAUCCUAUCGCGAAGAAGGCCCUUCUUCACGAGACCGAUCACGCGCGCGGUGUUGAAGAUUGACCAAGACCUUGAAUCCAUCGCCGAGGAAGGGGAAGGCUCGACGGCGGUGGUGGAAAGGUGAAUGCUCUGGCUCGAAAGAGGAUGAAAAGUGAACAAGGAGGCGAGAAAGGCUGAAGACGAGUGCGGAGCGGAGCAAGCAAGGUAAGCUCUCUCGUUUUACAGGGGGCGUGCGAGAAACGAAAGGCGAACCGAACGCAUUUAUUGCGACGUCAGGUAUGCCCCAUCGCCUCCGCCUUUCUUCGGAAACCGUACGCAUGAUUUCUUUUUAACCGCAGGGAACGCUACGCCCCCUCGCCCCACGAGCCCGGUGUUUUUUGCCGCUUCGUCUCCUGGAGGUCAUGCGCACAACUUCCUCCACAAGCGGCCCAGGGCCCGCUUCAGGUAAAAAAGGGAUACAGAGCUGAAAACACUCUAACGGCCCAUUACGGUCCAGGGGUUCGAAGGCUGGCCCUCUAGAGGGUUCGACAUCCACCCCAGGACAUUUCUUGAGCAAGGGGUGAGAAGGGACGGGUCCGCUAGCGACCACUACCCUGGUGAACAAAAGCCAAGGGCGUCCCGACCUCACAUUUGAGUCUCGAUUGGCGUUUAAGUUCAUGGUUUUUCCCCGAAGAAAGGCAAAGUGCCCCCGGAUCCGGUUGAACAGACCUGGGAACUAUAUGAACUGGCCGUCCGAAAUCUGGAGUACGCCACCAGCUUGGCCCAAGCCGGACCCGCCCGAACAGGGACCGGGACUCCACUCGAACUGACCCGUUAGCAGCUCACCGAGCACCAUGGUUCGUCCGAUGAGGAUAACAUGGCACGGCUCACCCCCUCCGUCCCAACGAACGGACGCUGAGGGGUAACGACUAAAAGACGAUCCGACCUCUCGAUCGGUCCCCUGCAAUGCGCGGGGGCUCGAGGGCUGGAAUCACAACGAAACGACCAUGCGCAUGGUUACGACUCGGAAUUUUGAGGCAGGAAUGGUCAUUGAAACAAUAGGGAAUCUUCCCAAACCGUACCAUCCUCAGAACACUCUGGCUACCCAAAACUCCCCGGCCAGGCCAAACAAGCAAAACUUUUCUCCUGAUCAAAUCAAGGUACAUGUUAAACAAGACCCCUGACAAACACUCUGCCGAGAGCCAAUCACAGCCUCUGGAGGAGCACCUUGCUCCACCAAAGGCUCGGGGCCUACUGUCAGGGGGAAAUAUUAACAAUUUUCUUACGCUCCCUAAUUAAUGGACACAAGGGCCAAGGCCCACCCCUGACACCCGUAAUCUCCACCAACAACACAUCCCAGAGGCACUCCGCUCCGCCUCGCCCGACUACAGGGUCACAGGGUCGGACACGCCCGACCCCCCGAGGUCUCGCCUCAUCUCAGCUGAUGGAGUUCCGCCUCACCCGACCCCAGGCGUAAGGGGUUGGACGCGCCCAACCCCUCAAAGCAGGACUCCGCCUCGCCCGACCCCGAGCGCAAGGGGUUGGACACAUCGGAUCCCACUAGACAGAGCUCCGCCUCGCCCGAAGGUAUGAGUAGGUCAUCAGACGGAAGCGCGGGCUUUAUGAGUCCCCCCAGGCUCACCUAACCGAUGGGACGCGCACAAUUCUAGAUACAGUUCUGACACGUGGAGAGGUGCCCGCGUUCCUCGACAUGACCUGUCGGAAUGUUGGUCUGCACACUACUGCCACGACUGCACAGGGCUACAACUGCACCGUCCUACCCCACUGUGACAUCUAUCAUAGGGCACUUAUCGCCCAUGCCGUCUAACGGAGGAGGGCAAACCGCUUGGUUUUCCGCGCAGCCUAGCAACUACAGCACGUCAGCCACGCUGCCCCGUCAGGAUGCAUGGCUACAGUGGUUGACCGUCGUCCGCGACGUGCACAGCUACAAUGGCCAGUCGUCACCACCAACUUGCACAGCUACAGUGGUCGGCCGCCAUGCACGACCCGCGUGUCCGGCUACAGUGGCCGACUGCCGAGUCACCAAUGGGAUCCAACGGCAACCCCCAUCCCUCAGUAGCAGUACCGACAAGACGCAAAGACAAUAAGGGAAGACGGUGUCUCCAGUAGCCCUACUUGCUUCGCUUUUUACCUUUCUACCUUUUUACCUUCCUUACUCCUGGCUCAUUUGUAACCCCUGUGUCCUCCUUGCACUAUAAAAGGAGACCAGGGGGCCCGAGGGCAGGGGACCCCCGGAGACCGAACCCCGAAUUCACCCAAGUACGAACCAACCGGACCACCAGACGAGAAACACUCACAAAGAUCUGGGAACCAGCUUCCCUCUCUUGCCUGUUUGUAGCCCCUACUAUAGACUUGGUACGAGUAACACGAGCAGCCACCCGCACUGGACGUAGGGCUAUUCCUGCCCGAACCAGUAUAAACCUCGCGCCCUCUCGUACAACCAUCCAAGCCUUACGCGUAGAGAAACAAAUUUACUAAGCCGGUAGUCUUGACCCGUGAUUCGUGAGACCGACAAUUUGCACAUACAAAUGUUAAAGUACAAAUGUUAAAUCUAGUUACCAAGCAGAAUACGAAAUAGCGGGCUAUAGUGAGGCUAUAGCGGCGCUAACUGCUGCAACAACAGUGUUGUACUAAUUAGCAGGCUAUAGCGGAGCUAUAGCGGUUGAGCACAGCUCUACGCUAAAUAUCAUAGCCCUCAAUUUUGUACAUUGUAUAUACUAUAUAAAUCUAGUUAACAUUUAGUCUAAAUGUUAAAUCGAGUUACCUAAAAUCCUGAAAGCAAAAUGUAUAAAUAUAUAUCUUUUAGGGUAGUAUAAGCUUCGAUUCCUUUUGCUGCUCUGUUAAAUCUCAUCUUUCGUUGUAGCCCAACACUCUAGUAUUGAUUUUGCACCAAGCUUCUUUGAGCCGCUCUGCCCUCUGAUUUUGCUGCGUAGGGGAAUCUUUAUCAGGUUGGGCUACUUCCAGUCGUGCGAUGUAUACCUUUGUAUCUUCUAGAAGGUAGACAGAAAACCCGCGUUCUCUUAAGGCAACAACCAGAAGAUUCUGCAGCGCACGGGGCAUAUCAUUGUUGUAGAAACGACCUUUAGUAUCGAUCUCCAACCCCUUAUAGUACUGGUUUUGCAACCAGUACCGUUAUGUCGGACCUUUAGUACCAGAUCAAAUAACCGGUUCUAAAGGGACUCCUUUAGUACCGGUUGGUAACCAGUAUCAACUUGUUUUGCGGCCAAAAAAAUAAAGAAAAAAAUAGCCAGAAGGCUAGCACACACACACAUCCCACGAAAUAUGCGCGUGCGCGGUCCAUGGGAUUCGAACCCAUGAAAUCAAGCUGCGCGCAACCCUUCGUUACCAUCUCACCUUCAGUACCGGGUCAUAACACCACCCGGUACUAGUAUCGGAUGCUGUAAUGACUCGAUACUAAAAGGCCUCUAGGGACCCUCAAAUUUGGACCCGAUACUAAUGCUAACAUUAGUACCGGGUCAAAGUGCAGCCAGUACUAAAGCAUGGGACGAAAGGUCAUAUUUCUAGUAGUGUAUAGUUGUUGUGUAGGACUGACUUGGCUGUCCUCUCUCUUCUCCAUCCCAUUGGUCUUACGCCGCCGCUCGCACGCGAGCCGGCACCCAACCAGAGGAGUGAGAGCUAGGGGCGGGUUGGGAGGUGGGGGUAGCGACUGGUGGCUAGGGUGAUGGUUGAUGUUGGCGGGGUUAGGGUUUCAUGGUUUUCAAGCUACCUACGGCCGGCGAACCUAGAGGAGGAGGUCGACAUCAGCUGCAACCCGCGGUGGUGGUGGUUUGGCCGGCGCCCCAGGCGAGGCAGCGUGGGAGUGCUGCUGGCGGGUUGGUGUUGGCGCUCAUUAUUGACACAUUUUUAGUACUAUUUUGUUCAUGGAAUAACACUCAAACGUGCUGGUGCUGCUGCCGCCAUCGCCGCCCUAGCCAUAAUAUAAAGGCAAAAUUUGCUAGAGGACAUGCAAAAUGAUGCUAGUUUGCUGGAGGGCACCGUUGACCAUGUAAUAUGCUACAAGACACUCUAGUUGUUCUAGAGUGUAUCAAUUUGCUGAAAGACAUUGCUACGACUAAAAUAAUGUUUCUGGACUGAGUUGGAGAGAGAGAUGGAGUGAAAUGUCUGUUUUGCCCAUGACCCCACUGAUCAGAUCCUUCUUCUUCCACCCUCCUUUCUUCUUUCUUCAACCAUUACCCAGCUCUAGUGUGUUGCAGAUCUACGAGGGUGGCGGCCCGGGGCGAGGGGCAUCGCUUGCCCUCAGACGAGCGCCGCGAGCGACGGCGCGGGGGCAGCAACGGCGCGUCGGAACCUGACCGUUCGUUAGCUCCUCUCGCUGCUGGGGAAGGAGGGGGAGGGGCCAUGGACGGGGUUCCCUCGAAAACCUUAGCCUCGAGCUCAGGCGGCUACGCGCAGGCAGCACUAGGCUCUUCGCGGGGAGGGGGCGCGGCCAAUCAUUGGCACCCCACUGGUCCAAUGCUGAUGAAGAUGGUGCCAGCGUCGUGAAGAUGGUGCCAGCGUCGUGUGAGGACCUCUCAUCUCCUCGAGUUCCAUGGCCAGCACAGGUGAGCGUCCGCUACCACAAAACAGAGGUGUCGUGAGAGUCAAAAAAACUCAUGAAAAUAGCUAAAACCAUCAUGAAAAUAAUCCAUGACACGACACUCUAACGAAAAUCCUCUCACAAAUAUGGUGCCAUCAAAAUACCAUUUUCAUGAGAGUGAACUGUCAUGAUUUUAUUUCGUGAGAGUAUUUCCUAUCAAUGACCUCCACGAAAUACUUUGUGCCACCAGGUCUUCAAGAUCAUUUUCAUGAGAGCCGAACGUCACGAAAGGUCCGCCACAAAUGUUUUUCCUGGGAGCCUCUAACUCUCAUCAAAAGCAUGUGGGCCGCCGCGAAAAACAGCCUGACCAAAUGACAAUUUUCAUUUUCAUGUGCUCUUACCGCCAUGAAAAUGGUCAUUUUCAUGAGAGUUGAUGAAACAAAAAAAUAGUGCCAUUUUCAUGAGAGUUCAAGCAACCAGGAAAAGGCACUAAUAAACAUCCAGAUCCCAUCCAGCACACAUCCAUGCACAUAUAUAACCCACAUAUUGCUCCAGCAACAUCCAUGCAUAUACAAGAUCCAAAUGUCUUGGUAUGAACCUACAUGCAUGUGAUGAACCAGUAACCUGCAAAAAGAGCUCAUAGGAUCUUGUCCUCAUAUUGUAGCUGUGAAAUUCUUGCAAGUAGUGUUGCAAUCAGUUCACUUUGAACCAAAAGAGCUCAAAGGAUCAUGUCCUCAAAGUUCCUCUUAAAGCUUAUGGGUUUGCUGGUGGAACUGGAAGGGCUUGAUGCAGCAUGCCAUUCUGCAAUAGAGAAAAAUUUAGAAAGCUGUACUAGUUAAAAUUGGAUGCAGCAGAGACACAUGAAACUAGUAUUUAUACAAUUCUAUAUAUAUAAUAAUUUGUCCCCUAAAUUUUUAGGAUCCUCUCGACGGUGGUGAGUCUUCCAGUAAGGCAAUUGAAUGUCCAUCGUGAUAAAAUUCUCCUUUGGAUUUAUCAUCUUCUCAACCAGAAAUCCUAGGAGUUCAUCCUUAAGCCUUACCAGUUGUAAUUUGGAAAUAUGUGAAAGUUAAACGAACAAUUAAAAUCUAAGGAUCCUUAUCAUCAUUUCCAUACGUUUGCGAAUUAAAAUAAUGAAGGAUACAAUGUUAGGUGAAAAUUCAAGAAACAAAAUUUUGUAUAGAGAUAAUGGUCCGACAUUAUUACAAGUUAAAGUUGUUUUAAAUAUCCUUGUAAUCUUCCUUUGGUUUCCUCGACGAUUCCAAGACAGUAACCUUGCUUCUAUCAAUGAUAAUUAUAAGGAGAACCCAAUGAAAACUGUGUAUUCAUAUUAGAACUAACUAAGGUUAAUUCGGAUAGGAAAGGAAAUCAAAAAUAGAUGGUACCCACACUUACUUAAAGUUGUAGGGUAGUAGUAUGUAAUGCUUGUAAUUCUGUUGCUCCAAGAAUUUGUAUAUGUGGUUCAAUGUAGACUUUGGUUGAUCCUGUAUCUGCUGUUGGUUGAAUAAGUGUUUCUAACCAUUUCUAGCCGUUAGAACUGGGACUAAAGGGAGCUCUUAGUGCUGGUUGAUAUUACUAGUCGGGACUAAAGAGCCCCCGUUAGAGUUGGUUUUCGGACGUGGAACUAACCACUCCUUUAGUCUCAAGUCCAAAAAUGAUUGAGACAUUUGUUGCUGGAUGGAACACUAGUAGAGAAUUGGCUUUCGAUGCGCCCCCUUUUGUCCCGGUUUAAAGUUGGACUGGGACAAAAGAGGGUGCGCCACGGUAGGUAAAAAUGGAGGGGGGAGUUAGUCCCGGUUGGUAAUUGCAACCGGGACUAGAGGCCCCCCUUUAGUCCCGGUUGCAAUGGCUAGCUGGGGGGCGUCGGUGGCGGCACCUUUUUGUCCCGGUUGGAGUCUCCAACCGGGAUAAAAGGUCCACCCUUUUAUCCCGGUUGGAGGCUCCAACCGGGACAAAAAGUUUAGUCCCGGUUGGAGCUUCCAACCGGGAUAAAAGGGUGUCCCUUUUGUCCUAGUUGGAGCCUCCAACCGGGACUAAACUUUCAACCGGGACAAAAGGUGUGGUUGGAGUUUUUAACUGGGAUAAAAACUCAUCCCCCAUUAUAUACCAAGACAGAGGACUUUCUUCCUCCUCCAGCCCGAGCCAGUCCAGCACAUUCACAGAGAGUUGACCUUCACCUACUCUCCGGUGGUGCCGAAGCAAGGAGGUGCUGCCCGAAGUUUUUUCCCUCAUUUUCGUGGGAAUUUCACUCAGCUAACACAAGUGUUGUGAAGGUUUGCUACUUCAUCCUCGUUUAUGCUUUGAUUUAUGCUUUGGAGAUGGAAAGAUUAUUUGUUAGAAUGUGAUGAAGUAGAAAAUGGAGAGAAUAUUUUGAGCUAGAAUGUGAGGGAGAUUGAUGUGUCAUAUAUAGUAUGCAUUCUUGCAGUGGUUUAAGAAUGAUGCUACCUUGUCCAGACAAUUUAUCUUAUCAAAUUCAAUAUAGUUUUUCAAAUCCAUACUUGUUGAACUUGCAUACCGUGUUCAUCUCUACGAGGAUAUUCUCUGCCGAGCAGCAACGUAUGUCAAGAAGGAGGUUCGAUUCUACGAGGAAGAGUGGAUACGGACAUCGUGACCGUGUCCCCUUUUCCGUAGCAUCUAACCUCUUUCAUGAUGAAGUGCGGUGCCGCCCAGUUGAGAACAUGCUCGCGAGAUGAACACAGUAUGCAAGUUCAACAACUUCUGCAGUAGUAAGGAAAGAAUUUUUGUACAUAGAUGACUUCUGCUACUUGUUGAACUUAUCAAAUUCAAGAAGGUUUUUCAAAUCCAUACUUGUUGAACUUGCAUACCGUGGUCAUCUCGCAGAGGAUGUUCUCCGCCGAGCAGCAACGUAUGUCAAGAAGGAGGUUCGAUUCUACGAGGAAGAGUGGAUACAGACAUCGUGACCGUGUCCCCUUUUCCGUAGAAUCGAACCUCUUUCAUGACGAAGUGCGGUGCCGCCCAGUUGAGGACAUGCUCGCGAGAUGAUCACGGUCUUUAAGUUUAACAACUUAUGCAGUGUUAAGGUAAUAAUUUUUGUACAUAGAUGGCUUCUGCUACUGGAGAAAGUGGCGAUGGUGGGGGUGAUCGUGGUUCCUCUUUCGGCAAGGGGAAAAUCAUAGUUGGCCCUCAGCAUAAGCCAAAGAAAAAGAGCGCACUGGAAAAAGCAAUGCUUCGUUAUUUGCAGCAACGUCAUGAAGAAGUUGUUGCCGCGGGUCAGGAACCUCCUUUUGGUCGUCGUUAUGCUCCACCCUUAGUCCCGGGUGUUUCACAUCCACUUAGUACUACCGUUUCAGGCGGCACAAAUAAACCUAAGGAUGAGGCUAGGUCAGCGGAACUUUCGUCUUCACUGUCCAAGGAUGCUUAAAGUCCUCCUAGAUAAUAACCAGUGGAUGGCUUGUUGUAUUGUAUCAUGUUGUUUGGAUCUUUAAUUUAAAUAUGUGUAUUUGGAUCUUCAUGUUGUUGUAUUGUACCAUGUUGUUUGGAUCUUUAAUCAAUUUUCACACGUAAUCCAUUGUCAAGUGUAAUCCAUUUUCAUGCAUAAUAAGAUGCAGAUGGACCGGCAAUGGAUGUAUAAUGCAGACAGGCAGAGCAAGGUGUUUAUUGAUGGCUUGCAUUAUUGUCUCGAAGUGGCCAAAGCGAACAAGCCAGAGAAUGGGUUCGUAUGUUGUCCAUGCUUCCAAUGCAAUAACAAGAAGGAGUAUUCAUAGGAUUCCUGGGGGACUAUUCACAGCCACUUGUUUAAAUACGGUUUCAUACUUAACUAUUUGGUUUGGACCAAGCACGGUGAACGAGGGGUCGUAAUGGAAGAUGGCGAGAAGGAGGAGGAAGAUGACACCAUUCCAGACUGGGUUGUAGGCCAAGCUUUUGCAGGUACUACAAUGGGCGAGGCUCAUGAAGAUGAGUUUGCAGAAAAUGGCCCUAUUGAUGACUUUGGUCAGGUGAUACGAGAUGCAUACAGAGAUUGCGAAAUUGAGAAGGAAGCAGCAAAGUUGCAGCGCAUGAUAGAUGAUCACCAAAAAUUAUUGUACCCAGGUUGCCAGCUGGGCCAUAAAAAACUAGGUACGACACUAGAAUUUGUGCAAUGGAAGGCAAAAAAUGGUGUGUCCGAUAAGGCAUUUCAGGGGAUGUUGACCAUUGUCAAGAAGAUUCUUCCCGAGAAUAAUGAAUUACCGUCCACAACAUAUGAAGCUAAACAGAUUAUUUGCCCUCUCGGAUUGGAUGUUCAGAAGAUACACGCAUGCCCUAAUGACUGUAUCCUCUAUCGUGGUGAUGACUACGAGAAAUUGGAUGCUUGUCCCGUGUGCGAAGCCCUGCGGUAUAAGAUUAGGUGAGAUGAUCCUUGUGAUGUCGAGGGGCAGUCUCCCAAUAAGAGAGUUCCCGUGAAGGUGAUGUGGUAUUUCCCUAUAAUACCACGCUUGAAGCGCUUGUUCAGGAAAAAGGCGAAUGCUAAGUUGAUGUGAUGGCACAAAGAAGACCGUAAGGAAGAUGAGAUGCUGAGACACCCCGCAGAUGGGGCACAGUGGAGAUCAAUUGAUAGAGCAUUCUCGGACUUUGAAAGUGAAGCAAGGACAUAAGGUUUGGUUUAAGUACUGAUGGAUUCAAUCCAUUCGGUGAGUUGAGUAGUGGCCAUAGUACUUGGCCUAUGACCCUAUUUAUGUUGAACCUUCCUCCUUGGCUAUGCAUGAAGUGGAAGUUCAUUAUGAUGCCGGCGCUUAUCCAAAGUUCAAAACAACCCGACAACGACAUUGACGUGUACCUAAGACUGUUGGUUGAUGACCUUUUACAGCUCUGGAAGGAAGAAGGUGUACGUGUGUGGGAUGAGGAUAGACAAGAGAUCUUUAAUCUACGAGUAUUGUUGUUUGUAACCAUCAAUGAUUGGCCUGCACUGAGUAACCUUUCGGGACAGACAAAUAAGGGAUAUCGGGCAUGCACCCACUGUUUAGACGACACAGACAGCAUGUAUUUGAAGCAUUGUAAGAAGGUCGUCUACAUGGGUCAUCGUCGAUUUCUCCCUGCUCACCACCAGCUGAGAAAGAGCAGGAUGCAUUUCAAAGGGGCGCCAGACCAUCGUAAAAAACCUGCACACCAUAAUGGAAAGUGUGUCUUCAAGAUGAUGAAGGAUGUAAAUGUAGUCUUUGGAAAGGGUCUUGGUAGCCAACCUAUUCCAAACGACAAUAACGGACAUGCACCCAUGUGGAAGAAAAAGUCAAUAUUUUGGGAGCUACCUUAUUGGGAAAUCCUAGAGGUUCGCAAUGCAAUAGACGUGAUGCACCUGACGAAGAAUAUUUGCAUGAACGUGCUAGGCUUCAUGGGUUUUUAUGGGACCUCAAAAGACACAUUGGAAGCACGACAGGACCUGAAAGCCAUGGGGCAACGAGAUGACCUACAUCCGAAAAAGAGAGAUAAUGGAUAGCACUACUUACGUCCUGCCAGUUACACUCUGAGCAAGGAAGAGAAGGAUAGCAUGUUUGAAUGCUUGAAUAGUAUGAAGGUCCCGUCUAGGUACUCCUCGAAUAUAAAGGGAAUAAUAAAUAUGAAAAAAAAGAAGUUUAUAAAUCUCAAGGCCCAUGACUGUCACAUGUUGAUGACCCAGUUGCUUCCGGUUGCACUGAGGGGUGUUCUACUAGAAAAUAUCCAGUUGCCGCUCGUAAAGCUAUGUGCGUUUCUAAAUGCGAUUUCACAGAAGGCAAUCGAUCCAUCCAAGCUAUCAAAGCUACAGAACGAUGUGGUGCAAUGUCUUGUCAGUUUUGAGUUGUUAUUUCCACCAUCCUUCUUCAAUAUUAUGACGCACUUACUGGUUGACCUAGUAAAAGAGAUUGGUAUUCUCGGACUUGUAUACCUGCACAAUAUGUGGCCUUUCAAGUGUUCAUGGCAGUCCUAAAAAACUAUGCUCUUAAUCGUGCCCAUCCAGAAGGAAGCAUCGCCAAGGGAUAUGGAACAGAGGAGGUGAUCGAGUUUUGUGUUGAUUUUAUUGAUUCAAUUGACUCGAUUGGGGUUCCAACUUCACGCCAUGAGGGGAGGCUCCGAGGAAUGGGCACCCUUGGAAGGAAAUCAAGUUUGAGCAAUGAUACUGAUUUGUUCGACAAGGCACACUACACGGUUCUACAACAGUCAUCCUUUGUGUCUCCAUAUAUUGAGCAGCACAGGCAGAUGGUAGUUUCCAAAAACCCGACCAAAUCCGAUGCUUGGCUUACCCGUCUUCACAUGGAAACUUUUCCCUCCUGGUUGCGCCAACAACUUAUGGGUAACUCUGAGAUUCACCCACAGCUUGCCUGGUUAGCCAGGGGACCUGCUAGCACAAUUGUGAAAUUUCAAGGCUAUGAGAUAAAUGGUUAUACAUUUUACACGAGAGCCCAGGACCAGAAAAGCACGAAACCAGAAUAGUGGUGUCCGCAUACAUGCCAUGGACAGAAAUAAUAGCAAGGAGUCGUAUUAUGGUUUCAUAUAGGAGAUAUGGGAACUUGAAUACGGACCGUUGUACAUCCCUCUAUUUCUUUGUAAUUGGGUGAAGCAAACUGCCGUAACCAAAGAUCAGUACGGAAUGACAAUAGUAGAUCUGAGCAAGACUGGAUACAGUGAUGACCCAUUCGUACUUGCCAACAAUGUGCAACAGGUGUUCUAUGUGAAGGACAUGUGUAGCAAACCCAAGAGAAAUCCAGAAGAGACAUGGGAGCCAAAGUGCCACAUAGUUUUUCCAGGUAGAAGAAAAAUCGUGGGAGUCGAGGAUAAAACAAACCAAUCAGAUGAUUAUGAUUAGUUUGAUGGCAUGCCUCCAUUCGCCGUUGAAGUUGAUCCAAGCAUCCUGCUAUCCAAAGAAGAGGCUCCGUACUUACGCCGCGAUCAUGAUCAAGGAACUUUCGUGAAGAAGAAAUUCUACAACGUUGUAUUGUAAUGCGCUAAAUUUACAUGACCUUUGUGUAGUAAUUGAUACAAUUUUUAAUUUACCCUAUGUAUGAUUUGAUGUGUUCUUAAAUUUGUUAGGUGAAGAUUUAUUAGAUAAACAUGAACAAUGUUAACCACAUACAUACAUGGAUUUUUCUGCGCAUUGAAAUUAUUUAAUGGAAUAAUUUCUUGAUCACAGCGAUGUAGUAAAAUAAAUAUUUUAGAGCCUAAAUGAACUGGUAUAGAAUUAAUGACUAACUCACACUUAUUGUCAAUUUACUCGCUAAUUAAAUAUAUUUUUGCAUGUACAAAAUAUGUGAAGGUUUUUGUUUUUCAUCCUGAAUUGCAGUGAAAAGAUAAAUAAAAUCCAUUUCCAAAAAACAGGCGGGAGAAGAAAACUGGGAAAAGGACCUUUUGUCCCGGGUGCCAACAGAAACCGGGACAAAAAGCCCCCCCCCUUUUAUCCCGGUUGGUGGUGGCACCCGAGAUAAAAGGGUAGGCUCCAAGCCCCACUUGGCGGACGCACCCUUUUGUCCCGGGUCCCGUCACCAACCGGGAUAAAAGGGGGGGCCUUUUAUCCCGGUUGGUGAGGGGACCCAGGACAAAAGGCCCUUUAGUCCCGGGUGUCAUUACGAACCGGGAUAAAAGGGGGGUUAAAAGGCACUAUAGCCCCUUCUACCCCCCACGCCAGUUACAGUUAGCAAAAUUUUCACCAAGAUCCCGCGCGCACUCUGCUCCGUCGCUGCCCGUCCGCCUUCCUCGCCAGCCGUCAUCGUCGUCGUCCCCCAUUGCCCCGGCCGUCGUCGUCCCGCCGGCUGACCGUGCCCAGAUAGCCUCCUCCUCCAUCGCCCCGGCCCGCCUCGAUCCUCCUGCGUCGUGCCCGGCCCCUACCUCAUCGACGCCGGCCACCUCCAUCGCGGGGCCUCAUCGCCGCCUCCAUCCUCGUCGCCACCUCGACGCCCUGGGUCGCCGCCUCGUCGCCCCUCGUCGCUGCCUCGUCGCCGUCCUGCCUCCGCCGUCUCGCCGUCCCGCGCGCCUUCGCUCCGUCGUCGCCUCCGCCGUCCCACCGCCCCAGCCACCGCCAUCCCGCCACCCCGGCCACCUCGUCGCCCCGACCACCGUCGACCGCGCGUGAGGUCCGCCGCACCGGCACUGGCGCCGGGAGUACCGCCUUGCUGACGCAAGCCCACCGGCUUGCGUCAACAAGGGCCUUUUUUAAGUUAGAAAAUAAAUAGAAAGGAGUAGUAAUUAGGUAGAAAUUCAAUAGAUUUUUGUAUAUGUGUUACAAAAUCAAAUUAGUGUAAAUUAGUUGUAAUUAGGUUCGUCGCUCUGCCUAGGUUAGAAAUGAAUCGUGUUUCGUCGUGGUUCCGUCCCCGCCUCCGCCGUCCCGCCACCCUGACCGUCGCCGUCCCAACCUAGGCACCGUCUGUGGUUCCGUCCCCGCCUCCGCCGUUCCGCCUCCAUCGCAAAUUCAUGUUAUUGCUAGAAAUUCCAAUAAAUAUGAACAAAUUAGUAGAAAUUUGGUAGAAAUUAAUCAUUGCUGCGGCCACCUCGCUCCACAAAUUCAUGUUAUUGCUAGAAAUUCAUAAAAAUUCAUGUUAUCACUAGAAAUUCGUACAAAAUUCAUGUUAUUGCUAGAAAUUCGUAAAAAUUCAUGUUAUUGCUAGAAAUUCGUACAAAAUUCAUGUUAUUGCUAGAAAUUCGUACAAAUUCAUGUUAUUGCUAGAAAUUCGUCACAAAGUACUACUAAUUUGCAAAAAUUUGUAUAAAUAUUCCGGACUUUGUGGGAUUCAUGUUAUUUUCUGAUUUCAUGUAUAUACCCUUAUGUACAUAUAACUAAGGAGAUUUCUAUGACUUUCAUGUAUGUUUCAAUCAAUAGUUGAAAUGGCAGACGAUGAGACCGCAAGGUAUCUCAUGGAGCAGAUAAUCGCUGGUGAUGGUAGUGGCGACAACCUUCCACUAUCGUACACCGAUGAAGAGGGCACCCAGGCGGACAUGUUCCUCAACAUGUCCGCCGAUGGGAAUGAAGAGCAAAAGCCCCAGCAACACCUUGCCGGGGCGGAAGGUUCCGGCGAGGUAUAUAUAACGAUUCUUGUAUUGUUUCACACCACCGUUACUACUACGUACUAAUUAACGAAUCAUGAACCGUUAGCCCUCUGGAUCGACGCAAGGGCAGAAGACACGAGGUCGUACAAAGGUGAUGGAAGGGAGGCUUGUCAUCACGGAAGUGAUAGAAGAGGGCAGGCCGGUUGCUCCCGAGAAAGUAGCAAAGAAGUACGUGAGUCAGAUCGGGGCAAUCGUCCGGGACAACGUGCCUAUCAGCAUCAGAGAAUGGAAGGGCAGAAGCACUAAUCCGUACGCCCUCCUGGAGACAGAAAGAAUAUGCUGUGGGAAGAUGUCAAGAGACAUUUCACAUUCACCGAAGGAUAUAUUGAGAAGGAUGUGAAAGCGUGGACGCUUAAGAAGAUGGCUACACAAUUUCCAGACAUUUAAGAAGAUGCUAGAUACCCACUACAUUAAGAAGGGCCGAACUCCAGACUUCAACGCGUGGUCAAAGUUGAGGGACCACUAGGAUGCAUUUGUUGAAUAUAAGAGGAGUGAAUACGAUGUGAAAAAGAUCACGACCAACACAACAAAUGCUAGUCAGAAGGGCUACCAUCAUCAUCUGGGGCGAGAUGGUUAUGGCUCAGCAAUUCCCAAGUCGAGGAAGAUGGAACAAGAUCUGAUUGAACGGGGAAUCGUACCGGCAACUAUUGAAUGGCCCGAACGAUCAAAAAAUUGGUACUACGCUCAUGGAGGCUCCCUGUGCCAAGAGGAUGGGACGUUGAUUUUCAAUAACACAAUACGUUAGAAGGCCAAACAUCUUGUGAAGAACAUUGAAGAUUCUAAGGCUGGGAGGUUGAAGGUGGACCGAGAAAAUGAUGAGCUCACAUUGGCCCUUGGUAAUCCAGAGCACCCAGGAUGUUGCCGAGGGUUCGGGGUCGUUCCGUGGAAGUUUGUUUUCCGAGGCGACAGCGCCUCGUACAGAAGCCGGAAGCGAAGAAAGGAACAGAUCGAGGAGAGCUGGUGGCAGAUGCUAGAAUCCAAAGUGCAGGCACAAGAACAAAGAAUGAUGGAGGAAAUCAAUCGUCGAGUGGCCCACGCAGUUGUGGAGUUGGCCCAAUCUGGAGCAUUGCCGAAUCCUAACAACGCCAGCCCUUCUCAAUGCCUCUUGAGCAGUUAUGCUUCUACAGGGGUCCCCGAUGCGCACACGCCCAGGUUACCCGUGGAGGAGCAACGGUUCCCCGUGGAUGCCAUCACGCAACACACCACAUGUGAGCUGCAUGCACCGGUCGGCAACCUCACUAUUAAGGUAUACUUAUACAUAAUAUUUAUGCAAUCUUGUCAAUUGAUCCACGCCUCGAUAUCGGAGUUUAACUUGUUUACUUCUACUAUAUGUACAGGUAGCGUACGGGAGUGCGUUAGCAACCCUGGCGGGGCAGAGCAGUCAUGGCAUGAAGAUUCCACCUGGCUACGCUAGCGUCCGCGUAGAGCAAAUAGUUGAUAGCCAAUAUGAAGGUCUAGAGCUCGACCUCCCGGGAGGUGACAGGGAAAGAACACUGGCAGAUGCGCUUCAUGGGAUCAUUCUAUGGCGAAAACGCUACAUCAUUAUUCCCGGCACGGAGCCAUCUCCUCAGAGCUCAAGACCACUCCCCGUAGAUCCCCAGCAGCGACCUUCUCCUCAUAGCUCGAGACCGUCAUCUCCUGCACAACCUGCUCCAGGACCGUCCCUUCCAUCUAUAUCAAGGUCUCCAUCUCCACCACAUCCUGGUGGUGGGAGCGACGACGACAAUAACAACACCCCUUCCUGAUCACCAUCGCCGGCACCAAGAGCGGCCCCCAUGAAGGAACCUGCACCACCACUAAAAAAGUCACGAGCACCGCCUCCCAAGCAAAGACAGAGAAAGAAGAAAACAAAGGAGCCUGAAGUGACUCGUAAGGAACGCUGGGAGACAAUGUCUCAUGCGGAACAGUGGGCAGAAAUCCAACAAGAGGCCAGUGAGUGGUUCAAGAAACAAGCCGAAGAAAAAAAAGCAACGGAGAUGCAGCCACCGCCAGUAAAUCGAAGAGAUUUAAACUUUUUUAUCAGGAUGGAAGAAGGAGCCAAGAAAAGGAUACCACUCUUAUCAAACUAUGAACGGGCUUUAGUAAAGGCUGAUGAAAAGGAUAAAAGGAAAGGAAAGUCAUCUUCCAGCGGUGCUGUCCCCGACCUCAGCCAUUUAUCAAAAAAAGAUGCUCAACGGGUAAAAGCAAUGCCCUUGGAUCAACAAGCAGAAGUAUUGAAGUUCAUGCAAGAAACAGGUCUGGGACUUGAUGAAUGCCUAGGGCAAGUUGAGACGCCAACUGCACCGCCCCCUGAGCCGAGAUGGCCUUAUGAGCUAGGCAAACCUCUAGUAAAGCCUUCAUUGGUACGAAAGCUAUCAACAAAGAUGUACGCAUUCCAUCAAUGGUACAUGAUGGCAUCCGCUGACUCAAGGGAGAUGCUCGGCCUGAAGGUAAAACCGAUGGAUUUUCACGACAGAGGCGAGAAAGUGCUGUGGCUAGACUUCAAGGAUAUAUACGAAGUGUACCAUCAUGAUGCCAUAGACGUCUCUCUGAUCCGCGCUUGGGUUCUGUAAGUGUCCGUUUAUCUCUACAUGUAAAUUUUGGCGUGCGUCACCGUACUAACUUCGUCUUCCAUUUCAUGUAGGAUGCUAAUUCAGACAUGCCGCCGAGAGGCGUACCUACAUAUAGGCUUCAUGGAUCCAUCUGUAGUUAACCAACAGCAGAUACAAUUAGCAUCGGAGAAAACCUUGGUGGAAGUAUACAAUUUCCUAGACAAACAAACAUUCAAGGAUUUCAUACUAUUUCCAUACAACUUCAAGUAAGUGUGUGUAUACCGUCUACUUUCGAUGUCUUUUUCCUUAUCUCUACAUGUUAGUUAGCUCUAAUAUGCAUGAACAUUUUACGCACGCAGCUUCCACUGGAUCCUUAUUAUAAUUGAGCCUCAAAGAAGCCACGUCACUGUCUUCAAUUCGUUGAGGAAAGAUCCAGUGGAGCACCAAGAAAUGCAACACAUGCUAGGCUUGUAAUAAUUCUGGACCUUUAUCUCUAUGCAAAAGUUUGUUUCCUAAAUUCUAUCCCUGUUACACUAUAUCAUUCAUUAUUCUAAUCCACAGCGUAUGGAAACAAUUCAUAAGGACACAAAAAGGUCCAUUCAAAGAAAAACUUACAUGGAACACAGACUUCCCGGUACAUAUGAAGUCUGCACAUUUAUUACAUUGUAUAACACGAAUAUUUCAUAACUUAUUUUUUUCCGUAUUGAAGUGCUUAAGACAGGAACUCGGAAAUAAUCUAUGUGGCUACUACAUCUGUGAGCACAUGCACAGUUUUAUGGGACCCAAGGGACUAAAGAUGACGCCGCACAACUUUAAAGUACGUAAAAUAAAACUAUUACUAGUUAAUUAUUUUCUAGCUCCUUAUAUGUAUUUGUUCACGUAACAUUCACAAAUUUCCAAAUUAUAGAUGUUAAAUAUUCAACAAGGACUCUUGAAGGAAGAAAGAGUAGCGGCAAUAUGUGAAGGUCUCAUUGGAUUCCUAAUGGACAAGGUGGUAGAUCCAAAAGGAGAAUUUUAUUUUGAUGGACGACAAUUAGACACUCUGAUCAGCAACACCUCGAUGGGAAGAUUGUAGAUAGAUACUUUGAUUUAUUUGUAUAUAUAAUACGCGCUAAUUAUGAUCGAUUUGUACUAGUUGAAUUCUGUAUAUGAAUUGUGUAUAAGAAUUGUGUAUAUAUAUAGUAACUGUAUAAUUACAAAUCCCAUUCGUUUAAAUACUAGUUAAUUUCAUUCUAAAAAAAUCUCAACUACUUAAGGUUAACAAAAGGGCUGCGGUACUACGUACGUGAUGCAUGCAUGAAAAAUUCAGGCGCCAGGCAGGUGCCAUGCAGGGCAUCAUUUAGUCCCGUUUGGAAUCCAGCCGGGACUAAAGGGUAACCCUUUACUCCCGGUUGGGAAACCCAACCGGGACUAAAGGGGGACCGUUACUCCCGGUUAAAAGACCCGGGACUAAAACCCCCCCUUUUGUCCCGGUUGGCUUAUCCCGGAUAAAUUUUCGGGAGAUAUGCACCCUACCAACCGGGACUAAAGGCCAAUUCUCCACUAGUGGAAGGUCCUUUCUCUACCAUGAAUAUUGCCAGAAAGAAUUGAAAGAGACCGCUUGCUAAAAACAUGUCAUAGAUGCGGACCAAGCUACCAAGGAGGUAGACCAAACAUGAUACACACCAUGCGUACCUUGCUGUGCAGACUAUGCAUGGACAAGAUACCCGACCACAUGUUGGCUUUGGUCACAUCAAAAGAAUCAUGUAGGCCAUUAAUAAACUACUUGAAGCGUCAUUCCGUAUCUUAUAUCCAUCAUCUGCAUUACAUUACAUUAAAUAUUAUUAACUAUUUGAAUAAAAUGAACCAAUUUAAAAAUAAUGAAUUGUACAUUACUACAAAAAGCCCUAGCACUGCCAGUUCCAAAAACAUCAUUGUUGACGGCCGUUAAGUACCAAAUAUGACGGUCAAUAUCCUAAAGAAUAAAGGACAAUUGGCAUUUCUUACACACAUAUUUGGUUUCGAAUAAUGUAGUUCUACAUGUCCUUGGAGAUUAUUUGGGUGUGGGUGAAAUAAUACAAAAAGAAGGAGAAAACACACUCCCAUGGCAAAGAAACAUAACUCCGACCAAUGAGAGAUAGCCACAGGGGCAGCACAUGGAUCCAUGGGCCCACAAACUGCAUCAAACCAUCUUACAAGGCGGGUAGCACCCACAACUGUCAUUAGGACCCACCUGGAAGUCUAGCAAAGAAGAAGGUUGUGAGUGGGGCCACGAGGGGUUCGGUUGAAUCAUCUCUAGCUCCCUUCAUCCCCAGCUGGCGCGUGGCGGUGGUUCAUGGUGUCCCGACAUCGGUUAGAGGACAUUCCCCCAAAUAUUCCUCCUGUAAACCAGCUCUAUGAACCUAUAAAUAGAGGGGUGUGCUCUCCAUUCCAACACACACCACAAGUUGAAGCACUCUCUCCCUCUUUAGUUUCCAAGUUUACGGAGAUAGGCUGGAGUAGCUCUGCUAAAGGUUCCAAGUCCACUUGGAGUUAAGCGUAUGUCUCUUGUAUCAUUAUUUCCUAGAGAGACUUUAUGCUAUUCAAGUUAUUUAUCUUCUUCAUAUAGUGUUAUGCUUAGUUCUUAUAUGCAUGAGUUAGUCUAAUACCCUUGCUCUAUUGAUAUGCUCAGCUUAUGUGCUCGUAUGCUAGUCAUGUACCCUUGCUGUCAUAGUAUAGGGUUAUAUGCUGUCAUGUGUGCCUAUAGACCUUGCUACAGUAUAUACUUGUUGUGUAUACAUACCAUUUGUAUAUACAUUAUUACAAGUUAAGGUAGUUUUAAAUAUCCUUGUGUUGACAACCAAAGCUUGAUCUUUUGUUUCCAUUGCCAGCGGAUUCAUCGGCUCAGAGUAGGAUCAAGACAUCAAGUUGAUGGAGUUCUUUAUAUUUCAAGAGGAGUCAUGGAGUUCUUUAUAUUUCAAGAGGAGUUGAUGGUGCUUUCAAUAUUGCAACCAGACAUCAUUGGCUCUGAAGACACCGAAUCAUCGGAGUUCUAUGAUCAGUUUCGGAACAUGAAGCCUUCAUACUCCGAAACUGGGGGGCCUGUGUUGACACCGAAUUAUCGGACUUCUAUAAUUAGUUUCGGAACAUGAAGCCUUCAUACUUCGAAACUGGGGGGUAUGUGUUUACACCAAAAUUUAGAAAUGUGCUCUGAAAGGAAGGACCUGGGAGAUCUAUUGGCUGAAAUACAAAUCCAUCGAAACUAGCCUUAUGCUAAGAGAUCAGAAUAUUGUACAAAGUCUAGAAAGUUCUAUUUACAUCUAAGUAACUCGAUAACUAGCCUUACGCUAAGAGAUCAGAAUAUUGGACAAAGCCUACAAAGUUCUAAUAUAGGUAACGUAAUGACCAGGUGAGGAUAGUUACAAGCUCGCUUGAGAUCGAAGCCGAUGUAGCCCUGCGCGCAAGAAGAAACUCACCUAUUUCUACUCUACUCUUACUCCUAGGGUUUGAUGGCGUGGCGUCAAAAGAUUGUAUUGAUUGAUUGAUUAUUUGAUACAAAGCUCAUGGGCCUAUAUUUAUACCCUUGAGAAAGCUAAAAUCCUAAUCAGUUAUGACAUGAAUCGUGACAGAAAAUCUAACUAAAGAUAGAUCUCCAUGCUUUCCCUUAUUUGGUGGAGUCGAUUUCACUUCAUAUCGGAUCCCUCCCGAUCUUCUAUCGGCUUCUAGCAUCCGGUCAUCUGCGACUGGCCUUGGUCAACAUCAGGUGUCAACAGACUUAUUUCUUCUACAAGUUCAUCGGCUGUCAGAGCCUUGUCUUAGUCAGUUGACUCUAGUAAAAAAUCGAUGUCAAUACAUGCCCCCCAAUUUUUGAAUAAAAUAUUAUAUUUCAAAAUUCUCUUCUCUUGUCAACAGCUUUUGAAAGAAAAAGAGUCACUGCUGCAAUCAUAAUCUUUUUCCCCGGGUUUUGUGAUAGCACCCUCCUCAUUUUAAGGGAUUCACCAUGUGGAAAUUAUAAUAUAACUGCUUCACCCAUUUCGUUUUCUUCACCAAACCAACUAUUGUCAGCCGCUACAACCAAAAAUCAAUUAUUCCCUUCACAUGCCUAGCGACUGCAUCCAUCACUCAUCGUCACCAUUAGUCUCCAUGUGUCAAGGCUUCUUCAACCAGCAAUGGCGACAUUAUCUUCCAUUCCACAGGUACCAUGUAUCCUAGCCAUUCCUUUCCCCUUUCAACCUGAAAUCCAAUCUAGUCACUAUAUAUCAAACCUGUGUUCUUAAUCAAUACUUGCCCCCUUGUACUUAGAAACACCCUUUUGAUCCCCAUAUCCGAUACGCAAGCAGAAUACUUUCUAGGCCCCAUGGGUAGUGAAGACCCAAUAGAAUCUAUUAAUGCUGAAAUACUUGGACAAAGUCUAGAAAGUUCUAUUUACAUCUAAGUAACUCGAUAACUAGCCUUACGCUAAGAGAUUUAAAUAUUGGAUAAAGCCUAGAAAGUUCUUAUAUAGGUAACUGAAAAGUGUGUUGACGCAAAAAUUGGAUGGUUGACUCCUGCGUACUAACACACGGAACCAGGGAGAAUCUGCUUAGCUACUGUUCGGGUUAUAGCCCUCUCGAUCCGUAGCGUGCCAGUUAAUCUGACCUGCUGAUUGACAAGUAAAAAUGUCAAAUUAAGAGCAAAUCAGCUGGUGUUCCGAAUCGCUCCACGGGACGUAUCAGUAGACAGCCGAUACGGGCAAACGACAAUCAGCUAGAUCAGCCGAUUUGCUCUUGUAUUUGACGUUUUACUUGUCCUUCUCAAUCAGCAGGUCAGAUUGACUCGCACGACGCAGAUCGAGAGGGCUAUAACCUAAACAAGAGCUAAGCAGAUUCUCCCGGGUUUCAUGUCUUAGUACACAGAAGUCAACCGUCUGAUUUUAUCAUCAACACGCUUUUUGGCACGCUCAGUGGGACCCGAUUCAUAUCUUAAUGGUAAUUGGUGAUCAAGUUUCAAACAACGUAUCCACUGGUAGAAAACUGAGCAUUAGUCCCGGUUGGUAAGGGUCAUAUCUCUCGGAUAUCCAUCCGGGAUAAACCAACCGGGACAAAAGGGGGGGGUCUUUAGUCCCGGGUAUUUUAACCGGGAGUAAAGGACCCCCUUUAGUCCCGGUUGGUGUCACCAACCGGGACUAAAGGGCCUGCCACGCCAGGCGCGGGACAGGCCCUUUAGUCCCGGUUGGUGACACCAACCGGGACUAAAGGGGGUCCCUUUAGUCCCGGUUGGAUUUCCCAACCGGGACUAAAGGGGUCCCCUUUAGUCCCGGCUCAAUUCCAACCGGGACUAAAUUGCGCUUGCAUGGCACUGGUGACGCCUGAAUUUUUCAUGCAUGCAUCACGUAUACGUAUAGUAGUACCGCGGCCCUUUUAAUUUGUUAACCUUGUAGUUGAGAUUUUUUUAGAAUGAAUUAAAUCAACUAGUAUUUAAACGAAUGGGAUUUGUAAUUACACAACUACUAUAUAUAUACACAAUCCUUAUACACAAUUCAUAUACACAAUUCAACUAGCUUAAUUAGUACAAAUCGAUCAUAUAUACAAAUAAAUCAAAGUAUCUUCCUACGAUCUUCCCGUCGUGGUGUUGCUGAGAGGAGUGUCUAAUUGUCGUCCAUCGUAAUAAAAUUCUCCUCUUGGAUUUACCACCUCGUCCAUUAUGAAUCCAAUGAGACCUUCACAUAUUGCCGCUACUCUUUCUUCCUUCAAGAGUCCUUGUUGAAUAUUUAACAUCUAUAAUUUGGAAAUUUGUGAAUGUUACAUGAACAAAUACAUAUAAGGAGCUAGAAAAUAAUUAACUAGUAAUAUAUUUAUUUUACGUACUUUAAAGUUGUGCGGCGUCAUCUUCGGUCCCUUGGGUCCCAAAAAACUGUGCAUGUGCUCACAGAUGUAGUAGCCACAUAGGUUAUUCCCGGGUUCCUGUCUUAAGCACUUCAGUGCGGAAAAAAAAUAAGUUAUGAAAUAUUCGUGUUAUACAAUGUAAUAAAUGUGCAGACUUCAUACGUACCGGGAAGUCUGUGUUCCAUGUAAGAUCUUCUUUGAAUGGACCUUUGUGUGUCCUUAUGAAUUGUUUCCAUACGCUGCGGAUUAGAAUAAUGAAUGACAUAGUGUAACAGGGAUAAAAUUUAGGAAAUAAAUUUUUGCAUAGAGAUAAAGGUCCAGAAUUAUUACAAGCCUAGCAUGUCUUGCAAUUCUUGGUAGUCCACCGGAUCUUUCCGUAACGAAUCAAAGACAGUGACGUGGCUUCUUUCAGGCUCAAUUAUAAUAAGGAUCCAGUGGAAGCUGCGUGCGUAAAAUGUUCAUGCAUAUUAGAGCUAACUAACAUGUAGAGAUAAGGAAAAAGACAUCGAAAGUAGACGGUAUACACACACUUACUUGAAGUUGUAUGGAAGUAGUAUGAAAUCCUUGAAUGUUUGUUUGUGUAGGAAAUUGUAUAUUUCGGCAAAGGUUUUUUCCGGCGCUAAUUGUAUCUGUUGUUGGUUAACUACAGAUGGAUCCAUGAAGCCUACAUGUAGGUACGCCUCUCGGCGGCAUGUCUGAAUUAGCAUCCUACAUGAAAUGGAAGAUGAAGUUAGUACGGUGACGCACGCCAAAAUUUACAUGUAGAGAUAAUAAACGGACACUUACAGAAUCCAAGCGCUGAUCAGAGAGACGUCCAGGGCAUCAUGAUGGUACACUUCGUAUAUAUCCUUGAAGUCUAGCCACAGCACUUUCUCCCCUUCACCGUGAAAAUCUAUCGGUUUUACCUUCAUGCCGAUCAUCUCCCUCGAUUUGGCGGAUGCCGUCAUGUACCAUUGAUGGAAUUCGUACAUCUUUGUUGACAGCUUCCGUACCAUUGCCGGCUUCACUAGAGGCUUGCCUAGCUCAUAAGGCCAUCUCGGCUCAGGGGGCGGUGCAGUUGGCGUCUCGACUUGCCCUAUGCAUUCUUCAAGUCCCAGACCUGUUUCUUCCAUGAACUUCAAUAUAUUUUCUUGUUGAUCCAAGGGCAUUGCUUUUACCCGUUGAGCAUCUUUCUUUGAUAAAUGGCUGAGGUCGGGGACUGAACCGCUGGAGGAUGAUUUUCCUUUUCUUUUAUCCUUUUCAUCAGCCUUUACUAGAGCCCGUUCAUAGUUUGACAAGAGUGGUAUCCUUUUCUUGGCUCCUUCCUCCAUCCUGAUAAAAAAGUUUAAAUCCCGCCGACUUACUGGCGGUGGCUCCAUCUCCCUUGCCCUUUUUAAUUCGGCUUGUUUCUUGAACCACUCACUGGCCUCUCGUUGGAUUUCUGCCCACUGUUCCGCAUGAGACAUUGCCUCAAAGCGUUCCUUGCGAGCCACUUCAGGGUCGACCUUUGUUUUCUUCUUUCGAGGCUGUCUUUGCUUGGGAGGCGGUGCUCGUGACUUCUUGAGUGGUGCUGCAGGUUCCUUCGAGGGGGCCGCUCUUGGUGCCAGCGACGGUGAUCGGGGAGGGGUGUUGUUAUUGUCGUCGUCGCUCCCAGCACCAGGAUGUGGUGGAGAUGGAGACCUUGAUAUAGAUGGAAGCGACGGUCCUGGAGCAGGAGAUGCCGGUCUCGAGGUAUGAGGAGAAGGUCGCUGCUCGGGAUCUACGGGGAGCGGUCUUGAGGUCUGAGGAGAUGGCUCCGUGCGGGAAAUAAUGAUGUAGCGUUUCUUCCAUAGAAUGAUCCCAUGAAGCGCAUCUGCCAAUGUCUUUUCCCCGUCGCCUCCCGGGAAGUCGAGCUCUAGACCUUCAUACUGGGCAUCUACUAUUUGCUCGACGCAGACGCUGGCGUAGCCUGUUGGAAUGUCCAUGCCAUGACUGCUCUGCCCUGCCAGCGUUGGUAACGCACUCCCAUACGCUACCUGUACAUAUAGCAGAAGUAAACAAGUUGAACUCCGAUCUCGAGGCCUGGAUCAAUUGACAAGAUUGCAUAAAUAUUAUGUAUAAGUAUACCUUAAUAGUGAGGUUGCCGACCGGUGCAUGCAGCUCACAUGAGGUCCGUUGCGUGAUGGCAUCCACGGGGAACCGUUGCUCCUCCACGGGUAACCUGGGCGUCUGCGCAUCGGGGACCCCUGUAGAAGCACAACUGCUCCCGAGGCGUUGAGAAGGGCUGGCGGUGUGAGGAUUCGGCAGUGCUCCAGAUUGCGCCAACUCCGCAACUGCGUCGGCCACCCGCCGAUUGAUUUCAUCCAUCAUUCGUUGUUCUAGCAUCUGCCGCCAGCUCUCCUCCAUCUGUUCCUUUCUUCGCUUCCGGCUUCUGUAAGAGGCGCUGUCGCCUCGGAAAGCGAACUUCCACGGAACCACCCCGAACCCCCGGCAACGUCCUGGGUGCUCUGGAUUACCGAGGGCCAAUGUGAGCUCAUCAUUUUCUCGGUCCACCCUCAACCUCCCAGCCUUGGAAUCUUCAAUGUUCUUCAUGAGAUGUUCGGCCUUCUCACGUAUUCUGUCAUUGAAAAUCAGCGUCCCAUCCUCUUGGCUUAGGGAGCCUCCAUGAGCGUAGUACCAGUUCUUUGAUCGUUCGGGCCAUUCAAUAGUUGCAGGUAUGAUUCCCCGUUCGAUCAGAUCUUGUUCCAUCUUUCUCCACUUGGGAAUUGCUGAGCCAUACCCACCUCGCCCCAAAUGAUGGUGGUAGCCCUUCUGACUAGCAUUUGCAACGUUGGUCGUGAUCUUUUUCACACCUUCUUCACUCCUCUUGUAUUCAACAAAUGCAUCCCAGUGGUCCCUCAACUUGGGCCACGCGUUGAAGUCUGGAGUUUUGCCCUUCUUGAUGUAGUGGGUGUCCAGCAUCUUCUUGAAUGUCUGGAAUUGAGUAGCCAUCUUCUUAAGUGUCCACGCUUUGACAUCCUUCUCGCUAUAAUCUUCGGGGAAUGUGAAAUGCCUCUUCACGUCUUCCCACAGCAUAUUCUUUUCUGUCUCUGGAAGGGCGUACGGAUUAUCGCUUCUGCCCUUCCAUUCUCUGAUGCUGAUAGGCACGUUGUCCCGGACAAUUGCCCCGAUUUGACUAACGUACUUCUUUGCGACUUUCUCGGGAGCAACCGGCCUGCCCUCAUCUGUAACUUCGGUGAUGACAAGCCUCCCUUCCAUCACCUUUGUACGACCUCGGGUCUUCUGCCCUUGUGUCGAUCCGGAGGGCUAACAGUUUAAGAUUCGUUAAUUAGUACGUACUAGUAGCGGUGGCGUGAAACAAUACAAGAAUGGUUGUAUAUACCUCGCCGGAACCUUCCGCCACGGCAAGUUGUUGCUGCGGCUGUUGCUCUUCAUUCACAUCGGCAGACAUGUUGAGGAACAUGUCCGCCUGGGUGCCCUCUUCAUCCGUGUAUGAUAGUGGAACGUUGUCGCCACUAUCAUCACCAGCGAUUAUCUGCUCCAUGAUAUACCUUGCGGUCUCAUCGUCUGCCAUUUCAACUAUUGCUGCAAACAUACAUGGAAUCAUACAUGACAGUCAUAGAAAUCGUCUUAAUACAAAUUUGUAUAUAAUCACAGUUCGGAAUCAUACAUGUAUAUAAUGAAAUCAUAAAAUAACAUGAAUCGUACAAAGUCCGGAAUCUUUAUACAAAUUUCUAUGAAUUUAUACAAAUUUCUAUGAAUUUAUACAAAUUUCUAUGAAUUUCUAUGAAUUUCUAUGAAUUUCUAUGAAUUUCUAUGAAUUUCUAUGAAUUUAUACAAAUUUCUACGAAUUUCUAUGAAUUUCUAUGAAUUUCUAUGAAUUUAUACAAAUUUCUACGAAUUUCUAUGAAUUUCUACAAAUUUCUACGAUUUUCUAUGAAUUUCUACAAAUUUCUACGAAUUCCUACGAAUUUUGACGAAUUUCUACGAAUUUUGACGAAUUUCUACGAAUUUCUACGACGGCGAUAAGGGCGGCGAAGGCGGGACGGCGGCGGUCAGGGCGGCGGAGGCGGGACGGCGGCGGUCAGGGCGGCGGAGGCGGUUCACCGGAACCACGGGCGGUGCCUAAGCUACUACGUUGUGAUGGGCGGCAGGACGGCGGCGAUCACGGCGGCUACUCGGCGGCGAUCACGACGGCUACAAGGCGACUGUCACGGUAGCUACUCGGCGGGACGGCGGCGAUCACGACGGCGGGACGGUAGUUAACAACCUAACUACAAAUCUAACUUAACAAACUAACUAGAAAUCUAAAAAUCUAACUUAACAAAAUUAGAAAUCUAAAAAUCUAACUUAACAAAAUUACAAUUCCAUCUAAAAAAACAAAAUUAAAAAUUAAAAGAAAACGGCCAGCUCUCCCGGCGCACCGGCCGGCGCGGCAGACCUCUCGCGCGCGGGGCGGCGGCCGGGGCGGCGGGACGGCGGCGGCCGGGGCGGCCUGACGGCGGCGGCUGGGGCGGCGACGAGGACGAAGACGACGACGGCGGGAUGACGGCGGCCGAGGCGAAGACGACGACGGCGGCCGGCGAGGGGCGACGAGGAUGGAGCUGGCGACGAGGGGCGAUGCAGCCGGCGAGGGAGGCGGACGGGCGGCGACGGGCGGAGAGGGAGGCGGACGGGCGGCGACGGGCGAGGGAGGCGGACGGGCGACGACGACGGCGCAAUGCGGGACUUCGACGGCGCAAUGGGGGACGACGACGGCGGCGGCCGGCGAGGGAGGCGGACGGGCGGCGACGGGCGGAGAGCGCGGGACUUGCGAAAAUUUCGCUAAGUGUGGAACUGGCGGGGGGUAGAAGGGAGUACAGUGCUUUUAACCCCCCCCCCCUUUUAUCCCGGUUCGUAAUGGCACCCGGGACAAAAAGGGCCUUUUGUCCCGGGUCCUGUCACCAACCGGGACAAAAGGCCCCCCCUUUUAUCCCGGUUGGUGACGGGACCCGGGAUAAAAGGGUGCGCUCCCAGCCCCACCUGGCGGGGGCACCCUUUUAUCUCGGGUCCCGUUACCAACCGGGACAAAAGGCCCCCCCUUUUAUCCCGGUUGGUAACGGGACCCGGGACAAAAGGGUGCCCCCGCCAGGUGGGGCUGGGAGCGCACCCUUUUAUCCCGGGUCCCGUCACCAACCGGGAUAAAAGGGGGGGGCCUUUUAUCCCUGUUGCAAAUGGCAACCGGGAUAAAAGGGUACGUUCGGGCGGGAGACGAAACGUACCCUUUUAUCCCGGUUGCCGUUUGCAACCAGGAUAAAAGGGGGGCCUUUUAUCCCGGUUGCUGUUAGCACCCGGGACAAAAGGUCCUUUUUCCUAUUUUUCUUCUCCCGCCUGUUUUUUGGAAAUGGAUUUUAUUUAACCUUUUCACUGCAUUCCAGGAUGAAAAACAAAACCUUCUCAGAUUUUGUACAUGCAAAAAUAUAUUUAAUUAACGAGUAAAUUGACAAUAAGUAUGAAGUAAUCAUUAUUUCUAUACCAACUCAUAUAGCCUGUAAAAUAUUUAUUUUACUGCAUUGCUGUGAUCAAUAAAUUAUUCAAUUAAAUUUUUUGAAUGCGCAGAAAAAUCCAUGUUAGUAUGUGGUUAACAAUGUUCAUGUAUAUCUAAAAAAUCUUCACCUAACAAAUUUAAUUACAAAUUUUAUCAAUUAAUACACAAAGGUCAUGCACAUUUAACGCAUUACAAUACAACGUUGUAAAAUUUCUUCUUCACGAAAGUUCCUUGAUCAUGAUCGCGGCGUAAGUACGGAGCCUCUUCUUUGGACAGCAGGAUGCUUGGAUCAACUUCAACGUCGAAUGGAGGCAUGCCAUCAAACUGAUCAUAAUCAUCUGAUUGGUCUGUUUUAUCCUCGACUCCCACGAUUUUUCUUUUACCUAGAAGAACUAUGUGGCACUUUGGCUCCCAUGUCUCUUCUGGAUUCCUCUUGGGUUUGCUGCACAUGUCCUUCACAUAGAACACCUGAUGCACAUCAUUGGCAAGUACGAAUGGGUCAUCACUGUAUCCAGUCUUGCUCAGAUCUACUAUUGUCAUUCCGUACUGAUCUUUGGUGACGGCAGUUAGCUUCACCCAAUUGCAAAGAAAUAGAGGGAUGUACAGCGGUCCGUAUUCGAGUUCCCAUAUCUCCUGUAUGAAACCAUAAUACGACUCCUUGCUAUUAUUUCUGUCCAUGGCAUCUAUGCGGACACCACUAUUCUGGUUCGUGCUUUUCUGGUCCUGGGCUCUCGUGUAAAAUGUGUAACCAUUUAUCUCAUAGCCUUGGAAUUUGACGAUUGUGGUAGCAGGUCCCCUGGCUAACCAAGCAAGCUGUGGGUGAAUCUCAGAGUUACCCAUAAGUUGUUGGCGCAACCAGGAGGGAAAAGUUUCCAUGUGAUGACGGGUAAGCCAAGCAUCGGAUUUGGUCGGGUUUUUGGAAGCUACCAUCUGCCUGUGCUGCUCGAUAUACGGAGACACAAAGGAUGACUGUUGUAGAACAGUGUAGUGUGCCUUGUCGAACAAAUUAGUAUCAUUGCUCAAACUUGAUUUCCUUCCAAGGGUGCCCAUUCCUCGGAGCCUCCCCUCGUGGCGUGAAGUUGGAACCCCAAUCGAGUCAAUUGAAUCAAUAAAAUCAACACAAAACUCGAUCACCUCCUCUGUUCCAUAUCCCCUGGCGAUGCUUCCUUCUGGACGAGCACGAUUACGAACAUAGUUUUUUAGGACUGCCAUGAACCUCUCGAAAGGCCACAUAUUGUGCAGGUAUACAGGUCCGAGAAUACCAAUCUCUUUUACUAGGUGAACCAGUAAGUGCGUCAUAUUAUUGAAGAAGGAUGGUGGAAAUAACAACUCAAAACUGACAAGACAUUGCACCACAUCGUUCUGUAGCUUUGAUAGCUUGGAUGGAUCGAUUGCCUUCUGCGAAAUCGCAUUGAGAAACGCGCAUAGCUUUACGAGCGGCAACCGGACAUUUUCGGGUAGAACACCCCUCAGUGCAACCGGAAGCAACUGGGUCAUCAACAUGUGGCAGUCAUGAGCCUUGAGAUUUGUAAACUUCUUUUGUUUCAUAUUUAUUAUUCCCUUUAUAUUCGAGGAGUACCCAGACGGGACCUUCAUACUAUUCAAGCAUUCAAACAUACUAUCCUUCUCCUCCUUGCUGAGAGUGUAACUGGCAGGACGUAAGUAGUGCUGUCCAUUAUCUCUCUUUUCCGGAUGUAGGUCAUCUCGUUGCCCCAUGGCUUUCAGGUCCUGUCUUGCUUCCAAUGUAUCUUUUGAGGUUCCAUAAACACCCAUGAAGCCUAGCACGUUCACGCAAAGAUUCUUCGUCAGGUGCAUCACGUCUAUUGCGUUGCGAACCUCUAGGAUUUCCCAAUAAGGUAGCUCCCAAAAUAUUGACUUUUUCUUCCACAUGGGUGCAUGUCCGUUAUCAUCGUUCGGAAUAGGUUGGCUACCAAGUCCCUUUCCAAAGACUACAUGUACAUCCUUCAUCAUCUCGAACACACGCUUUCCAUUACGGUGUGCAGGUUUUUUACGAUGGUCUGGCGUCCCUUUGAAAUGCAUCCCGCUCUUUCUCAGCUGGUGGUGAGCAGGGAGAAAUCGACGAUGACCCAUAUAGACGACCUUCUUACAGUGCUUCAAGUACAUGCUAUCUGUGUCAUCUAAACAGUGGGUGCAUGCCCGAUAUCCCUUAUUUGUCUAUCCUGAAAGGUUACUCAAUGCAGGCCAAUCGUUGAUGGUUACGAACAACAGUGCUCGUAGAUUAAAGAUCUCUUGUCUAUCCUCAUCCCACACACGUACACCUUCUUCCUUCCAGAGCUGUAAAAGGUCAUCAACCAACGGCCUUAGGUACACGUCAAUGUCGUUGCCGGGUUGUUUUAGGCCUUGGAUAAGCGCCGGCAUCAUAAUGAACUUCCGCUUCAUGCACAGCCAAGGAGGAAGGUUGAACAUACAAAGGGUCACAGGCCAAGUACUAUGACCACUACUCAACUCACCGAAUGGAUUGAAUCCAUCAGUGCUUAAACCAAACCUUAUGUUCCUUGCUUCACUUUCAAAGUCUGGGAAUGUUCUAUCAAUUGAUCUCCACUGUGCCCCAUCUGCGGGGUGUCUCAGCAUCUCAUCUUCCUUACGGUCUUCUUUGUGCCAUCGCAUCAACUUAGCAUUCGCCUUGUUCCUGAACAAGCGCUUCAAGCGUGGUAUUAUAGGGAAAUACCACAUCACCUUCACGGGAACUCUCUUCUUGGGAGACUGCCCCUCGACAUCACCAGGAUCAUCUCGCCUGAUCUUAUACCGCAGGGCUUCGCAGACGGGACAAGCAUCCAAUUCCUCGUAUUCAUCACCACGAUAGAGGAUACAGUCAUUAGGGCAUGCGUGUAUCUUCUGAACAUCCAAUCCGAGAGGGCAAAUAAUCUGUUUAGCUUCAUAUGUUGUGGACGGUAAUUCAUUAUUCUCGGGGAGAAUCUUCUUGACAAUUCUCAACAUCCCCUGAAAUGCCUUAUCGGACACACCAUUUUUUGCCUUCCAUUGCACAAAUUCUAGUGUCGUACCUAGUUUUUUAUGGCCCUGCUGGCAACCUGGGUACAACAAUUUUUGGUGAUCAUCUAUCAUGCGCUGCAACUUUGCUGCUUCCUUCUCAGUUUCGCAAUCUCUGUAUGCAUCUCGUAUCACCUGACCAAGGUCAUCAGUAGGGUCAUUUUCUGCAAACUCAUCUUCAUCAGCCUCGCCCAUUGUAGUACCUGCAAAAGCUUGGCCUGCAACCCAGUCCGGAAUGGUGUCAUCUUCCUCCUCCUCCUCGCCAUCUUCCAUUACAACCCCUAGUUCACCGUGCUUGGUCCAAACCAAAUAGUUAGGCAUGAAACCGUAUUUAAACAAGUGGCUGUGAAUAGUCCCCCAGGAAUUCUUUGAAUACUCCUUCCUGUUAUUGCAUUGGAAGCAUGGACAACAUACGAACCCAUUCUCUGGCUUGUUCGCUUUUGCCACUUCGAGAAAAUAAUGCAAGCCAUCAAUAAACACCUUGCUCCGCCUGUCUGCAUUAUACAUCCAAUGCCGGUCCAUCUGCAUCGUAUUACGCACGAAAAUGGAUUACACUUGACAAUGGAUUACGCGUGAAAAUCGAUUAAAGAUCCAAACAACAUGGUACAAUACAACAACAUGAAGAUCCAAAUACACAUAUUUAAAUUAAAGUCCCAAACACUGCAUAAGUUGUUCAACUUGAAGACCGUGAUCAUCUCGUGAGGAUGUCCUCAACUGGGCGGCACCGCACUUCGUCAUUAAAGAGGUUAGAUGCUACGGAAAAGGGGACACGGUCACAAUGUCCGUAUCCACUCUUUCUCGUAGAAUCGAACCUCCUUCUUGACAUACGUUGCUGCUCGGCGGAGAACAUCCUCGGCGAGAUGAACACGGUAUGCAAGUUCAACAAGUAGCAGAAGUCAUCUAUGUACAAAAAUUCUUUCCUUACCACUACAGAAGUUGUUGAACUUGAAGACCGUGUUCAUUUCGCGAGGAUGUCCUCAGCUAGGCGGCACCGCACUUCGUCAUGAAAGAGGUUAGAUGCUACGGAAAAGGGGACACGGUCACGAUGUCCGUAUCCACUCUUUCUCGUAGAAUCGAACCUCCUUCUUGACAUACGUUGCUGCUCGGCGGAGAACAUUCUCGCCGAAAUGAACACGGUAUGCAAGUUCAACAAGUAUAUGGAUUUAAAAAACCAUAUUGAAUUUGAUAAGAUAAACCGUCUAGACAAGGUAGCAUCAUUUUUAAACCACUGAAAUAAUGCAUACUAUAUAUGACACAUCAAUCUCCCUCACAUUCUAGCUCAAAAUACCUCUCCAUUUUUCUACUUCAUCAUCACAUUGUAGCAAAUAAUCUUUCCAUCUCCAAAGCAUAAAUCAAAGCAUAACACGAGGAUGAAGUAGCAAACCUUCGCAGCACUUGUUGGCUGAGUCAAAUUCCCACGAAAAUGAGGGAAAAAAGUUCGGGCAGCACCUCCCUUGCUUGGGCACCACCGGAGAGUAGGUGAAGCUCAGCUCUCUAUCAAUGUGCUGGACUGCUCGGGCUGGAGGAAGAAGAAAGUCUCUGUCUCGGGGUAUAGUGGGGGAUGAGUUUUAAUCCCGGUUAAAAACUCCAACCGAGACAAAAGGAAACACCUUUUGUCCCGGUUGGAAAGUUAGUCCCGGUUGGAGGAUCCAACCGGGAUAAAAGGGACACCCUUUUAUCCCGGUUGGAGGCACCAACCGGGACUAACCCUUUUAUCCCGGUUGGUGCCUCCAACCGGGAUAAAAGGGUGUCCCUUUUAUCCCGGUUGGAUCCUCCAACCGGGAUAAAAGGGUCCCGCCACCGACGGCCCCCGCUAGCCGUUGCAACCGGGACUAAAGGGGGGCCUUUAGUCCCGGUUGCAAUUACCAACCGGGACUAAUGCUCCCCUCCAAAUUCCCGCACCCCGGCGCACCCCCUUUUGUCCCGGGCCACUUUUAAACCGGGAUAAAAGGGGGUUGAUCGAAAGUCAGUUCUCUACUAGUGAUCGGUGACUCCGCUCGAGGAGAAUUGUUUAUAUCAAGCAUAGAAAUGACAACGUUGGAAGUGGAGGAUAUAUUUUGCUCUGUUGAUUUAAUUGCCGCGAGAGUGGCGGACAAGUUCUAAUGAUUGAAGAUCAGAAGCGUCUCGUGGAGAAUUUUUCAGAAGCUAUAUUUGGAAUUAUUAUAUUAUCUCAGGAGCAGAUUAAAUAUAACGCCACCACUGAAAGCCGAUGAGAUGUAUCUAUCGGCUACAUGCUAUUCAGAUGAAUUUGAUGACAGAUUAAUUACGGAGGAGACCGACCGAUACAACAUUAUGGUUUCUUACUGCUGAUCUGUUAUGAAAGAGGAUGUGAGAAGCUGAUAAUCAAGCAACAAUAAAAUGAUAUACACGCAGGGCAUUAAAUAUUGAGUUAAUGAUUGGGAGUACUACCAUUAUCUUAUGAAAAGUCCAUCGGCUAACCAAACAGCGUCAGCCGAUGGAAGCAAAUAGUGUCAGCCGAUAGAAUGAUGUUAUAUAAGUAUAUAUAUCGGCCUCCGAGCCAAUGGGAAGUAGGAACUAUCAGCCGAUGCACACAUCCAUGGACAUAGCCGAUAAGACAUUGUAUCGGCUGCUUGGCAAAUAAAAAUAGCAUCGGCUGACCGCUUGUUAAAAUAUUAUCGGCCGAUUGCUUGGCAAAAUAGUAUUGGCUGACUGCUUGGCAAAUAAAAAAAUAAUAGGUUGACCAAAAAAGGAUAGCAUUGCCUGAUUGCUUGGCAAAUAAAAAAAAUUACGUCGGCUGAUUGGUUCCAGCAAAAUAGUAUCGGCUGCUUGUUGAUCAGAAAAAGCCGAUACUGUUACAGCUCCCGCAACUGUGCUUUGCUGUCAUCGGCUGGGUUGUUCGUGCUCCAUCUGCAAAUAUUUGUCCCGGCUAGAAAGUAUCGUACGUGCAUUGGGAUUCGGCAGUACAAAUCACGUACACGCGUAUGGUCUGCUCAGAAGCUGUCUGUUCGACGAAGUUCCAGGCCAAUGGUGGAGACUUGAUGACCAUGGUGACCUGCAUUAAUCAACAUGAAGUAUGUAUCGGCUGUUCGGUGAUUGGUAGCAAAUCAGCUUUCUCAUAGCCGGUGACAUAUGGGGCAAGAAAUAUCAGGCUUAAAAAAGGACAGUACGAUCAAUGUCGAAAGUUGUAGCCGACGGUUCUAUUAUUGUGCAGUCGAUGGAACAUAGAAGAUGCAUCUGAAUGAGCAAAAGGAAGGGAGCCGAUAGAAGGGAAUUUAAGUUGCAUGAGAUCCAAUUAAAUUAAGAUGACGAGAGGUGUUGACAUCGAAUCAUCGGACUUCUACGAAGUCUUCAUACUCCGAAACUAGGGAGUCUGUGUUAACACCAAAAUUUAGAAAUAUGCUGAUGCAAAAAAAUAAUGAAAUCUCCUAAAUAAGGCUCAAGAAAGAAAAAGCAAGAAAAGAAAAUCAAUCGCACGCGGCAAGAAUUGAAUAAAAUAUUCUAGAGGUAGAGUUGGUUAGGAUAAGCUUAAUUAGGGAUAGAGUUGGAUUAGUUAGAGAUAGUAUUUUGAUUAGAAAAGAUUGUGUACAUGACUUGUACGUGGUGCGUCAGAGGCCAUCCGCCCUAUAAAUAUAAGGGGUCGUGGCCAUUGUAAUUAUCAUCACACGAUCAAUAUACAACAUAUUUAUCUUUUACCUUUUCGGCUUCACGCCAUUGUAUUAGGAGUAGGAGUAAUGUAGCUUCCUGACGAGUUCCUUCUAGCAAGCUGUGCUGCAUUGACCUUGAUCUCUGGCGAGCUGCAAAGUUCCGUCACCAGGUGUUCUAGGCUUUAACCACCGGGCGCAUCGCUUGUGGUUUCGUCUAGUUUCAUCUACAAGGUAUCGAAUAUCAUGGAUCUUUAACUUACGCAUCGCUUCUGUCUUGAUCUACGGUAUUCACCAGUUAUCCUGCCUUGGUUAAGUCUGCAUCGGCUGAUAUUUAUCUGUUCUAUCAUCUUGCCGUUCAGUUUGCUUUAAUUAGCUUUAGAUCGGUUCAUUAUAGAUGAUAGAUCGCUUAAUAGCCUGUUGCAUCUUAAUCUUGGUUACCCCUUCAAGUGCUGUUGGGAUUAAGUUUCGUUAUGAUUGGAUUCAUCGGCUGGUGGGGUUGGUGGGGUUCAGAUUAACAUCGUGCUAAAUAUUUCUAGACUGCAACUACUGGACGCAUCGCUGUGGUUUCAUCUAGAGAUAUUGGUAGAGAGUUUAGUUUAGAUCUCAUCGGUUCGUGGCUCUAGCUAUGGUGGAGCGGCAGCUGAAUAGCAUCCUGUUUUCUAUCGGUCGCCUGGCCGAUAGUUAUUGCAAAAUAUAUUAAAUCGCCUGGAUGGCCGAUGGAUCACUCACGCUCGUCAAGGAUCAUAUCGGCCUGAUCGGCCAGUUGCCUCGGACUUCAAAGGAUUAUUUUCACCUUGUCAGUUGAAUGGUCAAACUGGCUGGCACGCCCGCGCACACCAUGCGCGCCGAUUUGGAUUUUGCACUGGAGUUAAGUAGAUCUUCCAGGUCCUCAUGUGGUGACGAAGGAUCCACCACCAUCAGGAUUUUGCGUCAACACAUUUUGGCACGCCCAGUGGGACACGGUUAUAAGGUUCAUAUUUUUAUUCAUAUAAAAAAGCAUCUUCGGCAUCAUCGGCCAAAUGAGUGUUCAUCGGCUUGUUAGAAUUAAUUCAAUAUAAUAUUUCAGCAAAAGCAGCCGAUGUAGCGAUUGGAGAUAAGGCCAAGUCAAGUCUGCGUGUAUACGCAUGUUCCGGUGGGAUCAUCUUCAUAAAUGCCAAUGACGAUUAGAGAUGAAGCUUCCUGCAAAAUGAUUGGCUACUCUAUCCGGGAAGAAUUGCUUUUUUAUGAGGCAUAUAUAGAGACCCAUGUUGCAAUUAGGGGGCGUAUUCGUGCAUUGGCUGAAAUAAAAAAAUGCAUCGGCAUAUUGAAAAUUGCAUCGGCCGAUUGACAGUCGUAUCAGCUGAUUGGAAAAAUAAAAAGGGAUCAGGGAUCCGCCGAUUGAAAAUUGCAUCAGCUGAUGGAAAAUGAGAGCAACAGUUACAAUAUUUUUUUUAAAAGAAAGCAAGUAUCGGCAAGCAGUAGCCGAUGGAUUUGUAUUUCAGCCAAUGGGGUUUUUGUUUCAGCUGAUAGUACUACUGGCUGAUGGCAAGUCCAAUGGAGUUAAAAUUGCAUUGACUGAUUGAAAUAAAAAUUAAGUAUCGGCUAAUUUAUGGCCAAGUAGCAUCUGCUGAUUUGUUGCAAAGUAGUUUCGGCUGAUUUAUGGCAAAAUAGAAUCGGCCGAUUUAUGGCAAAGAAGCCAAUAGACAAAAGCAUCGGCUGGUAGAGAAGCCGAUUGAGCAAGCAUCUGUUGAUGAGCUAUGUAUGGGAAAAAGUAUUGGCUGCUUAAACAAUUGACAAAAGCCAAUUGGUCAGACUGAGAAGCCAACUGGGAAAGCAUCGAUCGAUGGAUUGCGUAUGGGAGAGAGUAUCGGUUGAAGUCUUUAGUAUUGACUGCUAGAUAUUUGAGCAAGCGUCGGCCGAUUGACUGCUUGGUAAAAAAAACAUCGGGCUGAUUGCUUGGUUAAUAAAAAAAUUGCAUCGUUCAAGCAAAGAUUGCAUGGGCUGAUUGGUUCAAGCAGAAUAGUAUCGGUUGCUUAUAGAAUAUAUCGGAUAUUAAUUUCGAAGCAUGAAAAUAUUCAUACUCCGAAACUGGGGGGCCUGUGUUGACAACAAAAGCUUGCUGGUUACUGCAUCAAGUUUUGGUGUCAACAUACUUGAUCUUUUGUUUCCAUUGCCAGCGGAUUCAUCGGCUCAGAGUGGGAUCAAGACAUCAAGCUGAUGGAGUUCUUUAUAUUUCAAGAGGAGUCAUGGAGUUCUUUAUAUUUCAAGAGUAGUCGAUGGUGCUUUGAAUAUUGCAACCAGACGUCAUUGGCUCUAAAGAUACCGAAUCAUCGGACUUCUAUGAUCAGUUUCGGAACAUGAAGCCUUCAUACUACGAAACUGGGGGCCUGUGUUGACACCGAAUCAUCGGACUUCUAUAAUUAGUUUUGGAACAUGAAGCCUUCAUACUUCGAAACUGGGGGGCCUAUGUUAACACCAAAAUUUAGAAAUGUGCUCUGAAAGGAAGGUAUCGGCCGAUGAUGCAAAAAAAUAAUGAAAUCUCCUAAAUAAGGCUGAAGAAAGAAAAGCAAGAAAAGGAAAUCAACGCACACGGCAAGAAUUGAAUAAAAUAUUCUGGAGAUAGAGUUGGUUAGGAUAAGCUUGAUUAGAGAUAGAGUUGGAUUAUUUAGAGAUAGUAUUUUGAUUAGAAAAAAUUGUGUACAUGACUUGCCUUGUACGUGGUGCGUCAGAGGCCAUCCGCCCUAUAAAUAUAAGGGGUCGUGGCCAUUGUAAUUAUCAUCACACGAUCAAUAUACAACAUAUUUAUCUUUUACCUUUUCGGCUUCACGCCAUUGCAUUAGGAGUAGGAGUAAUGUAGCUUCUCGACGAGUUCCUUCUAGCAAGCUGGGCUGCAUCGACUUCGAUCUUCGGUGAGCUGCAAGUUCCGUCACCAGGUGUUCUAGGCUUUAACCACUGGGCGCAUCGCUGUGGUUUCGUCUAGUUUCUUCUACCAGUUACCGAGUAUCUUGGAUCUUUGACUUAUGGCACAUCGCUUCUGUCUCGAUCUACGGUAUUCACCAGUUAUCCCGCCUUGAUUAAGCUUGCAUCGGCUGAUAUGUAUCUGUUCUUUCAUCUUGCCGUUCAAUUUGCUUUAGUUAGCUUUAGAUCGGUUCAUCAUAGACAAUAGAUCAUUUAAUAGCAUGUUGCAUCUUGAUCUUAGCUAUCCUUCGAGUGUUGUUGGGAGUAAGUUCCGUUGUGAUUGGAUCCAUCAGCUAGCAGGGUUUAGAUUAACAUCCUGCUAAAUAUUUCUAGACUGCAACUACCGGGCACAUUGUUGUGGUUUCACCUAGAGAUAUUGGUGGUGACGUUAGUUUAGAUCUCAUCGGCUUGUGGCUCUAGCUAUGGCGGGGCAACAACUCAACAACAUCCUGUUUUCAAUCGACCGUCUAACUGAUAGCUAUUGUAAAUUAUAUUAAAUCGGCUGGAUGACGAUGAAUCACUCACAUUCAUCAAGGUACUGGAAUCGGCUUCACAGCCGAUAUAUUUGUCAUGAUUUAUUUUGUUGCACCAUUAUCGCUACUGUGCUAGGAUUAUAUCGGCCUAAUCGGCCAGUUUCCUCGGACUUCACAACGACUAUCAUCUCCUUGUCAGUUGAAUGGUCAAACUGACUGGCAUGCCCGCGCACACCACACGUGCCGAUUUGGAUUCUGCACUGGAAUUAAGCAGAUCUCCCAGGUUCUCAUGUGCUGAUGCAGGGUCCACCACCGCCAGGAUUUUGUGUCAACACCUUGUAAUCUUCCUUUGAUUUCCUCAAUGAUUCGAAGACAAUAACCUUGCUUGUAUAAAUGAUAAUUAUAAGGAGAACCUAGUGGAAACUGUGUAUUCAUAUUAGAACUACCUAUGGUUAAUUAGGUUAGGAAAGGAAAUCGAAAAUAGACCGUACCCACACUUACUUAAAGUUGUUGGGCAGUAGUAUGUAAUGCUUGUAAUUCUGUUACUCCAAGAAUUUGUAUAUGUGGUCCAAUGUAGACUUUGGUUGAUCCCAUAUCUGUUGUUGGUUAAAUAAGUGUUUCUGGCCAUUUCUAGCCGUUAGAACCGGAACUAAAGGGGGCUCUUUAGUACGGGUUGAUAUUACUAACCGGGACUGAAGAGCCCCCAUUACAGUUGGUUUUUGGACGCGGAACUAACAACUCCUUUAGUCCCGAGUCCAAAAACGACUGAGAUAGAAGAUCCUUUCUCUACCGUGAAUAUUGCCAGAAAGAAUUGAAAGAGACCGCUUGCUAAAAAUAUGUCAUAGAUGUAGACCAAGCUACCAAGGAGGUAGACCAAACAUGAUACACACCAUGCGUACCUUGCUGUGCAGACUAUGCAUAGACAAGACACCCGACCACAUGUUGGCCUCGGUCACAUCAAAAGAAUCAUGUAGGCCACCAAUAAACUACUUGAAGCGUCAUUCCGUAUCGUAUAUGCAUUGCCGGUUCAUCUGCAUUACAUUACAUAAAGUAGUAUUAACUAUUUGAAUAAAAUGAACCAAUUUAAAAGUAAUGUGUUGUACUCUACUAUAGAAAGCCCUAUCACUGUCGGAUCCAGAAACAUCAUUGUUGAUGGUCGUUAAGUACCAAGACGGUCAAUAUUCUCAAGAAUAAUGGAGAAUUGGCAUUUCUUACACACAUAUUUGGUUUUGAACAAUGUAGUCCCACAUGUCCUUGGAGAUUAUUUGGGUGUGGGUGAAAUAAUACAAAAAGAAGGAGAAAACACACUCCCAUGGUGAAGAAACAAAACUCCGACCAAUGAGAGAUAGCCACAGGGGCAGCACACGGAUCCAUGGGCCCACAAACCGCAUCAAACUGUCUUACCAAGGCGGGUAGCACCCACAACCAUGAUUAGGACCCACCUGGAUGUCUACCAAGAAGAAGGUUGUGAGUGGGGCCAGGAGGGGUUCGGCUGAAUCAUCUCUAGCUCCCCUCAUCCCCAGCUGGUGCAUGGCGGUGGUUAAUGGUGUCCCUACAUCGGUUAGAGGAGAUUCCCCCAAAUAUUCCUCCUGUAAACCACCUGUAUGGACCUAUACAUAGAGGGGUGUGCUCUCCAAUCCAACACACACCACAAGUUUAAUCACUCUCUCCCUCUUUAAUUUCCAUGUUUAUGGAGUUAGCCUAGAGUAGCUCUGCUCAAGGUUCCAAGUCCACUUGGAGUUAAGCAUAUGUCUCUUGUAUCGUUAUUUCCCAGAUUGACUUUAUGCUUAGUUCUUAUAUGCAUGAGUUAGUCUAAUAGCCUUGCUCUAUUGAUAUGCUCGGCUUAUAUGCUCGUAUGCUAGUCAUAUACCCUUGCUGCCGUAGUAUAGGCUUAUAUGCUCUCAUGUGUGCCUUUAGACCUUGCUACAAUAUAUACUUGUUGUGUAUACAUACCAUGUAUAGGCUAGUCGAUCUAUACCAUGGCAUUGGUUCAAUAGCCAUGUUUUUGGUGGCUCCAACCCUAGUCAGAAUAGCUCGGGACAGCUAGAGUGUUGUUAAAAAUGCAAGAGUGAUGGUUGGGUUGUUUAGCAUCGUUGGAUAUGGGUUUUCCCCACGGGUUUCUAAGAGUAGGCGGCAGCUAGUGACAGCCCUGUCCGUCCUUCGUAAUCCCCCCACAUUCAAGUACGCCAUAGAAGUUCAUAAAUUAGCAGUAACUACACCGGCAGACCGGUAGGGUAUUGUCUCCCUAUAGUACCUUGGUGCAUAGAACUAGGUCAUAUACACUGUGUGUCUAUGUUUACGCUGAUAUGAUCUGUGCAGUAUAUAGCAUGUAUAUAUGAACCUAGAGCUAACUCCUAGUCCAUUCUCCGUAGCUUAGUUAUCUUGAGAUGAUUCUUCUGUGUGUGUAACACUACCCAUCUUAUCAUUAUCCUUAAUCCUGUCUUGUGUAAUAUAUCUACUCAUCCUAUGAUAUACUCAUAUGCAUAGUAAACUAUUUUGACCUACCCGCCUUCCUUUGGGAAAUACGAUACCCUGGAAUAAUCCUAGGUGAAAUGCUACAACGGUAUAUCCAUGUGCUUACGGAAUUAUUCCUGACCAUUAAAUAUACCAACAAUCAUCACUAUCUAUUUUGGGCAUCGUUAGUGAAGGGUCGGCAGUGAUGGGCAUCCCCUUCACCAAUGGAGCUGGAACUGGCGGUGAUGGCCAUUAAAAAAAAUGGGACCCCACCCAGCGUACCCCGCAACCCGGCCGGCUGCGCCUCCCAUCAUCCCCGCCGGUCGCCCUUCCUCUUUGCCGGCCGAGCAUGGUUCCGGCCCUCGUCCCUACCGCCUCGCCUCCAUCGCGACCCCCUGCCGAUGCCCUCAUGCCUGGCCCCCCUCGUCUGGCCGGCCACCCUCCCGAUGCAUCCACCGGGGCCCUCGCACCACCAACCACCCUAGCCUAGAGAGAGAGAGGAGGAGGGAGGUGAGGCCACGCACCUCGUCCUACAACGCCGCUGUUGCUCCUCGGCCCACCGCGCCUCACCCCACACCACAGCCGCACCUCGCCAUCUUACCGGCCGCGACGCCCCAUCUCACCGGCCACCGUUCCUCACCCCCACAUCGGUCAUCGCUGCUCCUUGCCCUACUGCUGCUCUUUGCAGCCGCGAAUGAGGGGCGAGUGGAGGGGGAGGGGCGGGGCAGGAGGAGGGCAAGAUCCGGGAGGAAGGGAGAGAUUUUGGGAGGUGGAGAUGGAAGGAUAUGGCGGAAGGUAGAGAUCUAGAGGGAGAGAGCGGGGGGGAGAGGGGGGCAUGUGGGGAGAGAGCGCAUGUGGGGUGGGGCCGGGCUGGUGGGAUGGAAGGUAGAGGGGCCGGAGGGCGCAGUGCAUUCAACUGGAUUAAGUAAAUAUUUCGGAUUCGAGACCCCAGCUUUAUUAUCACCGCUGGUCCGUAGUACCAUUCGGUGCCGGCUCAUAAUUUAAUUUGAACCGGUGGUGAUGUUUUAUUAUCACUGCUGGUUUCAAUUUUCACCAUCGGAUCAUAUAAAAAUCCGGCGGUUAAAAAUCCGCUGGUUUCGAUGAAAACCGACAGUGAUAGGACGACUGUGAUAGUCUCUUCUCUAGUAGUAGUAUAUUAGUACCGGCUGCCGGAUGGUGUUGCCGACGAGUACUUCUCCAGGGGCGAUUCAGUACUGAUGUUAGCAAAGCUUGUUCUCUAUGAAUUUGGGGAUGGAAAGCUAGUUCUCUAGUUGUGAUUUGUUACAUAUAUCUCUAUGAUAGUCUAGAAAUUGCAUGUCCUUCGUUGACAUAGUUGAAGCUGCUUCAAGAAUUUACUUCGUGCAGUCGUGCAGCAUAUUGGAUUAUCACCUAGACAGGAUACAUAGGUGAAGCAUUGCAUGUGAUUGUGGCUGAUAAUUAUGCAGGACGCUGUUGCAAUCAACCAUCAAGAAGACUGGAGCGAUGGGGUUGCCUCAUCAACAAUUUUUAUAUAUGGCUGCAGUAUUAUUAAGCCCACGUCAAUAAUUUUUUCUCCGCAGCAUAUAUAUGGUUACUCAGUUCGCUGGAGUAUCGCUGUGGAAAAACAUACGUACUGCGCCUCGGAACUAACUGGCAUUCAGGCCAUCAACGACCAGAUAUUUGGGACAACCAACAAAUAGUAGGUGGUUCCUAAGUUGUAGUCGUAUGUACUAAUGCGCCUCGAUGGGGUUUUCUUCAGAUAUUUUAUUGCCGUUCAAUGAACAAGCAGAUACAUAACCUGUGCAGAAAAUUCCAUCUCCACGCAUGCCACUGCACCAACAAGAUCCUCAGUCGACGAUGAUGGCUCAGCCUGUUCCUUCUGCCACCAAAUCCUCAAUCUUCCCUCCAGCAACGGAGAAUGCACCUUUAGUACCUUCAGUAUCAGAUGUUGCAAUCGGUACCGUGAAACCGAGACUAAAAUCCUUACUUUGCAGGGGGCAAAACAAUCUUGCAAAUAUAUAUUUUGAAUUCCAACAAAAUUUAAGAAAUGUUAAAGAUGACUAGCUGAGAGUCAACAGACAAGAUAUGAUAUUAGGAAUGUGGGAGGAUGAAUGCAUUUGUACAGGGGUCAUACUAUUUCCAGACUCUUCUAUAUUUCCAUAUGACUACCUACUUCAAUGUCACGCGAGCCAUUCAAAAAGAUACAUGGUACACUUGUAUGUCUAAUCCAUUAUUGAUUAUUUCCUCUUGUCAUCUCUUACAAGUAUUUCUCCAUACUAUAGAAACGUGCAACACAUUUUUAGGAUAUGGACACGCAUGAUUAAUAUGCUUGGACUAGUAUACAGGUCAUCUUUGGAUGAGUACAUAUGAAUGCCAGGGAGGGACUGAUGGAUAUAAGGAAAAGGGACCAUGCAUAAAUAAUGACAUAUGUAACAUGGCAAUCUUCAUUGCCAUGCAACUCCUAUCAACAAUCAUGGAAUACAUACUACUGCUCCAGAAGGGUGGUGUGCAAAUUUAUUUUACCUCGCGGUGAAAAUCUCCAGAGCAGGCCUGAAGUUAAAAUAAGAGGCAGUCACUAUCGAUCAUGACAGUCUCGAAACUGUACAGCACUAUGCUAGUCCUAGUCCUCAUGUCGUUCGUGCUGUCGUGUAGCAUGAUGGAUUAUUAACUGGGCAGGACACGGAGAUGGCUAGCGAUGACAGAGGAUGACGUACAUGAUAUUCACCUCUGAAAUGAAGCGUAGGCUAAUGAAGCACAAUUGCAUGUGAGUGUGGCAGAUAUUUAUACAGGACAGUGAUUGCAAUAAUCGACCAUCGAGAUCGAAGACAGGGGCGAUGGGGUUGCCUCAUCAAUAAUUCGCGCAACCAGACAAGCUGCAGACUCAAUAUGGUACGAAGCUAUUUGGUCAGCCCACAUGCUCUGAUAUAACAUUGGCAUCUGCUGAUCUACAGUAUAUAUGACCAGAAAUAUUGUGCCACCUCAAUAAUUUUCCGAAGUAUCGUUGGGGAAGCACCUACAUACUAUGCCUCGGAACUAACUGACAUGUUGGCCUAGGCGGUCCAGGCCGAUUGGACAGGCUCUUCCUUAUGGCUCCUCACGUCCCCUUCGUUUCCGAGUAAUCUCAGGUGUUCUGAAGUUUUCUUUUCACUUGCAUGUGGACCUUAUAUAUCAAUAGCUUCGGGAUAAGAAUGCCUCUUGAUAACCUUCCAAAUCGUCGCUUGAUUCACUUUGAUUCCAAAAUCAUCUUGCCAUAUCUUUUGAGACUUAGGCCCUAAGGCAUCAUGGAGGAUUGCUCGCCAAGAAUGAGCACCAUUGGGCUCCUGAGGACCCUAGGCCGAUCAGCCUGGGCUCUAUAGGUUGAUUGGCCCAGGCCCUCUCUGGGCCCAUUGGCCUUCAUCUUUCUCUGAGUCGACGCUUAUUGAGGGCUUUGUCCAAUUAUAGUCCAUUAUAGUCUAAUUUCCAAAAAAAUAGAAUAUCCUCCAAAAUACAAUACAUUUGUGAAAACAGCCCAAUUAUUAGGUAUGAUCAAUAGUCUAGGUAUUAAAUUAAUGUUAUUAUUUAAGAUAAAUAGGGAUAAAGGGUGUCAUUAAUAACGAGCACCAACCAGCGUACCAGCUGUUAACACUAACCGAUGCUAAUAUGUACCCUUUAGUACCGGCUAUUUCACCCGGUACUAAACGAGACAAGAGCACCCUAACAGAGGUUAAUACCAUCCAUUUCAUGAGUAAAAUACUAUGAUUCAAAAAUAAUUCAAAUCCCUUAAGACAAUACCUAUCAAAUGAGUAGAUUGUAAAUAGAGUAAAACAAUGUCCUAAUGAAACGGAACACUUCUGGUUCGUGUAGAGCACAAUAUAGAAAACAGUAGGGUAGCUGUACGAUUGACACGUGGUCCAUUAAUUAUUGAGCCAUCACUAUGGACAUGUCUUCAUGAGUAGUGUACUAGUCAUGACACAUGGUAUGUAGUAGGUGGAGGUAUUGAGUUAGCCAUGCCAUGAGCACUUAGUUACAACAAACACUUUGCCAUUAUCGAGCAUCCCAAAUCACUACAAAAUCCAUAGUUUACCAUAUACUACAAAAUCUGAGUUAAAAUAAGAGCAUACACGGAAGAGUCCGAAUGCACCGGUUUAGGACCAGGCACAUUGAAUUACUAGAAAAAGUUAUCGGACAAGGUUUUGGGUAACCGCAUGAAAAAUGUUGGAUUUUACUGAACACUUAGUUACAAUUACCAUGCCGUGAGCACUUAGUCACCACAAACAUUUAACCACUUUAGAUCAUCCUGAAUCCCUAUAAAUUCUGUACCUUACACCGUACCAUGAAAACGACAAGAACAGAGACAGAUGCAGUGAAAAUCUCCAGAGCAGGCCUGAAAUUAAAAUAAGAGGAGGCAGUCUCUAUCGAUCAGGACACGGAGAUUGCUAGCCAUGACAGAGGAAGACAUGAUAUGAUAUUCACCUCUGAAAUGCAGCGUAGACUAAUGAAGCACAAUUGCAUGUGAGUGUGGCAGAUAAUGGACCAUCGAGACCAUCGAAUGGUAUGAAGCAUGAUUAUCACCUAGACAUGAUAUCCUAGACAGGACGGUGAAUUGUAAAAAGAGUAAUCUUGAUCAAAGAAUGUCCUAAUGAAACGGAACAUUUUUGGUACGUGUAGAGCACAAUAUAGAAAACAGUAGAGUAGUUGUACGAUUGAAACUGCAUCCAUCCACGUGGUCCAUGAAUUGUUGAGCCAACACUGUGGACAUGUCUUCAUGAACACCAUCUAGUGAGGACAGGAUGCAGAAAAAUAUAAAAACAUGUCAUAGGGAGGCAGACCAAUCUUGCAAGGAGGUAAACGAAACGUGAUACACGAUCUGCCUACCUUGUCGUGGAUACCCCAAGAGAAGAUGUCAUAGAGGUGCAGACCAAGCUAGCAAGGAGGUAGAUGAAACGUGAUACACGGCCUGCCUACCUUGCCGUGGAUAUUAGCCCUGAUAUCAUUCUAUUGUUCAAGGAAUAACACUCAAUGCUGCUGCUGCUGCUGACCUGGCUCCAUAAAGUUGUAUUCCUCUAGCCGCUUGCACUAACUUUAUCUGAAGUAUUAUUCUCUCUGCCCUGAUAUCUGAAGUAUUAUUCUCUCUGCUGACUUUGCUGAAGAACCUACAUAAUAUGUCUUGGAACUAACUGACAUUGAUUCACAGACAAACUCUACAAGGUGCUGUUGUUGCCAUAUUUUAGAGCAUCCCAAAGGACUAUAAAUAAUAUAGUUUACCAUAUACCGUAUACCAUUAUAUGUUAGCUAAAAUAAGAGCAUAACAUGUCGCAGGAGUCCAAAAGCACCGGUUGAGGACCAGGUACAUUGAAUUACUAGAAAAAGACAGGGGGCAAUGUUUAGGUAGCCACAUGAAAAACAUUUGAAUUUACUGUUCCAUGAACACUUAGUUACCAUGCCGGGAGCACCUAGUUAACACUAAAAUUUAGCCACUUUAGAUCAUCCCGAAACACCCUCAAUAGCGACAAAUUUUGAUUUAAAUGCCGUCACCAAUGAUCCUCAAUAGCGACGUGUUUAGGUUUAAAUCCCGUCACUAAUAACCCUUGGUAGUGACGUGUUUUGGUUUAAAUCUCAUCCCACUGAUCCUCAAUAGUGACGUGUUUUUAGCAACACACGCUAUGAAUGACUUGUCAUUGGUGACAUGUUAAAUGCGUUAUCUCAAUGGCAAAUCAUUGGUGACGUGUUUUAAAAAAACAUGUCACUGUGAGAGUUAUUGGUGAAGGGUAAUUAAAAUGCAUCACUAAUUUUGUAGCAUUAGUUAUGAUAUAAUUUAGUAACGCAAAAAUCUACCAUCAGUAAUGAGGUUUAGAGCCGUCGCUAAUGUGGGUUUCUUACGAGUGAUGCAAGCUCUACAAGGUGCUGUUGUUGCCAUUUUAAAGCAUCCCAAGUGACUACAAGUUAAUAGCAUAGUUUACCAUAUACCAUAAAAAUAUUAGUUACAAUAAGCACAUCCGCAUGUGGAAGAGUCCGAAUGCACCAGUUGAGGACUAAACACAUUGAAUUACUAGAACCAAAUGUAAGACAAAGAAAGGGGUCAAGGUUUGGGUAACCGCAUUAAAAACAUUGGAUUUUACUGUACCAUGAACACUUAGUUACCAUUACCAUACCUUGAGCAUCUAGUUACCACAAACAAUAAUUUAGCCACUUUAGAGGUUCCAGAAUCACUAUAAAUAAUAUACCAACACCGUACCAUGAAAACAUCAAGAAGAGAGACGGGUACAUGGACCACCAUCAAGUGAGUAGUGACAGCACGCACAAGAAUACCCGGAACCUGUUAGCUUGUCUGUAGUGAUCUGUUUUCUUCCCCAUAAAAUCCAUGAGUAUUGCCACAAAUAAUGAAAGAGGCUGACCAAGCUAACAAGGAGGUAGAGAAAACGUGAUACACGUAGGUUUCAUUCAAGACAUCCAUGUAAGAUUCAUUCAAAACAUUCAUGGAAAUUUCUUGUAAGUUUUCAUGUAAAUUUCAUUCAAGACAUUUGUUAGAGGUGUUGUAUAUAUAUACCUUAACGUACAUAUAUCUAUGAUUUCAUGGUUGUUAGUGAUGGCAGAUGAGGAGCAUGCAAGGUAUUUAAUGGAGCAGAUUAUUGCUAGUGGUAGUGGCUCCAACCUGCCCGUAACGUACACCAACGAAGAGAGCAGCCAGGCGGACAUGUUCCUCAACAUAUCCGGUGAUGGCAAUGAAGAGCCCGAGCAAAACCUUGCCGUGACGGAAGGUUCCAGUGAGGUAUAUAUCAUUUCCAUUGUUUUACCCCAUCUAUAAUUUCAUAUUCAUUAUUACUAUGUACUAAUUAAUGGAUCUUGAACCAUUAGCCCUCUAGAUCAACGAACCGAAAUAAGCCCCGAGGUCUUACAAAGAUAAUGCAGGGAAGGCAUCACAUCACGGAAGUCACAGAAGAGGGCACAUCAGUUGCUCCCGAACAUGUGGCAAGAAAGUACGUGAGUCAAACCGGGCAAUGUGCCCAUCAGCAUUAGGGAAUGAAAGGGCAAUAGAAAUGAUCUAUACACGCCCCCGGAUACACAAAAGGAUAUGCUGUGGGCAAAUAUCAAGAAACACUUCACAUUUCCCAAAGGAUAUGUUGAAAAAGAUGUGAAAGCGUGGAUGCUGAAGAAGAUGGUCACCGAAUUCCAGACAUUCAAGAAGAUGUUGGAUGUCAACUUCAUCAAGAAGGGUCGAACUCCGGGUUUCGAUGAGUGGCCAAAGUUAAGGGACCACUGGGAGUCAUUUGUCAAAUACAAGACGAGUGAAGGUGGUGCGAGUAAGGUUCGCAUCAAUGUUGCCAAUGCUAGCAAGGAGUACCAUCAUCAUCUAGGGCGACGUGGUUACAGCACUGCAAUUCCCAGAUGGCGCAAGAUGGAACAAGACCUGAUCGAUCGGGGUAUCGUACCAGCAACUCCUGACUGGCCUGAUCGAUUGAAAAAUUGGUAUUAUGCUCAUGAAGGCAAUCUGAGCCAACAGGAUGCGACAUUGGUCUUCAAUAAAACAAUACGUCAGAAGGCCGGAAGGCUUAUUAGGAACAUUGAAAAUGCUAAAUCUGGGAGGUUCAAGGUGGAUAGAGAGAAUGAUGAGCUCACAUUGGCCCUUGGGACUAUCAUCUCUAGCAUUUCCAGCUCCAGGACUGUCGUCACCACCGGGACCGUCGCUUCUUGCUCGAUCACAGUCUCCAUCUCCAGCACAUCCUGGUGGUGCGAACGAUGACGACAACAACACCCCUCCCUGCCCACCAUCGCCGGGACUAAGACCCGCAUCGAGUAAGGAACCUGCAGCACCACUGAAGAAGUCGCGACCACCGCCUUCCAAGCCAAGUCAGCAAAAGAAGAAAGCAGAGAAGCCUAAGCCCACUGAGAAGCCAACAACCGAUAUGACCGAUGCGGAAAGAUGGAAGGCACUCAAAGAAGAAUGCAGGGAGUGGUUCUGUAAAAAGAACCAAAGAAAGAAAAGGAAAGCAGAUGGAGCCACCGCCAGUAGAUCCAAGAAAAUUAUAAUUUUUUAUUAAGAUGUCAAAAGGAGCCAAGAAGAUGAUUCCACAACUAUCAAACUACGACCGGGCGUUAGUCAAGGCUGAUGAGAGUUAAAAAAGGAAAGGAAAGUCAUCUUCAAGUGGUACUGUCCCCCACCUCGAGGAUCUACCAGAAAAAGACGCUAAAAAGAUAGUAGCAAUGCUCUUGGAUCAACAAACACAUAUAUCAUGAGAUUCAUGCAAGAAACAGGUAUGUGCCUUGCUGAAUGUCUAGGGCAAGUUGAUAUGCUAGCUCUAGAGCCAUUUGUACCGAAAUGGACCUUUGAGCUAGGCAAGCCUCUAGUAAGGCCUGAGCUGGUACAGAAGCUAUCCACAUAGCUAUAUGAAUACCAUGAAUGGUACAUGAAGCAGUCUGCCAAUGAGAGGAAAAUGUUCGGUCUCAGGGAAAAACUGAUAUUUUUUUUCGGCGAAGGCGAGAAAGUCUUGUGAUGGAAUUCAAGGAUAUAUAUGAAGUGUACCAUCAGGAUGCCCUUGAUGUCUCUCUCAUCAGCGCCUAGGUUAUGUAAGUGUAUGUUUAUCUAUACGUAAUUUUUGUCUCAUAUCAUUAUUUCUUUUGCGUGCGUCACCCUACUAACUUCGUCUUCCAUUUUAUGUAGGAUGCUAAUUCAGAUGUGCCGCAUAGAAGCGCACUUCCAUGUUGGCUUCAUGGAUCCAUCCCUAGUUAACCAAAAGCAGAUACGGAAGUAGCUAGAGAAAAUGUUGGAGGUGGUAUACAACUUCCUGGACAAACAAAACUAUAGAAUAGGGGCAAUAUGUGAAGGUCUUGUAGGAUUCCUAGUGGACAAGGUGAUAAAUCCAUAAGGAGAAUAUCAUUACAACGGACGAGCAUUAGACACACUGAGCAACACCUAGACGGGAGGAUCCUAGGAAUGACCUAGACAGAUUUUGGUAUAAAUAGUAAUUGUGUAAAUACUAGUUUGAUUUGUAUAGGAAUAUACUAAGAAUUGUAUAUAUAGUAAUUGUACAAAUACUAGUUUGAUUUGUAUAAAUACUAGAUUGAUUUUAUUAUAAAAAAGUUUUAAGUCGUACGUGCAUGCGCCUACAAAGGCGCGUAUGCCCUUUAAUCCCGGUUGGAAAAACAAACCGGUACUAAAGGGGCUCGUGCCGCACCUGGCAUGACCGCCCCUUUAGUCCCGGUUGAACGACCCAGGACCAAAGAUCUGCCCCGUCUCAUAAAUUUUAUCCUGGAUGCUUUUUAGAGAGAUUUGAGGCCUAUCAACCAAGACUAAUAUCGAGUUUUCUACCAGUGGAACUAACUAACGUUCACAUGCUUCUGACAUUCACCUGCCAUUUGGUGUAGACAAGGGCACCCUAACAUAUGGUUAAUAUUAUUCAUGAAAGAAAAUCCUUUGAUUCAAAAAUACUUCAAACCUAAUAAUACAAUACUUCUCACAUCUGAAAAAUAUGAGAUGGCCCGACAGUAUUCUAACCGACGCAAUAAUAUUUUGAGGGCAGCACUACUACAGCGACCCUCAUUCGUGCCGGUGCUGGAACCCCUAUCACGACCCUGAUACAAAUGAGGGUACAUUAUUGUUGCCAGUGCUAGAAUAGCCACGAAUAACUUGCUAAACAUGCUGUUACACUCACUACUAGAAAAAUAACCUCUCGUCCUGAGGCUUAGUACCGGUCACUUUUUUGCCCAGUACUAAUGUUAGUAUUAGUACCGGAUCCAAAUUUGGGAUCCCCCAGAGACCCUUUAGUACCAGGUGGAGUCUCCACCCGAUACUAAAGGCUUUGUUACCGGGUGAAGGAUCCUCCCGGUACUAAUGGGGGAUUUUUAGUACCGGGUGGGAACCCCACCCGAAACUAAAAUCUCCCAUGCGGACCCCUCCCCCCCCCACGCGUUGCCUCUGUCCUCCCUCCUCCUCCUCUGAGUAGUUAUCCCUUCCUCAUCCCUCCUCCUCCUCCCACACGUGGGGUGAGGUGAGGUGGCAGUAGCAACGACAGGUGGUGUGGCGGGUCACGGCGGGCCGGAUGCGGAGCCGCAACGGUGGUCGGCGGGAUGGGGUGGGGCAGAGCGGCAUGGCAGGGCGGAGCGGUGGGACGGGGCCGAGGUGGAGGUGCCGGGCGGAGGUGGAGUGGCAGGACAGAGGCGGAGGCGGAGCGGCGGGUCGGCGAGCGGGUGGAGGGUGGCGACGAUGGGGCGGGCAGAGGCAGAGGGGUGGGUGGAGGGGCGGCGUGGUCCACCGGCGGGGGGGGGGGGGGGAGAGGGAGGCGUGGGGGGUGCGGUUGGUGAUUUCAAUUUUCUUUUAAUUUUUUAACACCCUUCAGUACCAGUUAUUUUAACCGGGUCUAAAGGGAUCCCCUCUUGUACCGAAUUGCUAGUACAGGAUGCACAACCGGUACUAGAGGGAGGUUCCCAACCGGUACUAGAGCCACUUUCCCCGGUAGUGACUUUUUCACCGAUUAGAAUAUGUUAUUAUUCUAAUCAGCUUUUGUUGAUCUCCUGUAUAAUUUAGUACCUAAUUCUACUAGCAAUUGUUAACGCCGACACGUAUUGGGUAUAGUCCUAACAGUGUCUAACUAGGGCACUACAUUUGUUAACCUAUAACUACUGGUAUCGAUUAGCCCUGGUUAGAAUACUGUCAAGGCAGCCAGAAAAAAUUGUUUGCCAAUUCUGCUAUCCAUCAGAACCAUGACUAGUACCGUAUUGUAAUAAACGAAUUACACAAAUAACUGAUGCACACAAAGGAAUAUGCACUCGCAUGUGCUAGACGUUCGUAGCAACAACAAAUUACUCUCAUCAUCAAUUAAACAUAAUAGAUUAAACAUUAACUGAACAUAGUUCAACACGUACAUCAACAAGACAAAGCAGUUUAAACAUCAACUGAACAGAACUGAAAACAUACAUCAACUGAUGAUAAACUUCGACAUGAACACAACACAUAAACAUCAACUUCAAUAGAACUUAAUAGAGCAUAUUAAACAACAACAUCGACAAAACAUAUAAACCCAGCUCAGUAGCUCAAGCAUCAACUAAAACUGCUGAAUUAAAAUAACAUAACAUAGUGUAGUUCAUCAUGAUGAUAACUAACAGAACCGAAAAGCCUAACUGGGUAAAAGAGCAAUUCAUUCAUAAUGCUUCAGCACUUACAUCACCGGAGUAUGCAACUGGCGGCGUCGCUUACGUCACUAUCACCGCGCUUGGCGAGUAAAGGAGGAGGAGGUGGCAUAGUAAUCGAAGAGGAGGCCGCUGUCGGCGGGUUUAGACUACGUGGAGGUGUGGGUAGGGUUAAGGUGGCUCUGUGGACGAGUAUAUAUAAGAGGUCUGGGCUUGUUAGAAUAAGAUAACAUUCUAACUGGCCAAAUUCGGAUCCGGUUAGAAUAAAUUGUUCUAACCAGCCUUAAUUCGAGGUGGUAAGGAUAAGUUAACAUUCUAAUCAGCUCUAUUUGGAGCCCGAUUGAAUGUUCUUGUUAUUCAAAAAAAGAUCAAGUUCAUCAAUUUUUUUCUAGAAAAACAUCAAGAUAAUUUAAACACGAUAUAUAACAAGAUUAAUACAUUUAAAAAUUGUUUUCUCCAAUAAUUAACGAUAUUUAACAAAUUCAAAAAAAAUCCAAAUUAACAGAACAUAAUAACCAAUUGUUCGAAAAAAUCAAAAUAGUCCACACAGUAUCAUAUUACAAAUUCAGAAAAAUAUCAAAAUAAUCCCUGAUCCACUCGAUACCGUCGUAGAACUUUGAAAUACUGAGCUUCUUGAUUCAUCUGAGGUCCACGUACUCGUCUCAGUAACACUAGUGGUGGCCAUGCAUCUUGUAGAUGUCUUCUAAUGAAUUAAGCUUGACAUACAAGGUCGUGCCUUCCACUCCUUGAGGAUUGCUUAUGACGUUUCUGCAAAUAACGAAGCAUUGCUUUCUCCAACAUGAUUAUUUUCUUCGGCUUAUCCCAAGGGACAACUAUGGUUUUCCCCUUGCCGGAAGAGGAACGAUGAUCGCCCCCACCAUCGCCACUUCCUCCAGUAGCAGAAGCCAUCUAUGUACAAAAAUUCAUACCUUAGCACUACAGAACUUGUUGAACUUGAAGACUGUGAUCAUUAGGCGAGCAUGUUCUCAACUAGGUGGCACCGCACUUCGUCAUGGAAGAGCUUCGAUUUUACAAAAAAGGGGACAUGAUCUUCCAUGAUGUCCGUAUCCGCUCUUUCUCGUAGAAUCAGAGCUCCUCCUUGAUAUACGAUGCUGCUCGGCGGAGAACAUGCUCACCGAGAUGAACACGGUAUGCAAGUUCAACAAGUAUGGAUUUGAAAAACCAUAUUGAAUUUGACAAGACAAACUAUCUAGAUAAGCGUAGCAUCAUUCUUAAACCACUGCAAGGAUACGUACUAUAUAUGACACAUCAAUCUCCCUCACAUUCUAGCUCAAAAUACCUCUCCAUUUUCUACUUCACAUUCUAGCAAAUAAACUAUCUAUCUCCAUUCUACACAUCAAGUUGUUUUAACUAAUACAAAUCGUAUAUAACAAGCAAAAUAUCCAUCACAUUCUAGCUCAAAAACAUGUAUAAAUACAAAUCCUCUUCAUUCUCCCUUUUUCUAACAAACAAACUCAUUUUUCUCCCUCUCCAAAGCAUAAAUUAAAGCGUAACAUGAGGAUGAGGUAGCAAACCUUCACAACACAUUGGAUGAGUGAAAUUCCCACGAAAAUGAGGGAAAAAAAUUCGGGCAGCACCUCCCUUGCUUCGGCACCUCUAGAGAGUAGGUGAAGCUCAGUUCUCUAUUUUUGUGGUGGACUAGCUUGGGCUGGAGGAGGAAGAAAGGCCUCUGUCUUGGUAUAUAAUGGGGGAUGAGUUUUUAUCCCAGUUAAAAGCUCCAACUGAGACAAAACGGCCAAUCUUUUGUCCCGGUUGGAGCCUCCAACCGGGACAAAAGGGGCACGCCAUCGACGCACGGGAGCUAGCCGUUACAACCGGGACUAAAGGGGGGCCUUUAGUCCCGGUUGCAAAUACCAACUGGGAUUAAAUCUCCCCUCCAUUUUUGCCUACCGUGGUGCGCCCCCUUUUAUCCCGGGUCAACUUUAAACCGGGACAAAAGGGGGCGUCGAAGAUCAGUUCUCUACUAGUGACCCCUCCCCACCUAUCUCUCUCCCUCCAUGCUCCUCGAUCUGUGCCUCCCCUCCCCUCCCCUUCCACUCGCCCCUCACCGACGGUAAGGAGCAGCGGCGGGGCGAGGUGAGGUGGCAGCAGCAAUGGCAGGUGGUGGGUCGCAGCGGAGCGGCUACGGUAGGCAGCCGGACGGGGCAGAGCGGCGGGGCGGGGUGGAGGCGGAGGUGGCGGGUAGAGGCGGAGCGGCGAGGCGGAGGCGGAGGUGGAGGCGGAGUGGUGGGACGGCAGGGCCGGGCGACUAGUAUAGGUGGGCGGGCGGAGGGCGGCGACGGCGGAGCGGGCGGAGGCAGAGGGGCAGCGGGGGCCGCCGGCGGGGGGUGUGAUCGGGGAUUUCAAUUUUUUUUAAAUUUUUUAACACCUUUUAGUCCAACUGGUUCUAAAGGGACCCCUCUAGUAUCAAAAUUGCUAGUACCGGUUGCACAACCGGUACCAGAAGUGGUUCCUAACUGGUACUAGAGCCACUUUCCCUGGUAGAGACUUUUUUACCAGUUAGAAUAUGUUAUUAUUUUAAUCAGCUUUCGCUGAUCGCCAGUAUGAUUUAGUACCUAAUUUUACUGGCGAUUGUUACCGCUGACACGGAUUGGGUAUAGUCCUAACAGUGUAUAACUACGGCACUACAUUUGUUAACCUAUAACUACUUGUAUCGAUUAGCCCUGGUUAGAAUACUGUCAAGGCAGCCAGAAUUUUUUUUUUUUGCCAAUUCUGCUAUCCAUGAGAUCCAUGACUAGUACCGCAAUGUAAUGAAUGAACUGCACAAAUAACUGAUGCACACAAAAGAAUAUGCACUUGCACGCUAGACGUUCGUAACAACAAAUUACUCUCAUCACCAAUUGAACAUAAUAGAUUAAACAUUAACUGAACAGAAUUCAACACGUACAUCAACACGACAAAGCAGUUUAAACAUCAACUGAACUGAACUGAACACAUACAUCAACUGAUGAUAAUUAUCGACAUCAACAGAACACAUGAACAUCAACAUCAAUAGAACUUAAUAGAGCAUAUUAAACAACAACAUCGACAAAACAUAUAAACCCAGCUUAGUAGCUCAGGCAUCAACUAAAAUUGCUGAAUUAAAACAACACAACGUAGUGUAGUUCAUAAUGCUUCGGCGCUUACACCACUGGCGGGUCGCUUACGUCGGCAUCACCGCGCUGGCUGAACCUCCGACACCCCCACCACGGCAAACGGAGGUGAUGGCGGAAGGUGAGGCAACGACAGUAGCUGGUGAGCUCCCGCUCCAAUGUCUCGCGAGUAAAGGAGGAGGAGGUGGCAUGGGAAUCGAAGAGGACACUAGUAGAGAAACGACUUUCCAUCCACCCCCUUUUGUCCCGGUUUAAAGUUGGCCCGGGACAAAAGGUUCACCAACCGGGAUUAAAACUCGGUCACUGGUGGGGGGCUCACCAACCGGGACCUUUUAUCCCGGUUGCAAAGGCUAGUGGGAAAAAAUUACUCUGAGAGGCCUUUUAUCCCGGUUUGAAACACCAACCGGGAUAAAAGACCCCCCCUUUUAUCCCGGUUGGUAACACCAACCGAGAUAAAAGGGUCAAGAGCCUUUUAUCCCGGUUGGAAACACCAACCGGGAUAAAAGGGGGUCUUUUAUCCCGGUUGGUGUUUCCAACCGGGAUAAAAGGGUCCCCCACGAGUUAAUACAAAAGGAUAGUAUCCCCUACAUAGUCAGAUGUGGUGUGUAGGUGGGAUGGUAAGGAAGCUACGCGCGAGGCUGGAGGUUGUGGGUUCGAAUCCCACGAACCGCGCACGCGCAUAUUUCGCGUGAAAAAUCGCGUGACUUGCGACUUGCGCGUGUGGGGGGGCCUCCUGGGAGCUCGGGAAUUUUUUUUUUUUGCAGCGCCGGCCGUGGGUGAACCCUUUUAUCCCGGUUGGUAUUACCAACCGGGAUAAAAGGGGGUCUUUUGUCCCGGUUGAGUGACCCGGGAUAAAAGACCCCCCCUUUUGUCCCGGUUGGUUUAUCCCGGAUGCAUUUUCGAGAUCUUUGCACCCUACCAACCGGGAUAAUAGGUGAGUUCUCCACCAGUGGGAGGCCGCCGCUGGCGGGUUUAGACUACGUGGAUGUGUGGGUAGGGUUAAGGUGACGGUGUGGACUAGUAUAUAUAAGAUGUCUGGGCUUGUUAGAAUAAGAUAACAUUCUAACCGGCCAAAUUCGGACCCGGUUAGAUUAAAUUGAUAUUCUAACCGGUCCUAUUUCUAGGUGGUAAGAAUAAGUUAACAUUGUAAUUGGCUUUAUUUGGAACCCGAUUGAAUCUUCUUGUUAUUCAAAAAAACAUCAAGUUCAUCAAUUUUAAUCCAGGAAAACAUCAAGAUAAUUUAAGCACGAUAUAUAACAAGAUUAAUACAUUUAAAAAUUGUUUGAUUCACAAAUUAACGAUAUUUAACAAAUUCAAAAAAUCCAAAUUAACAGAACACAAUAACCAAUUGUUCGAAAAAAUCAAAAUAAUCCACACACAUUAAUAUAUUACAAAUUCAGAAAUAUAUCAAAAUAAUCCCCGAUCCACUCGAUACCGUCAUAGGACUUUUAAAUACUGAGCUUCUUGAUUCGUCUGAGGUCCACCUACUCGUCUCAGUAACACUAGUGAUGGCCAUGCAUCUUGUAGAUGUCUUCUAACGAAUCAAGCUUGACGUACAAGGUCAUGCCUUCCGCUCCUUGAGGAUAACCAUCUUUGGUGAUCUUGAAAUGGCAGACGGUGGAUGUGCCAAAGGUACGUGACGAUCCUUCUAAAUGUAUGCCACCACAACUUCCGUCUGAUCGCCAUGGGUGACACCAAGAAGAGCUACCAUGCGGCAAGGGACGAACAAUUUAUCAAUUAGUGCCGCUGUCCAUCGCCAUCAUCUAAUCCAGCCAUAUCUUGUUGUAUAUUUAAGUAUAGAAAUUAAGAUUUAAAAAUAAACAGAAUAAAUUGAGAUCGAUUAUGUAUGUAUAUCAGAACAUUAGCUUUUGGAAAAAGGGCUUCGAUGGAAGAGAGGCACGGGGCAUAGAGACAACAACGAGUGACAAUAUGUCAGAAGAAUACCCGAUCACAAUUAUUGGCACACACAGCCGAUAUUUACAGUAGUCAAUACCCCUGGUAAAUAACCACACCAUCAAGAGUAAAUAGUGACAAUAUGCAGUAUAUACACGACAUAGCCUUGGCUGCCGUGGAAGCACCAGAAGGGAGACAAAUAACAGGGACCACUACAUCAAGUAGAUAGUGACAAUAUGCAAAAGAAUACCCGCGCCUGUUAGCAUGUGUGAACUGACCACACCACGAAACGUGAUACACGGCAAGCGUACCAAGGCCUUGCUGUGCAGACUAUGCAUGGACAACACAUGGUACCUGACCGCUUUUGGCCUCAGACACAUCAAAAACUGCAUCGUUCCACGUUGUACAUCCAUUGCUAGUUUAUCUAUAUUACAUAAUAUAUUAUUAGCUAUUUGAAUAGAAUGAACCAAUUAAAAAAUUACGUUGUAUUUUAGUACCGGCUGCAGGAUGGUGUUACCAACCAGUACUAAUUGGCCUGUAGGAGUGAUGGUUAUUAGACUUGGUACUGUUGUUAGCAUCAUUAACCUAAUUGUGCGCCGUAUGAAUUUGGGGAUGCAAAGCUAGCUCUCUAUGAAUGUGAGGGAUGGAAAGCUAGUUCUCUAGUAGUAAUUAUAUAUAUGACAGUCAGGAAAUCGAACACUAUGCUGCUACGAGUCACCAUCAUUUCCUUCAUUGACAAUCUGACAUAGGUGAAGCUGCUUCAAUAAUUUCCUUCGCGCAGUCGUGGAGCUUAUUGGAUUAUCACCAGGACGGGACACGGAAAUGGCCAGCAAUGAAGCUGAUUGCCGUCUGAGGAAGACUACAUACUUACCUAUGAAAUGAAGCGAUUGCAUAGACUAAUGAAGCAUUGCAUAUUUGCAUGUGAGUGUGGCAGAUAAUUCUGCAGGACAUGAUUGCAAUCCACGCACCAUCGAGAAGACUGGGGCGAUGGGGUUGCCUCAUCAAUAAUCACGUGGAUGCAUGCAUGCAUGUUCCCUCAACCGGACAAGGGUCUGAUAUAUGGCUAUAGUAUUACUGAGCCCACAUCAAUAAUUUCCGCUGGUGUAUCGUGUGGGAAGAAUCAACAUACUACACCUCUGAGUUCUUGGAACUAACUGACGUUCACAUGCAACCUCCACAAGGUGCUGUAUGCUUUUGACAUUCACCUGCCAGUUCGUGUAGAGGACACCCUAACGUAUGGUUAAUAUUAUCCAUUUCAUGAGUAAAAUACUGUGAUUCAAAAAUACUUCAAAUCCCUUGAGACAAUACUUCUCACUUGACUAACCACUAACCAACCCCGAAACCCUAACUCAACUCCGAACCCUAACCCCUAACGGCAUAACCACUCCGUUUUGCCGGCGAGAUGGAGGAACUGGCUGGAAGGUAGAGAGGGCAGCGGUCCAGGGUUGAAAACGACGGGCGAGCGCAGUAACAUGUGGAGGAGGAAGUGCCACGUAUUCGUUCACCGCUAUUGGGCAGCGACACACGACACGCCCAAUAAGAUCUUCGCACGGUAGAAGGACGUCAUGUAUUCAAUAAUGUUAUUGGUCCCCCAUGUGCAGAAGGGCGCGCGCGUAUGGAAUAACAAGUAGGGACACUGCAACUAAUCUACUCUGCUCGUCCAGUCCCUAGCCUAUAAAUAGAUGCCAUGCUAGCUCUUGUUGUGCUCACAAUUAAUCCGAUUACACACGAGCUUCUCUCCCUGGCCAAGACACAACCAUAGUAUGAUGAAGAACAUGGCACUAGCCGGCAAUGGUAUGAAGAAGUUAAUCCUCGCUGUUCUCUUACUGUGUCUAGUUAUAGGGCAGAUACAAGUGGAAGCUAAGAGCUGCUGCCCAUCCACCACUGCAAGAAAUGUCUACAAUACCUGCCGUUUCACGGGUACAUCCCGUCCAACGUGUGCAAAACUGUCAGGCUGCAAAAUUAUCAGCGGGAACAAAUGCAAGCCCCCUAACGACCACCUCACCCUUGACCCGGACACUGGUAAAUAAUAAAUUUAUCUCACUUGAUUUCUUCGUGAUUUGAGUCGUUAAUGUAUUUUCCAUCUGAUGAAACGUAUUGGUUUUGCAUUGAAGAGGAAGUUAAUGUGCUUAACUUCUGCAAGUUGGGGUGUGCGUCGUCUGUGUGCAACAACAUCAACGCUGGUAAGCAACUUUUGCUCAGACAGAGAAAACAAUAAUCAUUAAUUAGCGGCAGCUAGAAUCCUAUAAUCUAAUAUAUAUAUAUAUAUAUAAUUUUAUCAGCUCUGGGAAAUGAAGAGGCGAACGAUGCCGUUGAGAGUUGCGACCAAGCCUGCUCUAGCUUCUGCAGCGUGCAUGUUGGCAGCGCCACCGUGGUUGCUUAAGCAAAUGCAUCCAACUAGAUCGUCCUUGUGCUGAAUAAUUGGAUAUCGUAUCCACUUAAAGCUGCCUUGUGUAGUACGUCUUUGUGUCUCUCUUUAUAUUCCAAUAAGGUCGGUGAUCUUGAUGCCACACACUCAGAUGUGUGUUCAUCUCCAGAUACUACUCCAUGCUACCUGCCCUUUGUGUUUUGUUCAAUAACUGGGUAUCAUAUCCCAGCCAGUAUGCCGUCUGUUUUGUGUUUGUUUCCUUCUAGUUCCAAAGGGGUCAUCAUGAUGUUACCUUCUUUCAAUAUGGUGCUUUGCAUGACUACUGUUGUAUGGUACCAUCUUGUGGCCAAUAAGUACAUCUUAUCCUAUGACCUUUGCUAUGACCCUUUGCAAAUAAGUAGAAGAUUGUUAUAAGCGUCAAUACUCCGUAUAAAUUGAUCGCUGCUGUGAGUUCCCUUUCAGCUUAUCGUAGGCAUACAUUAUUGCUAGCACGGUAAAGCCAACCAACACGAAUGAUGAAGUAAACGUAGCGGUACUUCUGUAUACCAACACCCUUACUUAAAUGUACCGGUGUCAUUCCCUACUGGCACAUAUAUUCUUAUAUGCUAGCCAGCUUGUAAAAUUAACCAAUUAAAAUAAUUAUUUCAAGAUAGAAAUAACUUAUCGGUUUCUGGAAGCAUGUGUAAUGUGAAUUCAAGGACUCGACGGAAGUUGAAUCACUUCAUCUAUAUUGCUUUCAGUAUUUUGGGUAACUAAAUUUAACAUUUGCACAUACAAAUGUUAAAGUACAAAUGUUAAAUCUAGUUACCCAAGCAGAAUAUGAAGAUAGUUUAUAGUAUAUAUAUACUAUAUAAAUCUAGUUAACAUUUAGUCUAAAUGUUAAAUCUAGUUACCUAAAAUCCUGAAAGCAAAAUGUAUAAAUAUAUAUCUUUUAAGGCAGUAUAAGCUUCGAUUCCUAUUGCUGCUCUGUUAAAUCUCAUCUUUCGUUGUGGCCCAACACUCUAGUAUGCAUGUUGCACCAAGCUUCUUUGAGCCGCUCUGCCCUCUGAUUUUGCUGCGUAGGGGAAUCUUUAUCAGGUUGGGCUACUUCCAGUUGUGCGAUGUAAAGAUUCGUAUUUUCUAGAAGGUAGACAAAAAACUCGCGUUCUCUUAAGGCAACAACCGGAAGAUUCUGCAGCGCACAGGGCAUACCAUUAUUGUAGAAACGACCUUUAGUACCGAUCUCCAACCCCCUUUAAAACUGGUUUUGCAACCGGUACCGUUAUGUCGGUCCUUUAGUACCAGAUCAAAUAAGUACCGGUUGGUAACCAGUAUCAACUUGUUUUGCGGCCAAAAAAAUAAAGAAAAAAACAGUCAGAAGGCUCGCGCACACGCGCAUCACAUGAAAUAUGCGUGUGCGGGGUCCAUGGGAUUCGAACCCAUGAAAUCAAGCUGCGCGCGACCCUUCGUUACCAUCUCACCUACAUAGCGCAUAUGCUUUCCUGAAGUAACCCGUGGAGGAGGCUUUAGUACCGGGUCAUAACACCACCCGGUACUAAAAAUGACUCUUCAGUACCGGGUCAUAACACCACCCGAUACUAGUAUCGGAUGGUGUAAUGACCCGAUACUAAAAGGCCUCUAGGGACCCUCAAAUUUGAACCCGGUACUAAUGCUAAUAUUAGUAGCGGGUCAAAGUGCAGCCAGAACUAAAGCAUGGGAUGAAAGGUCAUAUUUCUAGUAGUGUAUAGUUGUUGUGAAGGACUGACUUGGCUGUCCUCUCUCUUCUCCAUCCCCUUGGUCUUACGCCGCCGCUCGCACGCGAGCCGGUGCCCAACCAGAGGAGUGAGAGCUAGGGGCAGGUUGGGAGGUGGGGAUAGUGACUGGUGGCCAGGGUGAUGGUUGAUCCUGGUGGGGUUAGGGUUUUAGGGUUUUCGAGCUUCCUAUGGUCGGCGAACCUAGAGGAGGAGCUCAACAUCAGCUGCAACCCGCGAUGGUGGUGGUUUGGCCGGCGCCCGAGGCGAGGCAGCGCGGGAGUGCUGCCGGUGGGUUGGUGUUGGCACUCAUUAUUGACAACUAUUUUGUUCAUAAAAUAACACUCAAACUUGCUGCUGCUGCUGCUGCUGCCAUCGCCACCCUAGCCAUAAUAUAAAGGCAAAAUUUGCUAAAGGACAUGCAAAAUGAUGCUAGUUUGCUGGCGGGCAUCGUUGACCUUGUAAUAUGCUACAAGACACUCUAGUUGUGUAUCAAUUUGCUGAAAGACAUUGCUAUGACUAAAAUAAUGUUUCUGGACUGAGUUGGAGAGAGAGAUGGAGUGAAAUGUCUGUUUUGCCCAUGACCCCACUGGUCAGAUCCUUCUUCUUCCACCCUCCUUUGUUCUUUCUUCAACCAUUACCCAGCUCCAGCGUGUUGCAGAUCUACGAGGGUGGCGGCCUGGGGCGAGGGGCAUCGCUCGCCCUUGGAGGAGCGCUGCGAGCGACGGCGCGGGGGCGGCAACAGCGCGUCAGAACCUGACUGUUCGUUAGCUCCUCUCGCUGCUGGGGAAGGAGGGGGAUGGGCCAUGGACGGGGUUCCCUUGAAAACCUCAGCGUCGAGCUCGGGCGGCUACGCGCAGGCAGCACUAGGCUGCUUCACGGGGAGGGGGCGCGGCCAAUCAUUGGCACCCCACUGGUCCAAUGCUGAUGAAGAUGGUGCCAGCGUCGUGUGAGGACAUCUCAUCUCCUCGAGUUCCAUGGCCAGCACAGGUGAGCUGCCGCUACCACAAAACAGAGGUUUCGUGAGAGUCAAAAAACCUUAUGAAAAUAGCUAAAACCAUCAUGAAAAUAAUCCGUGACAUGACACUCUCACGAAAAUCCUCUCACAAAUAUGGUGCCAUGAAAAUACCAUUUUCAUGAGAGUGAACUGUCAUGAUUUUAUUUCGUGAGAGUAUUUCCUAUCAAUGACCUCCACGAAAUACUUUGUGCCACCAGGUCUUCAAGAUCAUUUUCAUGAGAGCUGAACAUCAGGAAAAGUCCGCCACAAAUGUUUUUCUUGGAGCCCCUAACUCUCAUGAAAAUCAUGCGGGCCGCCACGAAAAACAGCAUGACCAAAUGACAAAUUUCAUUUUCAUGUGUUCAUACCGCCAUGAAAAUGGUCAUUUUCAUGAGAGUUGAUGAAACAAAAAAUAGUGCCAUUUUCAUGAGAGUUCAAGCAACCAGGAAAAGACACUAAUAAACAUCCAGAUCCCAUCCAGCACACAUCCAUGCACAUAUAUAACCCACAUAUUGCUCCAGCACACAUCCAUGCAUAUACAAGAUCCAAAUGUUAAUAUAGUAGACAUCCAUGCCUGAACUAGUCUGCCACACAAGUCAUUGAUGCUACAAAUCCUACAAUCGCAGCAUGUGCAUACAAGUCACAGAAUGAGACAAUGUACCCAAAACUAAAAGGUUAGCAUCAACUGUGCUUCAACCAAAGUUGUCAUCCCAACUCUCCUCUUCAUCCAUGCCAUUCUUGUCGUGGCCGUCACUGUCAGUCCCCAUGGCAUUGCCAAUGCUGUGCAUGUCUUGGUAGGAACCUACAUGUGAUGAACUAGUAACCUGCAAAAAGAGCUCAAAGGAUCUUGUUCUCAUAUUGUAGCUGUGAAAUUCUUACAAGUAGUGUUGCAAUCAGUUCACUUUGAACCAAAAGAGCUCAAAGGAUCUUGUCCUAAAAGUUCCUCAUAAAGCUUAUGGGUUUGCUGGUGGAACUGGAAGGGCUUGAUGCAGCAGAUGCCAUUCUGCAAUAGAGAAAAAUUUAGAGAGCAGUACUAGUUAAAAUUGGAUGCAGAAGAUACACAUGAAACUAGUAUUUAUACAAGUCUAUACAAUUAAAAUCUAAGGAGACUUAUCAUCGUUUUCAUGUGUUGUGAAUUAAAAUAAUGAAGGAUACACUGUUAGGUGAAAAUUCAAGAAACAAAAUUUUGCAUAGAGAUAAAGGUCCAACAUUAUUACAAGUUAAGGUAGUUUUAAAUAUCCUUGUAAUCUUCCUUUGGUUUCCUCAACGAUUCGAAGACAAUAACCUUGCUUCUAUCAAUGAUAAUUAUAAGGAGAAUCCAGUGGAAACUGUGUAUUCGUAUUAGAACUACCUAAGGUUAAUUAGGUUAGGAAAGGAAAUUGAAAAUAGAUGGUACCCACACUUACUUAAAGUUGUCGGGCAAUAGUAUGUAAUGCUUGUAAUUCCGUUGCUCCAAGAAUUUGUAUAUGUGGUCCAAUGUAGACUUUGGUUGAUCCCGUAUCUGCUGUUGGUUAAAUAAGUGUUUCUAGCCAUUUCUAGCCAUUAGAACCGGGACUAAAGGGGGCUCUUUAGUACGGGUUGAUAUUACUAACCGGGAUUAAAGAGCCCCCAUUAGAGUUGGUUUUUGGAUGCGGAACUAACAACUCCUUUAGUCCUGAGUACGAAAACAACUGACAUAUUUGUUGCUGGAUGGAAGGUCCUUUCUCUACCGUGAAUAUUGCCAGAAAGAAUUGAAAGAGACUGCUUGCUAAAAAUAUGUCAUAGAUGUAGACCAAGCUACCAAGGAGGUAGACCAAACAUGAUACACACCAUGCGUACCUUGCUGUGCAGACUAUGCAUUGACAAGAUACCCGACCACAUGUUGGCCUCGGUCACAUCAAAAGAAUCAUGUAGGCCACCAAUAAACUACUUGAAGCGGCAUUCCGUAUCGUAUAUGCAUUGCCGGUUCAUCUGCAUUACAUUACAUAAAGCACUAUUAACUAUUUGAAUAAAAUGAACCAAUUUAAAAGUAAUGUGUUGUACUCUACUAUAGAAAGCCCUAUCACUGCCGGAUCCAAAAACAUCAUUGUUAAUGGUGGUUAAGUACCAAAUAUGACGGUCAAUAUUCUCAAGAAUAAUGGAGAAUUAGCAUUUCUUAGACACAUAUUUGGUUUUGAACAAUGUAGUUCCACAUGUCUUUGGAGAUUAUUUGGGUGUGGGUGAAAUAAUACAAAAAUAAGGAGAAAACACACUCCCAUGGCGAAGAAACACAACUCCAACCAAUGAGAGAUAGCCACAGGGGCAGCACACGGAUCCAUGGGCCCACUAACCGCAUCAAACCAUCUUACCAAGGCAGGUAGCACCCACAACCGUCAUUAGGACCCACCUGGAAGUCUACCAAGAAGAAGGUUGCGAGUGGGGCCAGGAGGGGUUCGGUUGAAUCAUCUCUAGCUAGCUCCCCUCAUCCCCAGCUGGUGGGUGGUGGUGGUUGAUGGUGUCCCUACAUCAGUUAGAGGAGAUUCCCCCAAAUAUUCCUCCUGUAAACCACCUCUAUGGACCUAUACAUAGAGGGGUGUGCUCUCCAUUCCAACACACACCACAAGUUGAAUCACUCUCUCCCUCUUUAGUUUCCAAGUUUAUGGAGUUAGGCUAGAGUAGCUCUGCUCAAGGUUCCAAGUCCACUUGGAGUUAAGCAUAUGUCUCUUGUAUCGUUAUUUCCUAAAUUGACUUUAUGCUUAGUUCUUAUAUGCAUGAGUUAGUCUAAUACCCUUGCUAUAUUGAUAUGCUCGGCUUAUAUGCUCGUAUGCUAGUCAUAUACCCUUGCUGUCGUAGUAUAGGCUUAUAUGCUCUCAUGUGUGCCUGUAGACCUUGCUAUAGUAUAUACUUGUUGUGCAUACAUACCAUGUAUAGGCUAGUCGAUCUAUACCAUGGCAUUGGUUCAAUAGCCAUGUUUUUGGUGGCUCCAACCCUAGUCACAAUAGCUCGGGACAGCUGGAGUGUUGUUAAAAAUGCAAGAGUGGUGCUUGGGUUGUUUAGCAUCGUUGGAUAUGGGUUUGCCCCACGGGUUUCUAACGGUAGGCGGCAGCUAGUGACAUCCCUGUCCGUCCUUCGUAAUCCCCCCACAUUCAGGUACGCCAUAAAUGUUCGUAAAUUAGCAGUAACUACGCCGGUACACCUGUAGGGUAUUGUCUCCCUGUAGUACCUUGGUGCAUAGAACUAAGUCCUAUACACUGUGUGUGUAUGUUUACGCUGAUAUGAUCUGUGCAGUAUAUAGGAUGUAUAUAUGAACCUAGAGCUAACUCCUAGUCCGUUCUCCAUAGCUUAGUUAUCUUGAGAUGAUUCUUCUGUAUGUGUAACACUACCCAUCUUAUCAUUAUCCUUGAUCCUGUCUUGUGUAAUAUAUCUACUCAUCCUAUGAUAUACUCAUAUGCAUAGUAAACUAUUUUGACCUACCCGCCUUCCUUUGGGAAAUAUGAUACCUUGGAAUAAUCCUAGGUGAAAUCCUACAACGGUAUAUCCAUGUAAAUGCGGAUUUAUUCAUGACCAUUAAAUAUACCAACAAUCAUCACUGUGAGUUUUGGGCGUCGUUAGUGAAGGGUUGGUAGUGAUGGGCAUCCCCUUCACCAAUGGACCUGGAACCGGCGGUGAUGGCUAUUAUAAAAAAGGGGACACCACCCAGCGUACCCCACGACCCGGCCGGCCGCACCUCCCAUCAUCCCCGCCAGCCGCCCUUCCUUUUCGCCGGCCGAGCAUGGUCCCGGCCUUUGUCCCUACCACCUCGCCUCCACCGCGACCCCCCGCCGAUGCCCUCGUGCCUGGCCCCCCUCAUCUUGCCGGCCACCCUCCCGAUGCGUCCACUGGGGCCCUCGCACCACCAACCGCCCUUGCUUAGAGAGGGAGAGAGAGGAGGGAGGUGAGGCCACGCACCUCGUCCUACACCGCCGCUGUUUCUCCUCGGCCCACCGCGCCUCACCCCACACCACAGCCGCGCCUUGCCAUCUUACCGGCUGUGACGCCUCAUCUCACCGGCCACCGUUCCUCACCCCCACUUCGGUCGUCGCCGCUCCUUGCCCUACCGCUGCUCUUUGCCGCUGCGAAUGAGCGCCGAGUGGAGGAGGAGGGAUGGGGCAGGAGGAGGGCAAGAUCCGGGAGGAAGGGAGAGAUCUCGGGAGGUGGAGAUGGAAGGAUAUGGCGGAAGGGAGAGAUCCAGAGGGAGAGAGCAGGGGAGAGAGGGGGGCGUGUGGGGAGAGAGCGCGUGUGGGGUGGGGCCGGGCUGGUGGGAUGGAAGGGAGAGGGGCUAGACGGGCGCAGUGCAUUCAACUGGAUGAAGUAAAUAUUUUGGAUUCGAGACCCCAGCUUUAUUAUCACCGCUGGUCCGUAGUACCAUCCGGUGCCUGCUCGUAAUUUAAUUUGAAUCUGCGGUGAUGUUUUAUUAUCACCAUCGGAUCAUAUAAAAAUCCGGCGGUUAAAAAUCCGCUGGUUUCGAUGAAAACCGACGGUGAUAGGAUGACUGUGAUAGUCUCUUCUCUAGUAGUGGUAUAUUAGUACCGGCUGCCGGAUGGUGUUGCCGACCAGUACUUCUCCGGGGGCGAUUCAGUACUGCUGUUAGCAAAGCUUGUUCUCUAUGAAUUUGGGGAUGGAAAGCUAGUUCUCUAGUUGUGAUUUGUUACAUAUAUAUCUAUGAUAGUCUAGAAAUUGCAUGUCCUUCGUUGACAUAGUUGAAGCUGCUUCAAGAAUUUACUUCGUGCAGUCGUGCAGCAUAUUGGAUUAUCACCUAGACAGGAUACAUAGGUGAAGCAUUGGAUGUGAUUGUGGCCGAUAAUUAUGCAGGACGCUGUUGCAAUCAACCACCAAGAAGUCUGGAGUGAUGGGGUUGCCUCAUCAAUAAUUUUUAUAUAUGGCUGCAGUAUUAUUAAGCCCACGUCAAUAAUUUUUUGUCCGCACCAUAUAUCGAUGGGGUUGCCUCAUCAAUAAUUCGCGCAACCAGACAAGCUGCAGACUCAAUAUGGUACGAAGCUAGUUGCUCAGCCCACAUGCUCUGAUAUAACAUUGACAUCUGCUGAUCUACAGUAUAUAUGACCAGAAAUAUUGUGCCCACCUCAAUAACUUUCUGAAGUAUCGUGGGGAAGAACCUACGCGUACUAUGCCUCGGAACUAACUGACAUAUCGGCCCAGGCGGUCUAGGCCGAUUGGACUGGCUCUUCCUUGUGGCUUCUCACAUCCCCUUCGUCCCCAAGUAAUUUCAGGUGUUCUGUAGUUUUCUUUUCACUUGCAUCUGAGCCUCCUAUAUCAAUAGCUUCGGGAUAAGAAUGCCUCUUGAUAACCUUCCAAAUCCUCGCUUGAUUCACAUUGAUUCCGAAAUCAUCUUGCCAUAUCUUCAGAGACUUAGGUCCUAAGGCAUCAUGGAGGAUUGCUCGCCAAGAAUGAGCACCAUUGGGCUCCUGAGGACCCUAGGCCGAUCAGCCCGGGCUCUAUAGGUCGAUUGGCCCAGGCCCUCUCUGGGCCUGUUGGCCUUCAUCUUUCUUUGAGUCGACGCUUAUUCAGGGCUUUGUCCAAUUAUAGUCCAUUAUAGUCUAAUUUCCUAAAAAACAGAAUGUCCUCCAAAAUACAAUGCAUAUGUGAAAACAACCCAAUUAUUAGGUAUGAUCAAUAGUUUAGGUAUUAAAUUAAUAUUAUUAUUUAAGAUAAACAGGGGUAAAGGGUGUCAUUAAUAACAAGCGCCAACAAGCGUCCUAGCUGUUCAAUAAAUUUUUUCUAGUACCGAUUGGUAACACUAACCGGUGCUAAUAUGUACCCUUUAUUACCGGUUAUUUUACCAGGUACUAAAGGAGACAAGAGCAUCCUAACAUAAGGUUAAUAUCAUCCAUUUCAUGAGUAAAAUACUAUGAUUCAAAAAUAAUUCAAAUCCCUUAAGACAAUACCUAUCAAAUGAGUAAAUUGUAAAUAGAGUAAUCUUGAUCAAACAAUGUCCUAAUGAAACGGAACACUUCUGGUUCGUGUAGAGCACAAUAUAGAAAACAGUAGGGUAGCUGUAUGAUUGACACGUGGUCCAUUAAUUAUUGAGCCAACACUAUGGACAUGUCUUCAUGAGUAGUGUACUAGUCAUAAUACAUGGUAUGCAGUAGGUGGAGGUAUUGACUUAGCCAUGCUAUGAGCACUUAGUUACAACAAACACUUUGCCAUUAUCGAGCAUCCCAAAUCACUACAAAAUCCAUAGUUUACCAUAUACUACAAAAUCUGAGUUAAAAUAAGAGCAUACACGGAAGAGUCCGAAUGCACGGCACAUUGAAUUACUAGACAAAAUUUAUGGGACAAGGUUUUGGGUAACCGCAUGAAAAAUAUUGGAUUUUACUGAACACUUAGUUACAAUUACCAUGCCCGUGAGCACUUAGUCACCACAAACAUUUAACCACUUUAGAUCAUCCUGAAUCCCUAUAAAUUCUAUACCUUACACCGUACCAUGAAAACGACAAGAACAGAGACAGAUGCGGUGAAAAUCUCCAGAGCAAGCCUGAAAUUAAAAUAAGAGGAGGCAGUCACUAUCGACAGGACACGGAGAUUGCUAGCCAUGACAGAGGAAGACAUGAUAUGAUAUUCACCUCUGAAAUGCAGCGUAGACUAAAUGAAGCACAAUUGCAAGUGAGUGUGGCAGAUAAUGGACCAUCGAGACCAUCGAAUGGUAUGAAGCAUGAUUAUCACCUAGACAUGAUAUCCUAGACAGGACGGUGAAUUGUAAAAAGAGUAAUCUUGAUCAAAGAAUGUCCUAAUGAAACGGAACAUUUUUGGUACGUGUAGAGCAAAAUAUAGAAAACAGUAGAGUAGUUGUACGAUUGAAACUGCAUCCAUCGACGUGGUGCAUGAAUUGUUGAGCCAACACUGUGGACAUGUCUUCAUGAACACCAUCUAGUGAGGACAGCAUGCAGAAAAAUAUAAAAACAUGUCAUAGGGAGGCAGACCAAUCUUGCGAGGUAGACGAAACGUGAUACACGAUCUGCCUACCUUGUCGUGUGGAUACCCCAAGUGAAGAUGUCAUAGAGGUGCAGACCAAGCUAGCAAGGAGGUAGAUGAAACGUGAUACACGGCCUGCCUACCUUGCCGUGGAUAUUAGUCCUGAUAUCAUUCUAUUGUUCAAGGAAUAACACUCAAUGCUGCUGCUGCUGCUGACCUGGCUCCAUAAAGUUAUAUUCCUCUAGCCGCUUGCACUAACUUUAUCUGAAGUAUUAUUCUCUCUGCACUGUAUAUAUGGUUACGGAGUUUGCUGGAGUAUCCGGGGGGAAGAACCUACAUAAUAUGUCUUGGAACUAACUGACAUUGAUUCACAGACAAGGUGCUGUUGUUGACAUGGUACAGUAAAUAAUAUAGUUUACCAUAUACCGUAUACCAUUAUAUGUUAGCUAAAAUAAGAGCAUAACAUGUCGCAGGAGUCCAAAAGCACCGGUUGAGGACCAGGUACAUUAAAUUACUAGAAAACAAAAGGGGACAAGGUUUAGGUAGCCACAUGAAAAACAUUUGAAUUUACUGUACCAUGAACACUUAGUUACCAUGCCGGGAGCACCUAGUUAACACUAACAUUUAGCCACUUUAGAUCAUCCCGAAACACCAAUGACCCUCAAUAGCGACAAAUUUUGGUUUAAAUGCCGUCACCAAUGAUCCUCAAUAGUGACGUGUUUAGGUUUAAAUCCCAUCACUAAUAACCCUUGGUAGUGACGUGUUUUGGUUUAAAUCUCAUCACCACUGAUCCUCACUAGUGACGUGUUUUUAGCAACACACGUUAUGAAUGACUUGUCAUUGGUGACAUGUUAAACGCGUUAUCUCAAUGGCAAAUCAAUGGUGACGUGUUUAAAAAAACAUGUCACUGUGAGAGUUAUUGGUGAAGGGUAAUUAAAAUGCAUCACUAAUUUUGUAGCAUUAGUUAUGAUAUAAUUUUGUAACGCAAAAAUCUACCAUAGUAAUGAGGUUUAGAGCCAUCACUAAUGUGGGUUUCUUAUCGUAGUGAUGCAAGCUCUACAAGGUGCUGUUGUUGCCAUUUUAAAGCAUCCCAAAUGACUACAAGAGUCCGGUUGAGGACUAAACAAAUUGAAUUACUAGAACCAAAUGUAUGUCCAGAACAAAGAAAGGGGUCAAGGUUUGGGUAACCGCAUUAAAAACAUUGAAUUUUACUGUACCAUGAACACUUAGUUACCAUUACCAUGCCUUGAGCACCUAGUUACCACAAACAUUAAUUUAGCCACUUUAGAGGUUCCACAAUCACUAUAAAUAAUAUACCAACACCGUACCAUGAAAACAUCAAGAAGAGAGACGGGUACAUGGACCACCAUCAAGUGAGUAGUGACAGCACGCACAAGAAUACCCGGAACCUUUUAGCUUGUCUGUAGUGAUCUGUUUUCUUCGCCACAAAUAAUGAAAGAGGCUGACCAAGCUAGCAACGAGGUAGAGCAAACGUGAUACACGUAGGUUUCAUUCAAGACAUCCAUGUAAGAUUCAUUCAAAACAUUCAUGGAAAUUUCUUGUAAGUUUUCAUGUAAAUUUCAUUCAAGACAUUUGUUAGAGGUGUUGUAUAUACACUUAACGUACAUAUAUCUAUGAUUUCAUGGUUGUUAGUGAUGGCAGAUGAGGAGCAUGCAAGGUGUUUAAUGGAGCAGAUUAUUGCUAGUGGUAGUGGCUCCAACCUGCCCGUAACGUACACCGACGAAGAGGGCAGCCAGGCGGACAUGUUCCUCAACAUGUCCGGUGAUGGCAAUGAAGAGCCCGAGCAAAACCUUGCCGUGACGGAAGGUUCCAUCGAGGUAUAUAUCAUUUCCAUUAUUUUACCCCAUCUAUAAUUUCAUAUUCAUUAUUACUAUGUGCUAAUUAAUGAAUCUUGAACCGUUAGUCCUCUAGAUCAACGAACCGAAAUAAGCCCCGAGGUCUUACAAAGAUAAUGCAGGGAAGGCUUCACAUCAUGGAAGUCACAGAAGAGGGCACAUCGGUUGCUCCCGAACAUGUGGCAAGAAAGUACGUGAGUCAAACCGGGGCAAUCGUAAGGGACAACAUGCCCAUCAGCAUCAGGGAAUGAAAGAGCAAUAGAAAUGAUCUAUACGCACCCCCGGAUACACAAAAGGAUAUGUUGUGGGCAAAUAUCAAGAAACACUUCACAUUUCCCAAAGGAUAUGUUGAAAAAUAUGUGAAAGCGUGGAUGUUGAAGAAGAUGGCCACCCAAUUCCAGACAUUCAAGAAGAUGUUGGAUGCCAACUUCAUCAAGAAGGGUCGAACUCCGGGUUUCAAUGAGUGGCCAAAGUUAAGGGACCACUGGGAGUCGUUUGUCGAAUACAAGACGAGCGAAGGUGGUGCGAGUAAGGUUCACAUCAAUGUUGCCAAUGCUAGCAAGGAGUACCAUCAUCAUCUAGGGCGACGUGGUUACAGCUCUGCAAUUCCCAGAUGGCGCAAGAUGGAACAAGACCUGAUCGAUCGGGGUAUCGUACCAGCAACUCUUGACUGGAUCGAUUGAAAAAUUGGUAUUAUGCUCAUGAAGGCAAUCUGAGCCAAGAGGAUCCGACAUUGGUCUUCAAUAAAACAAUACGUCAGAAGGUCGGAAGGCUUAUUAGGAACAUUGAAGAUGCUAAAGCUGGGAGGUUCAAGGUGGAUAGAGAGAAUGAUGAACUCACAUUGGCCCUCGGGACUGUCAUCUCUAGCACUUCCAGCUCCAGGACUAUCGUCACCACCGGGACCGUCGCUUCCUGCUCGAUCACAGUCUCCAUCUCCAGCACAUCCUGGUGGUGCGAGCGACGACGACAACAACACCCCUCCCUGCCCACCAUUGCCGGGACUAAGACCCGCAUUGAGUAAGGAACCUGCAACACCACUGAAGAAGUCGCGACCACCACCUUCAAGGCAAGUCAGCAAAAGAAGAAAGCAGAGAAGCCUAAACCCACUGAGAAGCCAGCGACUGAUAUGACCGAUGCGGAAAGAUGGAAGGCACUCAAAGAAGAAUGCAGGGAGUGGUUCAGCGAAGGCGAAGGUGAGAAAGUCGUAUGAAUCGAAUUCAAGGAUAUAUAUGAAGUGAACCAUCAGGAUGCCCUUGAUGUCUCUCUCAUCAGCGCCUAGGUUCUGUAAGUGUAUGUUUAUCUAUAAGUAAAUUUUGGCUCAUAUCAUUAUUUUUUUUGCGUGCGUCACCCUACUAACUUCGUCUUCCAUUUUAUGUAGGAUGCUAAUUCAGACGUGCCGCAUAGAAGCGUACUUCCAUGUUGGAUUCAUGGAUCCAUCCCUAGUUAACCAAAAGCCGAUACGGAAGUAGCUAGAGAAAACGUUGGAGGUGGUGUACAACCUCCUGGACAAACUAAACUACAGAAUAGGGGCAAUAUGUGAGGGUCUUGUAGGAUUCCUAGUGGACGAGGUGAUAAAUCCAUAAGGAGAAUAUCAUUCCAACGGACGAGCAUUAGACACACUGAGCAACACCUAGAUGGGAGGAUCCUAGGAAUGACCUCGACAGAUUUUGGUAUAAAUAGUAAUUGUGUAAAUACUAGUUUGAUUUGUAUAGGAAUAUACUAAGAAUUGUAUAUAUAGUAAUUGUACAAAUACUAGUUUGAUUUGUAUGAAUACUAGAUUGAUUUUAUUAUAAAAAAGUUUUAAGUCGUACGUGCAUGCGCCUACAAAGGCGCGGAUGCCUUUUAAUCCCAGUCGGAAAAACAAACUGGUACUAAAGGGGCUCGUGCCGCACCUGGCAUGACCACCCCUUUAGUCCCGGUUGAACGACCCAGGACUAAAGAUCUCCGCGUCUCAAAAAUUUUAUCUCGGAUGCUUUUUAGAGAGAUUUGAGGCCUAUCAACCAAGACUAAUAUCGAGUUUUCUACCAGUGAAACUAACUAACGUUCACAUGGUUUUGACAUUCACCUGCCAUUUGGUGUAGACAAGGGCACCCUAACAUAUGGUUAAUAUUAUUCUUGAAAGAAAAUCCUUUGAUUCAAAAUACUUCAAACCUAAUAAUACAAUACUUCUCACAUCUGAAAAAUAUGAGACGGCCCGACAGUAUUCUAAUCGACGCAAUAAUAUUUUGAGGGCAGCACUACUACAGCGACCCUCAUUCGUGCCGGUGCUGGGACUCCUAUCACGACCCUGAUACAAAUGAGGGUACAUUAUUGGUGCCAGUGCUAGAACAGCCACGAAUAACUUGCUAAACGUGCUGUUACACUCACUACAGGGACCAAGAAGGUAGAUAAAUUACACGACAUAGCCUUGGUUGCCGUGGAAGCGCCAAGAAGGGAGACAAAUUACAGGGACCACACCAUCAAGUAGAUAGUGACAAUAUGCAAAAGAAUACCCGCGCCUGUUAGCAUGUGAACUGACCACACCACGAAACGUGAUACACGGCAAGCGUACCAAGGCCUUGCUGUGCAGACUAUGCAUGGACAACACAUGGUACCUGACCGCUUUUGGCCUCAGACACAUCGAAAAACUGCAUCGUUCCACGUUGUACAUCCAUUGCUAGUUUAUCUAUAUUACAUAAUAUAUUAUUAGCUAUUUGAAUAGAAUGAACCAAUUAAAAAAUUGCGUUGUAUUUUUAGUACCGGCUGCAGGAUGGUGUUACCAACCAGUACUAAUUGGCCUGUAGGAGUGAUGGUUAUUAGACUUGGUACUGUUGUUAGCAUCAUUAACCUAAUUGUGCGCCGUAUGAAUUUGGGGAUGCAAAGCUAGCUCUCUAUGAAUGUGAGGGAUGGAAAGCUAGUUCUCUAGUAGUAAUUAUAUAUAUGACAGUCAAGAAAUCGAACACUAUGCUGCUACGAGUCACCAUCAUUUCCUUCAUUGACAAUCUGACAUAGGUGAAGCUGCUUCAAUAAUUUCCUUCGCGCAGUCGUGGAGCUUAUUGGAUUAUCACCAGGACGGGACACGGAAAUGGCCAGCAAUGAAGCUGAUUGCCGUCUGAGGAAGACUACAUACUUACCUAUGAAAUGAAGCGAUUGCAUAGACUAAUGAAGCAUUGCAUAUUUGCAUGUGAGUGUGGCAGAUAAUUCUGCAGGACAUGAUUGCAAUCCACGCACCAUCGAGAAGACUGGGGCGAUGGGGUUGCCUCAUCAAUAAUCACGUGGAUGCAUGCAUGCAUGUUCCCGCAACCGGACAAGGGUCUGAUAUAUGGCUAUAGUAUUACUGAGCCCACAUCAAUAAUUUCCACUGGUGUAUCGUGUGGGAAGAAUCAACAUACUACACCUCGAGUUCUUGGAACUAACUGACGUUCACAUGCAACCUCCACAAGGUGCUGUAUGCUUUUGACAUUCACCUGCCAGUUCGUGUAGAGAAGGACACCCUAACGUAUAGUUAAUAUUAUCCAUUUCAUGAGUAAAAUACUGUGAUUCAAAAAUACUUCAAAUCCCUUGAGACAAUACUUCUCACUUGACUAACCACUAACCAACCCCGAAACCCUAACUCAACUCCGAACCCUAACCCCUAACGGCAUAACCACUCCGUUUUGCCGGCGAGAUGGAGGAACUGGCUGGAAGGUAGAGAGGGCAGCGGUCCAGGGUUGAAAACGACGGGCGAGCGCAGUAACAUGUGGAGGAGGAAGUGCCACGUAUUCGUUCACCGCUAUUGGGCAGCGACACACGACACGCCCAAUAAGAUCUUCGCACGGUAGAAGGACGUCAUGUAUUCAAUAAUGUUAUUGGUCCCCCAUGUGCAGAAGGGCGCGCGCGUAUGGAAUAACAAGUAGGGACACUGCAACUAAUCUACUCUGCUCGUCCAGUCCCUAGCCUAUAAAUAGAUGCCAUGCUAGCUCUUGUUGUGCUCACAAUUAAUCCGAUUACACACGAGCUUCUCUCCCUGGCCAAGACACAACCAUAGUAUGAUGAAGAACAUGGCACUAGCCGGCAAUGGUAUGAAGAAGUUAAUCCUCGCUGUUCUCUUACUGUGUCUAGUUAUAGGGCAGAUACAAGUGGAAGCUAAGAGCUGCUGCCCAUCCACCACUGCAAGAAAUGUCUACAAUACCUGCCGUUUCACGGGUACAUCCCGUCCAACGUGUGCAAAACUGUCAGGCUGCAAAAUUAUCAGCGGGAACAAAUGCAAGCCCCCUAACGACCACCUCACCCUUGACCCGGACACUGGUAAAUAAUAAAUUUAUCUCACUUGAUUUCUUCGUGAUUUGAGUCGUUAAUGUAUUUUCCAUCUGAUGAAACGUAUUGGUUUUGCAUUGAAGAGGAAGUUAAUGUGCUUAACUUCUGCAAGUUGGGGUGUGCGUCGUCUGUGUGCAACAACAUCAACGCUGGUAAGCAACUUUUGCUCAGACAGAGAAAACAAUAAUCAUUAAUUAGCGGCAGCUAGAAUCCUAUAAUCUAAUAUAUAUAUAUAUAUAUAAUUUUAUCAGCUCUGGGAAAUGAAGAGGCGAACGAUGCCGUUGAGAGUUGCGACCAAGCCUGCUCUAGCUUCUGCAGCGUGCAUGUUGGCAGCGCCACCGUGGUUGCUUAAGCAAAUGCAUCCAACUAGAUCGUCCUUGUGCUGAAUAAUUGGAUAUCGUAUCCACUUAAAGCUGCCUUGUGUAGUACGUCUUUGUGUCUCUCUUUAUAUUCCAAUAAGGUCGGUGAUCUUGAUGCCACACACUCAGAUGUGUGUUCAUCUCCAGAUACUACUCCAUGCUACCUGCCCUUUGUGUUUUGUUCAAUAACUGGGUAUCAUAUCCCAGCCAGUAUGCCGUCUGUUUUGUGUUUGUUUCCUUCUAGUUCCAAAGGGGUCAUCAUGAUGUUACCUUCUUUCAAUAUGGUGCUUUGCAUGACUACUGUUGUAUGGUACCAUCUUGUGGCCAAUAAGUACAUCUUAUCCUAUGACCUUUGCUAUGACCCUUUGCAAAUAAGUAGAAGAUUGUUAUAAGCGUCAAUACUCCGUAUAAAUUGAUCGCUGCUGUGAGUUCCCUUUCAGCUUAUCGUAGGCAUACAUUAUUGCUAGCACGGUAAAGCCAACCAACACGAAUGAUGAAGUAAACGUAGCGGUACUUCUGUAUACCAACACCCUUACUUAAAUGUACCGGUGUCAUUCCCUACUGGCACAUAUAUUCUUAUAUGCUAGCCAGCUUGUAAAAUUAACCAAUUAAAAUAAUUAUUUCAAGAUAGAAAUAACUUAUCGGUUUCUGGAAGCAUGUGUAAUGUGAAUUCAAGGACUCGACGGAAGUUGAAUCACUUCAUCUAUAUUGCUUUCAGUAUUUUGGGUAACUAAAUUUAACAUUUGCACAUACAAAUGUUAAAGUACAAAUGUUAAAUCUAGUUACCCAAGCAGAAUAUGAAGAUAGUUUAUAGUAUAUAUAUACUAUAUAAAUCUAGUUAACAUUUAGUCUAAAUGUUAAAUCUAGUUACCUAAAAUCCUGAAAGCAAAAUGUAUAAAUAUAUAUCUUUUAAGGCAGUAUAAGCUUCGAUUCCUAUUGCUGCUCUGUUAAAUCUCAUCUUUCGUUGUGGCCCAACACUCUAGUAUGCAUGUUGCACCAAGCUUCUUUGAGCCGCUCUGCCCUCUGAUUUUGCUGCGUAGGGGAAUCUUUAUCAGGUUGGGCUACUUCCAGUUGUGCGAUGUAAAGAUUCGUAUUUUCUAGAAGGUAGACAAAAAACUCGCGUUCUCUUAAGGCAACAACCGGAAGAUUCUGCAGCGCACAGGGCAUACCAUUAUUGUAGAAACGACCUUUAGUACCGAUCUCCAACCCCCUUUAAAACUGGUUUUGCAACCGGUACCGUUAUGUCGGUCCUUUAGUACCAGAUCAAAUAAGUACCGGUUGGUAACCAGUAUCAACUUGUUUUGCGGCCAAAAAAAUAAAGAAAAAAACAGUCAGAAGGCUCGCACACACGCGCAUCACAUGAAAUAUGCGUGUGCGGGGUCCAUGGGAUUCGAACCCAUGAAAUCAAGCUGCACGCGACCCUUCGUUACCAUCUCACCUACAUAGCGCAUAUGCUUUCCUGAAGUAACCCGUGGAGGAGGCUUUAGUACCGGGUCAUAACACCACCCGGUACUAAAAAUGACUCUUCAGUACCGGGUCAUAACACCACCUGAUACUAGUAUCGGAUGGUGUAAUGACCCGAUACUAAAAGGCCUCUAGGGACCCUCAAAUUUGAACCCGGUACUAAUGCUAAUAUUAGUAGCGGGUCAAAGUGCAGCCAGAACUAAAGCAUGGGAUGAAAGGUCAUAUUUCUAGUAGUGUAUAGUUGUUGUGAAGGACUGACUUGGCUGUCCUCUCUCUUCUCCAUCCCCUUGGUCUUACGCCGCCGCUCGCACGCGAGCCGGUGCCCAACCAGAGGAGUGAGAGCUAGGGGCAGGUUGGGAGGUGGGGAUAGUGACUGGUGGCCAGGGUGAUGGUUGAUCCUGGUGGGGUUAGGGUUUCAGGGUUUUCGAGCUUCCUAUGGUCGGCGAACCUAGAGGAGAAGCUCAACAUCAGCUGCAACCCGCGAUGGUGGUGGUUUGGCCGGCGCCCGAGGCGAGGCAGCGCGGGAGUGCUGCCGGUGGGUUGGUGUUGGCACUCAUUAUUGACAACUAUUUUGUUCAUAAAAUAACACUCAAACUUGCUGCUGCUGCUGCUGCCAUCGCCACCCUAGCCAUAAUAUAAAGGCAAAAUUUGCUAAAGGACAUGCAAAAUGAUGCUAGUUUGCUGGCGGGCAUCGUUGACCUUGUAAUAUGCUACAAGACACUCUAGUUGUGUAUCAAUUUGCUGAAAGACAUUGCUAUGACUAAAAUAAUGUUUCUGGACUGAGUUGGAGAGAGAGAUGGAGUGAAAUGUCUGUUUUGCCCAUGACCCCACUGGUCAGAUCCUUCUUCUUCCACCCUCCUUUGUUCUUUCUUCAACCAUUACCCAGCUCCAGCGUGUUGCAGAUCUACGAGGGUGGCGGCCUGGGGCGAGGGGCAUCGCUCGCCCUUGGAGGAGCGCUGCGAGCGACGGCGCGGGGGCGGCAACAGCGCGUCAGAACCUGACUGUUCGUUAGCUCCUCUCGCUGCUGGGGAAGAAGGAGGGGGAUGGGCCAUGGACGGGGUUCCCUUGAAAACCUCAGCGUCGAGCUCGGGCGGCUACGCGCAGGCAGCACUAGGCUGCUUCACGGGGAGGGGGCGCGGCCAAUCAUUGGCACCCCACUGGUCCAAUGCUGAUGAAGAUGGUGCCAGCGUCGUGUGAGGACAUCUCAUCUCCUCGAGUUCCAUGGCCAGCACAGGUGAGCUGCCGCUACCACAAAACAGAGGUUUCGUGAGAGUCAAAAAACCUUAUGAAAAUAGCUAAAACCAUCAUGAAAAUAAUCCGUGACAUGACACUCUCACGAAAAUCCUCUCACAAAUAUGGUGCCAUGAAAAUACCAUUUUCAUGAGAGUGAACUGUCAUGAUUUUAUAAGCGUCAAUACUCGGUAUAAAUUGACUACUGCUGUGAGUUCCCUUUCAGCUUAUCGUAGGCAUACAUUAUUGCUAGCACGGUAAAGAGAACCAACACGAAUGAUGAAGUAAACGUAGCGGAACUUUUGUAUACCAACACCCUUACGUACCGGUGUCAUUCCCCACUGCCACAUAUAUUCUUAUAUGCUAACCAGCUUUGAAAAUUAAGCGAUUAAAAUAAUUAUUUCAAGAUAGAAAUAACUUAUCGGCUUCUCGAAGCUUGUGUAAUGUGAAUUCAAGGACUCGAUGGAAGUUGAAUCGCUUCAUCUAGAUUGCUUUCAGGAUUUUGGGUAACUAAAUUUAACAUUUGCACACACAAAUGUUAAUGUACAAAUGUUAAAUCUAGUUACCCAAGCAGAAUAUGAAGAUACUCUAUAGUAUAUAUGUACUAUAUAAAUCUAGUAAACAUUUAGUCUAAAUGUUAAAUCUAGUUACCUAAAAUCCUAAAAGCAAAAUGUAUAAAUAUAUAUCUUUUAAGGCAGUAUAAGCUUCAAUUCUCUGUUAAAUCUCAUCUUUCGUUGUGGCCCAACACUCUAGUAUGCAUGUUGCACCAAGCUUCUUUGAGCCGCUCUGCCCUCUGAUUUUGCUGCGUAGGGGAAUCUUUAUCAGGUUGGGCUACUUCCAGUUGUGCGAUGUAAAGCUUCGUAUCUUUUAGAAGGUAGACAAAAUACCCGCGUUCUGGAAGAUUCUGCAACGUGCACGUUGGCGCUGCCACCGUGGUUGCUUAAGCAAAUGCAUCCAACUGAAUCGUCCUUAAGCUGAAUAAUUGGAUAUGGUAUCCACUGCUUAAAGCUGCCAUGUUUAGUACGUCUUUGUUUUUCUCUCUUUAUAUUCCAAUAAGGUCGGUGAUCUUGAUGCCACACACUCAGAUGUGUGUUUAUCUCCAGAUACUACUCCAUGCUACCUACCCUUUGUGUUUUGUUCAAUAACUGGGUAUCAUAUCCUAGCCAGUGUGCCAUCUGUUUUGUGUUUGUUUCCUUCUAGUUCCAAAGGGGUCAUCAUGAUGUUACCUUCUUUUGAGGUGUCUAUGAUGACUUCGUUAAUAUCAAUAUUAACCAAUUCAAUCUGUCUUAACUAUUUGUAAGGGGUAUGAUGUAUGCAUGAUUAUAACAAUGAUUGCGCAUACAAUCGCCGCCAAAGAAACGGUCAAUACCAUUAAGACAUAUUACAGACAAUUCUCAUAAUCUAUAAUGAAUAUACAUAUUCACUACUGCAGAAGACUGUCAUUUGUAUCGGCUCAUACGUGCCAGGGCAAAGGUCACCCUUGCAUUAAGUACAUUUGCACGGUAAAGACAACCAACACGAAUAAUGAAGUAAACAUGCCGGUGCUUUUGUACACCAACACGCUUACUUAAAUGUACUGGUGUCAUUCCUCACCGGUAGCCGGCUUGAAAAUUAACCAAUUAGAACAAUUAUUUAUUGUAUCGGUGUGAUUUUUGACCUAUUGGAAUAUGAAUUUGACCGUUACUGCAUUCGUCAAGACUCAAGAGAGAAAUAACUGAUCGGCUUCUUAGAGCGUGUGCAAUGUGAAAUCAAGGACUGGAUGGAAGUUGAAGCGCUAGCACUAGUAGAGAAACGACUUUCCAUCCACCCCCUUUUGUCCCGGUUUAAAGUUGGCUCGGGAUAAAAGGUUCACCAACCGGGACUAAAACUCAGUCACUGGUGGGAGGCUCACCAACCGGAACCUUUUAUCCCGGUUGCAAAGGCUAAUGGGAAAAAAAGACUCUGAGAGGCCUUUUAUCCCGGUUUGAAACACCAACCGGGAUAAAAGACCCCCCUUUUAUCCCGGUUGGUAACACCAACCGAGAUAAAAGGGUCAAGAGCCUUUUAUCCCGGUUGGAAACACCAACCGGGAUAAAAGACCCCCUUUUAUCCCGGUUGGUGUUUCAAACCGGGAUAAAAGGGCCCCCACGAGGUGACUGGAAGGUGACUGGAAGGGGAUUAAAUCGUGGGGGACCCUUUUAUCCCGGUUGGAAACACCAACCGGGAUAAAAGGGGGUCUUUUAUCCCGGUUGGUGUUUCCAACCGGGAUAAAAGGGUCCCCCACGAGUUAAUACAAAAGGAUAGUAUCCCCUACAUAGUCAGAUGUGGUGUGUAGGUGGGAUGGUAAGGAAGCUACGCGCGAGCUCCGGAAUUUUUUUUUUUUUUUUUUGCAGCGUCGGCGCUCUCUACCCUUUUAUCCCGGUUGGUAUUACCAACCGGGAUAAAAGGGGGUCUUUUGUCCCGGUUGAGUGACCCGGGAUAAAAGACCCCCCCUUUUUUCCCCGGUUAGUUUAUCCCGGAUGCAUUUUCGGGAUAAAAGCACCCUACCAACCGGGAUUAAAGCUCACUUCUCUACCAGUGUAGCUUCAUCUUCCGCUGCAAGUUAAUUGCUUGGAUAAGAAGUUGUAGCCGCUGCAAGUUAUAAAUAGUCCCGCUGAUGCUGUGCUCCGAAGUCUAUACUAUAUAUGCGGAAACUAGAUUGCUUUCAGGAUUUUGGGUAACUAAAUUUAACAUUUGUACAUAAAAAUGUUAGUUUACGAAUGUUAAAUCUAGUUACCCAAGCAGAACAAGAAGAUAGUAUAUAGUAUAUACUAUAUAAAUCAAGUUAACAAUUAGUCUAAAUGUUAUAUCUACUUACCCAAAAUAUUGAAAGCAAAGAAAGAAUAAGUAUAUAUCUUUUGUUGGAAAAUUGGUCCACGGAGAGGCCCAUUUAGGCCUCGUUCGUUUCACCGGGAUGGGAUUCCAGUCAGGAUUACUUCCAAGUUCGGUUUGAGUGAUUCCACCCGUGUCACUCAAUCCGGCUAGGAUUCAUUCUAUGGGUGAGGAGGUAUGGUUUCAAUCCAGGCCAUCUAAUGUAGAAGGAUUCCAAUCCAGGCCGGUUUUCGUUCCAGGCCAGACUAAAACGAACAACACUUUCAAUGCAAGUCUGGUUUCAAACCGGGCCAUUUCAAACCACCCGGAAUGGACCUCGUUCCAGGCCAAUCCGGUGAAAACAAAUGAGGCCUUAAUGGAAUCCCAAAGCAAGAGUUCAGUGGCAUUCUAUAGUCCCAUGCUGCUAGUUUGAGUUGGUCGAAGCCAACUUAAAUAGGAGAGCUCUCUCACUUCUCUAAAUACGUAACUGAAGGAGAGAAGGGGGCUUGGGUUACACAACGCACGCACGCACGCAUAUUUGCGUUCUUUUCGCGUAACCAACCGCGUGACUUGAAACUUGCGACGUAGCGUGCUGCUAAGUCAAGUUGAUAUAACCUUUUUGCCGUUUGCAUGUAAUCUUUUGACAACGGUCAUUGGAGGUGAUAAGCACGCAGUCAAUACCUUAAUCUUGAGUUAAUAGGGUGGUUACUACUGCCAAUUAGUGGGGCAAUUUUGUAGGGGAAACGGUUAGCAGAGGGCUACCGUCUUCUCUAUAAGAAGUUCUGGAGACGUCCAGGAACACACAUGUACAUGUGAGAGACCCACAAAUUCCUUCCCUUCUCCCUUUUCCAUGUGGUGAAGUGUGCUGUGGUACUGAGCUGCUUGAUCUCGCCGCUCUUCUCCUUGGCAUGCACCGAGGAGGAGGGUGAGCGGUAUCUCCGAGCUAUUGCCGUCAGGAAGCCUGCACGAGGGACAACAAAAAGUUUUUGGGUAGCGCAACUGCCAGCACAACUCUCCCUCCGCCUCUUCUUCACGGUUGAUGGCCACCACAAGCAUAAACCUCGCCUUCGCAUCCACGCAAAAGGGUCGCUGGGGUGCCUUCUUGCAUCGCUUCUCAGCCUCCUUGACUUGCGGCCAGCCAAGAACUGCGCCACCACCUCGGGUGCACGCCACCACUCCAGGGCUGCUACCCCAUGCCUGCGGCCGCCGCCGGCCACCACGCGUGUGCAACCGCGUCGCACCGCUUCCUUGCUUUGUGCCACCACUGCUGCUGUACCACCAGCUCCACCACCUUGGGCUGGUCGCCAGAGUGACUGAUAACUUAUUAUCUGUAACUACUAUUAACUCAGGGAUACAUGCGUCUUUUGCUUCUCCUACUAAUAUGUCCUAAAAUAUCUAGGAUGCCUUAUAUUUCUGGACAGAGGAAGUAUUUGAAUAAAAUGAACCAAUUUAAAAAAAUGUGUUGUACACUACUACAGAAAGACCUAUCAGUGUCAAACCCAAAAAUGUUGUCACCGCCAGUUUUGGGCAUCAUUGGUGAAAGGUUGGCGGUGAUGGGCUUUCCCUUCAACAACGGCACUGGAGCCGACGGUGAUUGACAUUAGAAAACAAAAAAGGGGACCCUACCUAGCCACCCCUGCAACCCGGCCGGCCGUGCCUCCCCUCAUCCCCACCACCUCGCCUCCCCAUGACCCCCCGCCGGCGCCCUUGCGCCUAGCCCCCUCAACUGCCCAGCCGGCCACCCUCAUCACGAGAGAGAGGUGCAUGUUGUAUAAUUGCGUGAAUUUUUUAAUGUUUAAUUUCAUGUAAGUUCCGUGUAAUAAAUUGUACAAGUUUUAUUGUAUAUAUGAAUUCCAUAUAUAUAUAUAUAUAUUUAUAAUUUAAUGUAUGGUUUCAUGUGUAUAUUUCAAUCAUGUGUAUAUUUAGUAGAUUGCCGAUUUUCUUUUUCUACUAGACAAGGGUUGAUGUAUAAUUACGUGUAUAUGUUUAUUGUACGGGCAAUUAGGACAAGUUUUGUAUAAAUUUCUUUUAUUUGAUGGUUGUUGUAUGGUUUCAUGUAUAUACAUUUAUUGUACUACUUUAGACAAUUUUUAAUUUAAUGUUUCUAUGAUUAGAUGUGUGUAUAACUAAUUGUAUUAUUAGUUAAGAUGGGAGCUAAAGAGGAUGAAAGGUAUAUAAUGGAGCAGAUUAUUGCUAGCUCAAACGUUGCAAGAACCUACACCGAGGGUGAGGGUAGCUAGGUGGACAUGUACCUCAACAUGUCCAGUGAUGGCAAUGACGAUGAGGAGCACGAGCAUGACAUCUAUGAUAAUGCGGAACAAGACAUUGCAGAAUUGGAAGGUUCUAAUGAGGUGUGCUUCAUGUUGACAAUCUAGUUGGCUUUUUUUCGUUGGUCACACCUUAGUUACCAUAGAACUUCGUCUCGGGAGAAGAUUGGUGGUGGUAUGGUGAUUGGAAUUUUAUUUCCACGAAAUCUGAUUUCCAUCGAAUCAUAUCCCUUGUAUUUAUCUUCUUUUUAUUUGUGAGAGCAUCUUCUUUAUGCUUGCAAAACAAUUCAAGUGCACAUACUACCCCUAGGGUGACGAUUGGGAGUAGAAAUAAUUGCCAACAAAACAACACCACAUCCUAAGAUUCUUAACUUGUGGCAUAAUUAGUCUAGUAAAAAGAAAGAUAAAAACCUAAUGGGUGUAUGUGAGUGCAAUGUGUAUAUGCAUAUGAGUGGAAGGCAUAUAAGCAAAGACAAUAUUUACACAUAGUUCUAAACACCAUGUUUACAGCUAGGUUGCUGAAUUUCUCCAUAGCCAUAGAGAUUAAUUAACCAAGGUCAAAACACGAUGUCUAUCCCAAGAUCAGUAAUUAUUUAUAGCACAAGAAAAAGAAAGCGCAUUGCAAAGUUUAUAAACCAACCAAUACAGCAUGAAAACAAGAUGAAUAGCUAGCAAGGUUUAUUAAACUGAAUGAUGACGGUCUGUAAGCAAGUUUAAACACCAUCUUUACACAAGAUUGCAAAUGGAAAAUGCCCAUAUGAAGCACUAACAUGGAUAUGAAAUCAUUCAUCAUAAAGCGUAAAGAACAACCAAGCCAACCAUAUGCAAAGCAUGAAUGGAAUGCAAUGAAGGUGCAAGAGAACAUUUUUGGAUGAACACAUUAUGAUGAUGGCAAAAUGCAAUGCAUGCAGAAAAAAUAAAUAUGAACAUGAAUAUGAUGAUCAGGGGCGGACCCACUAUUGUGGCCUGGGUAUUCCUCGGCAUACCCAAUAUUUUUGGGAAAAUGUUUAGUAGUUUUUAAUGGCAUAUACAUGUAUAAUAUAGUUUAGGUGUUAAAAUUGAUAUUCACAGCUAUUUUGGGCUCCAAUUCGCGUCCAAACCAACCUGGCCCACAGACCGCACCCGGCCGCCCGGCCCAUCGGCCCAUCUUGUCACUGAUCCUCCCACCACCACACUCAGCCCGUCAGUUAGUCAGGUCCCGAGCUCCUGCCUGACCUAGUCCGCUACCACCGCCAGGCGCCAGGCACAGCUGUACACGCCGCCCCCGUCCACCCACGUCCGCCGCACGGCCGCGUCGCGCCCCCCCCCGGCGCCCGCUGCUGCCAGAACCCAUUAGGCCUCCACCGGCAAGUCCACCCACAGUCCCGCGCGACGCGGCAGCCUCUUGGCUCUCGGCGCUCGCGGCGCGCCAAUGCCUGCGCAGCCCCAGCAGGCGACUGCCCCCCCCCCCCCCGCAUCGGGCCUCGGCCCCUCCCCAGCUCCCCCUCCCCCCUCCACCAGGACUGCCUGCUGGCCCCCACCGCGAGGUAAUCGAAAUGGACUGCUCAAUCUCUCAAUCUGUUGACAUGAUGCACACGGUUGCAAAAAUAGAUGUGUCAAAAUAGAUGUAUUGCCAAUUGCUAUAGAUGCAUAUGGUUGACAUGAAGAAGUCAAAAAUGACAUUUGGUUCCUUGUAGGCAGUCAAAAAUGAAGAAGUCAAACAAUAUUGAUCUGAAAUCAAUGCGGGAAAGGGCUACGAAGACACACGGGUAGAUUCCCUUGUGAACUUUUUAUGUCGUUCGUCUAAAUAUAUUUUUGCAAUGGGCAUACCCUACUCUGAAAUCCUGGGUCCGCCACUGAUGAUGAUGGUCUAAACAUAAAACAAGCCUAGAUUAAUUAGCUACAACUGAAAUUAAGCAAAGGUUAAUGUCAUUGACCCUAGCUCUAUCCUAGCUUUUACUAAAGUCCCGGCACAUAUAGUGGUUGGGCCCACUCUCUCUACUUCCCUCUCUGCUGCAUGCACACACACGAGCAACUGGAGGCCCAACAAAGCCCAGAAGGGUUCGGCCGAACCCGUCCGAUCCAGUCUGAGCGCCGCUCCCUCCCAGCCUUCGCGCAGAUGCUCCUCCAACGUUCCUUGACCCCUCCCUCAGUGUCCCAUUGGGUUUAACAUUGUAGGAGAGGAGUCCCUUUUUUAAAAUCUCAACCACCUCCUCUCCUCAUUCACUCCACUCUCAUCUCCAUCAAACUCACCAAGAUCCACAUCGGAAAUACCUGCUUACCACCAUGGCUGGCAAAGCCCUCGUCCCUUUCACCAACUUGGGCUUGACCAUUGAUCUCGAUGGGAAAAUCACUCCAGCAAAUGUCAUUGUCCCUGUCGGCGAUCUGGCGAUGGAGGAGGUCCAGGCACUAGAGGUCGAGCCCCUAGCCAUCAUACCGCCCAAGGGGUAAAGCAGGAGCAUGACAGGCGCUGCUAGGGGUUCAGCCGAACUCCCAGUUCAGCCAAACGAGGACGGCGUCGCCUCGGCCUCCCGCUCGACUGCAUGCUUCCCCUUGCCAAGGAGGACUCCAGAACAGCGGGCGCGUGCGUCAAGUCCCUACAAAAGGCUGAAAUACAAUGAAUAUCCAGGGUCACCCUUGAAGAUGGGUGAACGCUACGCCGGGUCCUUGUUUGACUAGUACGGCGAUGCAUUCUGCCACCGCUAUGUCGUUGUCGAGAUUAGCGGAUCAAGACUUAGACUAGUAAAUUUCUUUUAUGCGCGUAAGGCUUCAGAUGGUGGCGUGGGAGACAUGGGUUUUAUACUAGUUCGGGCAAUGGAAUACCCUACGUCCAGUGUCUGGAGCUGCUUGUGUUGCCCACGCGGGGUUCUGUAGUAGGGGUUACAGGUGUGCGAGAGAGGGAGCUAAUCCCAGGUCUCUUAGGCGUGUUCCGGUCCUCUAGAUGGGAGAAGUGUGUUCUGUUUGCUUGGGAGUAUCGGUUGUGUCUGAGUUGUCUCCGGAGCCUCCUCCCGUCUCAGGUCCCCGAUUCUCCUUUCAUAGCACAAGGAGACCAUCGGGGUUACAGACGAGACCGAGCGUGGGGAGGAGUAAAGAGAUAAACAUAGCUAGGUAAAAAUACAACAAGAAAGGGGGGAACCAAGUUUCUAGGUCACCGGCGUCCUCGCCGGCCUUCGACUUCCGCCGGCGCAUUUGUCGGAGGAGGGUGGCCGCCAUCGCGUUCUGUCGAUGGCUUCCUCGGUGACUGUAGCCACCGGGCGUGAUGAUGGCAUUUCGUCGUGACCCUUUGUCUGUUGGGGGAGGCGGCGGAUCCUGCCAUUCUGCUGACGGCUCGCGGAGUGCGAACGUCGCAUCCCUGCCGCUGGGCACGCGGGGCGCGAGAACGUGCGAGGCUUCCCCCUACCCCAGGCGGCGCAGGCCAUGAGUGCCCUGUGGCAAAUCGGAGGAGGCCGCAGCUACUGUAGCUUGUACUGUGCAGCCACGUAUGGGUACUUGUGGCAGGUUGCGUGGUGGAUGCGGAUAUCCUUCUCCCUGACAGAUCUGCGGCGCAUUUAUGGCGAGAUCGACAUGGGGACCCACAAGACCCGCGCCCAAGGCGGAUACUUGUCUGGAGGGCCCGGGUUAGCCUGACCCCCUACGCUUGGGGUCGGGCGAGGCGGAGACUUGCGGCGGGGCGUCGGACGCUCCCGACACUAGACCUGCGGUCGCGCAAGGCGGAGCUUGGUCUUCCGGGGGUCGGGGGUGCCGGACCCCAGGAUGCGGGGUCGGGCGAGGUGGAGCGUAAUUCUUGCCUCCCAUGUUGGGCCGAUGGCAGUCUUUGUUACCUCUAGUGGGCUUGGGCCUUUAUGUUUUGUUGUUUCCAUGGGCUUCGAGAGGUCGUUAAUAUUUCCCCCCAACAGUAGCCCCCGAGCCUGUGGUGGAGUGGGGGCGCUCCUCCGGAGGCUACUAUCAUCGCCCCUAGGGAAUCCUCGCAGUUGAUCCGGGAUAGGAGGUGUUGUUUGCACGGCUUGACCGAGGGGGUCGAUUAGGCGACGCAUCCUGUGAGCGACUCGGUGCGGGAGGGUUUCUUGUUGUUCCCUUCUGUCUGAGAGCCUUAAGUCGAGACCACCUGCGUGGCCUUUGGUUGCAAGGCCAGCCCCCGAGCCCCCGCACGUUGCAGGGGACCGGUCGGAGGCUAGGUCGACUUUUGUUCAUUACCCUCAAGCGUCUGUUCGCUAGGACGGAGGGGGCGAGCCGUGCCAUGCUAUCCUCAUCGGACGAACCAUGGUGCUCAUUGAGUUACUAACGGGUUGAUUCGAGUGGGAUCCCGGUCCCCGUUCGGGGGGGGUCCGGCUUGGGCCAAGCUGGUGGCGUACCCCAGGCUCCGGUCGGCCAGUUCAUAUAGUUCCUGAGUCCGUUCGGUCGGACCGGGGGCUCAUUGCCUUUCUUCGGGGAAAAACCAUGAACUUUGAUGCCGGUCCAGACUCGAAUGUGAGAUUGAGACGCCCGGGGCUGUCGCGUGCCCGGGUGAUGGCCGCUAGCGGACCCGUCUCCUCUCACCCCUCACUCGGGGGUAUCCUGAGGCGGCUGUCGAACCCGUGGCGGGCCAGCCUUCGAACCUCUGGAUCGUAAUGGGCCGUAGGGGCGUUUUCAGCCCCGUAUCCCUUUUUACCUUUUGGUGGGCCUUGGGCCGAAUCAUGGAGGAGGUCGGGCCUUGGGCCGGAUGCGGAGGAUGUCGUGCCUUGGGCCGGAUGUGGGGGACGUCGUGCGUGUCUUCCGGGAGACGAAGUGGUGGAGGGUGCCAACCCGCGAAUCGAGGGAGGAGGGGAUGUUUCUACUGCAGGUCAUGCGCACGGUUUCCGAAAAGGCAGCGGGCGUGACGGGACGUACCUCGCGCCGCAUUUAUUGCGAUGGGGGCGUCUGUUCUGCUUCCCUCGUGCCUUCCCUAUAAAACGAGGACUUCGCCUCGCCGGUUCCGCCCGCCAUCUACCUUCAAGCCUUUUCGCCUCCUCGCGCGCCCUUAGCUUUCCUGUGCCCGCUUCGUCUUCCUCCGCCCAGUGCCGCGCCCUUUCUCCCCAUCCGCCGUCGAGUUCUUCUCCCUCCGGCGAUGGGAUCCUGGGCGCGUUCCCACUUCGGCCCCUCACGCGCCGAAGGCCUAGUGAGGAAAGGCCUCCUUUGCGAGAGGACGGAGACGGAUGAGUGGGGGUUCCCUGAGAUGGAAGAGGUGCCGACUCCGCCCACCGGCUACGUCGUUUCCUUUGCCCACUUCCACGAGAGGGGGUUUGCGACUCCGCCGAGCCUCUUCUUCCGCGGGCUUUUGUAUUACUACGGGCUUGAGCUGCAGCACCUCAACCCCAACGGGAUUCAGCACGUCGCGGCGUUCGUUGCGGUGUGCGAGGGGUUCCUGGGCAUUGAGCCCAACUUCUCGCUGUGGAAGUACUUCUUCACGGUCAGCCUAUACCAGAAGGCCGAGAAGAGGGGAAGCCAGCAGCGGUCGACCCCGGUGCCGAUAGGGUGCGUCGGAAUCCACCUCUGCCAUACUCGCGCCAAGGAGUAUAUCGCGAUGAAGACCGCGGCAUCCCACAAGGGGUGGCACCAGCAAUGGUUCUACGUGAAGAACUACUCCAACCCCCCCUGCCGGAGUUCACCGGCCGCAUUAUUGAAGCGGCGCCGGAGGUGUGGGUGUACGGCCCGGUGGAGAAGGAGAAGAAGCGGAUCACCGGCCUGCUGCAGGCCAUCGAGCACCUGAAGGAGAGGGGACUGACCGGAGCCGGAGUCAUCGGGGCGUACCACGCCCGGCGGGUGGCGCCGCUGAUGCUCCGGGUCCGCUCGCUCGCCGACAUGACCCCCGGUGCUCUCACCGAUGGCACUGUCCUCGCGACGGGUGCUCUCGCUGCCUCCGAGAUCCGGCAGCGGAUCCGGGAGGCGCUGGAGGACAAGGACGCCGAUUACCCGGUGCCCGGCCACCCUCCGAUGCGCCCGGACGAGAAUUUCAUUGAUCUGGUAAGGAUUUUGCGCGCCAGUUUCCCUCUCUUGCGUUUCUUGGUAUGCCGUUCUGACGCGAGGCCCUCUGUGUUUGCAGGGUAGCAUGACCCGGGUCGUCGACUUGCGUCCGCCAGUGUCGGAGGACGCCGAGUGGCGGUAGCAGAACCGUCUCCUUGCCGAGAAGCAAAAGUGACGCAAGGACAAGAGACAGCGAAGAAGAAGAAGAGGGCCGCCAAGGAGUUCCAGCGGCGGCGGUGGGGAUAGGUCGUGUCGGAUGACGAUGACGAUGAGAAGGAGGAGGAGGAUGACGAGGAGGAGGAGGAGUUUAUCCUGUCCCCCCGGUCAGGGGCGCUUGUUAUCCGGGAGCCGCGCUCCCAAGCGGCCAUGGGGGACAAGGCGGGCGAGCUGCCUGCCCGGACCCGAUCCUGCGAAGCUUUGGGGGCGCGCCCCAGGGGUCGGCGCAGAGCGCCCCCCGGGGGUCGACGGAGCCGACCCCCAUCCCUACACCUGCAGCCCAGGAGCAGAGGAGCAGCGACAAGCGGCCGUUGCCAGAUGCCCCGGGGUCGGCGUCCAGCUCAGAGGCGAAGCGCGCGCGCCGCCCUUGCGCUGGGGGAACGUGAGUUGAAUUUCCUUGCGAAUCUCGUUCCUUUCCAUGCAUUGUGUUUGUUUCCGCUGAUGCUGUUUGUUGUCUCACAGCACCGCCCCUCAAGGCCUUGUCCCGCCGUUGGCGCCAAAGAAGGCGUUGCGGUGUUGUCGCCUCUGCGGGGCGGACCGCGGCUCCGCCGGCGGCGAGUGGCGGGGUCACUGGUGAGACCGCGGGUCCUACCGCGGAGGUGGCCCCUGCGGCGGCAACCGGUGGAGUGGUGCCACCGCCGGGCAUGGGACAGGGUCUGGACCCCGCUCCGUCCUCCGCCUCUUCGGCCGACCCCGCGGUGCAGAGUAUCGCUCCUGGGGGCCCUCAGGCCGGGGAGGUGAUUGACCUCGACGCCGACGAGGUGGAGGAGACGGCGGCGGUGGAGACGGGGGCGGUUGCCCCAGCGGCCAUGACGGGGACGACGACGGCGACGGGGGAAGGAGAGUCUACCCCCGCGGCCACGGCGGGGACAGUGGCGACAGAGGAGGCGGGGACGCCCGCCCCGGCGGCUGCGACGGAGGAGGCGGCGGUGACGGAGACGGGGGCUUCCGCCCGGGAAGCCACAGCCGAGGUGGCAGCGGCGACGGAGGUGAAAGUGCCUGUUCUGGAGGCCACGGUGGGGGUGGGGACGCCUGCCUCGUGGCCACGACGGAGGGCGAGGCGGCCCCAGGGACACUUGCUCCGGCACCCGCGUUGGAGGCGGUGGCGCCGACGGGUUGGCCCGUGGCGGCCUCGACGGGGGCGGGGGUGCGUGCGCCGGGACCGUCGGUGAGGCCGGCGACUUCCGGGAUGGUGGUGCCCGUCUUGACGGCGGCGGCGGCGCGGUCGGCCCCCGCCCUUGCCUCUACCACUCCCAUUCCCAAGGCGUGGAGCGGAUCCGUCCUGCGUUGGUCGUCUCGUGACGACCCGCAGAGGCCCCUCUUCACGUUGGAUGAUGCCACAGAAUGGGGCAAGUGGCAGGCGCUGCAGGGCGGACUCGCUAACGUCCGCGCCGCUCUAUCUUCGGCGUUGGGGGAGCUGGACGGCGUCAUCUUCCCCGGUGGCCGGGUAUGGUGCUUUCUCCGUUGGUUAUUUUCUUCCCGUUACUUCGUCCCUGAUGGCACAUUGUUCUGCAGGCCCUCCAAGAAUGUAGCCGGGGAAAAUCUGAUUUCCUUUGGCUCGAGCAGGGGCUCUGGGAGCGCUUCAACUUGGAGUUGCAGCGGACCGGGGAGCUGACCAUGCAAGUCGCCACCGUCUAGCAUGUCAUCGACGAUCUGCGAAGGCACGAGCAGGCGGCACAGGAGGACGCGCGGCGGGCGGAGGCCAAGUUCCAGGUCGUUGCCGAAAGGGCUCGCUGCGACCGCGAGGAGUUCCAGGCCGUUGCCGAAAAGGCCCGCCACGACGCUGAGGAGCUCGCACGGCUGAAGGUGCAGCAUGAAGCUCUUCAGAAGAGCGGCAGAGGGCCUGGCAGGACCGGGACGCCGAGAAGGUCCGGAAGGAGGAGGCUGAGAAGGUGGCGGCCAACCUUGGGGCUGAGGUCAGCCAGCUCCAAGUGCAAGCGCGAGAGCUUCAGGCCUCCGUGGCCCAGGGGCUCGACCAGGAGCGCCAGCUGAAGGCCUAAUCCGAGGGUAUGACUCUGUUUAUUUCUUUGUCUUUGUGAUGUUGCGGUGAUAUUUUAUUUGGCGGGUUCUUCUGGAUGAUCCUUGCAGAUGAGCUCAACUGGCUGAGGGAGGUGCUUGACGCGGAGCGCGCUGAGCACGGCGACCUGCGGGACGCGGUCCGCGUCAUCUGUGACUUCCUUAGUGUGGUCCAGGGGGAGGGGACGAGCUCGCUGGCGGCUCGUGUCCUCGGGACGUACCGCCGGACCAGCGAGAUCGCCCUGGAAGCGCUUCGCACCGGCUUGAGGCAAGCCUUUGGGGUCUUCGGCUCCCACUAUUCCGGCAUCAACUUCGCCGGGAUGAGCGGGGGAUACGCCACCGGCUACUACGAGGCCGAGCUGGAUGAGAUCGACGUGUCGGUGCUCAGCCCGGCGGAGGCCUUGGUGAAGCUCCUCGAGGAUGAGGCCGUCCCGCCCGAAGAUCCCCGGACGAGUUAACUAUAUCGGGCUGGCGCCCCAGAUGUAAAUACGUUAGGGAAAGACUUGUUUUUUGUGAGGGCCGUAGAGGCCUUUUCUAUGAAUUGUCGUAAAAAAGUUUUUGAUUCCCUUUCUUGCUUUUUGGACUUGGAAAGUUUAGAGCACGUUGUCGGGCGUGUCAGUAAGCUUUGAUGAGCGAAGGCACCGUAGCCGCUGGGGCGUCGUUUUUUUUGCAGUCCGAUCAAUCUUGCCUGAACACCGUUCGUGCACUUUCUCCUUUUUAUGCCCAAAAGUUCAGAAAGAGGGUCGGCUCGGAAAGAGAAAGCGUUUUGAGAGGGUGUCAAGUGGCUUAGGUACUUGCGGCAGGUUGCGUGGUGGACGCGGAUAUCCUUCUCCCUGACAGAUCUGCGGCGCAUUUAUGGUGAGAUCAACAUGGGGACCCACAAGACCCGCGCCCAAGGCGGAUACUUGUCUGGAGGGCCCGGGUUAGCCCGACCCCCUACGCUUGGGGUCAGGCGAGGCGGAGACUUGCGGCGGGGGGUUGGACGCUCCUGACCCUAGACCUGCGGUCGGGCGAGGCGGAGCUUGGUCUUCCAGGGGUCGGGGGCGCCUUACCCCGGGAUGCGGGGUCGGGCGAGGCGGAGCGUAAUUCUUGCCUCCCAUGUUGGGCCGACGGCAAUCUUUGUUACCUUGGGUGGGCCUGGGCCUUUAUGUUUUGUUGUUUCCAUGGGCUUCGAGAGGUCGUUAAUAUUUCCCCCCAACACUAUGAGGAGGACUUGUGGGCAGAAAGUCAGCUACCACAAACUUGCCUCUGAAUAUUUGGAGUGCAAACAUUGGAUGGUGGUUGUGGAGAGCCCCAGCCAUACCUCGCACCCGUGGAGAGGUAAUUGUCGGAUUGCUUGGUUCGUCUCUAGAAUGCGACAAGGUCAGGCGCCACCUCUCACUGCUGCCAGUCAGAAGGCCGAGGGGCCAGUUUCAACAUAGUAAUGAGAAUCUCCGAAGGCCAAUAUGGUUAAGCAGCUAACCUCCAUGAUCAUAGACUUACGUUUAGAAAAUAGGAGGCUUAGCGAUGCGUUAACAGAGCAGAAGUUAGAAACAGAAGAACUUAAGGACGACUUCCGUGUCCUCCGCCUUGGUCUUUGUGCUAAGAUAAAGCGCUUGUACAAUGCCACGGGGAAUGACGGUCUCUACGAUGCAGCUCAAUAGACGUGCCCCUUGUAUCCUUUCCUUUAGGCACUUUAGAAUAUGUUUAUUUGUUUUCCUUCAUUUUAAUUUCCAAUAGAUUGUUAGCGCCUCCAAUUUAAUUUCAAUAAAGUGUAGACUCACCGGUCAUCCAACUUGAUGGAGUCCUUUUGUCACCUAGUUGUCUUUGGAAGAAGUAGCUGGGUACAAAAUAAGUGUGGGGGAGAGCCACAGACUCUCUAGAGCUGAAACAAUGCACAACACCCACAAAUAGAGAAAACCACGCUGCACCAGCACGUACGUGAAAGUGGAGCCAGAGCUGGACCCAUAGGGGUUUGGCCAACCCAAGGGGUGGCCCACUCGGGCCAUCUUCAUCCACCGCGUCGGUUUGUGUCUCUUUACCCCUGAUCUCCCUGAUUCAUGAGUUUGAAUGAAUUUUAAAUCUGAUCAACUAAUUCAAACUCAACUAAAAUGAAUCAACUGCUCCACCUGCUCUACAUGUUUUCUAUGGUUGGCUUGCAUAUGUUUUAUUUCAUGCUUAUCAUCUUGAUGCUUGUGAACAAAUAUCUUUAGGACAGCAUGCUCAUCUAAGUAGUUGAUGUGUAUGAUAUGGUUCGAUGAUAUGAUCUUCACUCUUAAUGCUUAAGUGCUUGGGAAAAUCUAUUUGAAAAUUUAAAAGCCUUUUUGAAAUCUCCUCUUUGAUGUGCCAAAGUCCUACCAAAGCCAUAUGAUAAGUUAUCUUGAAAAACCAUUUGCAUAUGUUGCUUGUCUUUGCAUUGAGCUUUGUCAAAUUGGUGUGACCCUUGUCACAAUUCUUUUCAUACUUUCAUGAUCAAGACUCAUGUGCACGCCAUAUACCCCUUGCUAUGCUUCUAUGAGAUGUUAGCAUUGUACCAUCCAUUCAUUCCACAAAAUAAAUGCUCCACCAUAUGUGUUGGUCUCCUUCUAAGAUUAUUGUUACAAAAGAGAUAUGGGCUAUCAAAAAAAAAUAUGAAUGUCCAAGAAAGUUGGACACAUGAAUGUCCAAUAAAAAGAAAAAGAAAGAUAGCCAUGUCCUCAGAAAUAUUUACAAAGGGAGAGAGAUCAUACAAAAAGGAGUUUCCAUUCCAUCCACCACAUCCAUACAUGUGCACAUCUUGAUCUGAUUGUAUGACUUAUUUUUCUCUUUGGAUCUGGUCUUUGACUUUGCAAUAUAUGUGAUGCAAGCAUGCCUUAUCCUUCAUAGCCUACCUUGAGCUCCACAUAUAGCCAUCAUUAGAAGUAGGAUGAAGAAAGGCAAGUCUAAUGCCUUGGUGAGGACAUAUACACAUUGAGUGAUCUGAGAGAAUCAAAUGAGGAGCUAAGCAAGGUUUUGUUUUGAAAACUAAUUGAAAAAUCCCAAGCUACUUGGCAUAAGGAGUUGAGGUGACUUGAUUCAAGACCAUUACAUUCCUCAACUACCCAAGAUGGCAUGAUAGACACUCCAAAGUUCACAAGUGCAGGUAUGGUUUGGAAUAUCUUUUAGGCUCGCUUCAUACCUUUGAAAGUUAUGUUUCACCUUAGUCCUUUCUCGUUCACUCAAGGAUAAGCAAAGGCUAAGUGUGGGGGUGUUGUUGAUGGCUCUUAAGUACAAAAUCUGCGCCAUCAACUCUUGCAUAAACACAUAAAAUAUGAGCAUCAACAAUAGUGGUAGGAGUUAUUACAAACGAAUUCCACAAGUCUUGGUGAAUAUUUGUAUGCAAGCCCAAUAGGAGAGAAAAGACACCUCAAAAGCAAGGAAACACACUCUCAACCAAUCAAGAGCAAGCACAUGGAACCAUGGGCCCACAACCAAAAGGAAAUCGACUACAUUCCAAACACCCUAUACCCACAUGAGAACCCAUAGGGCAGUGACCCAGAGCAAAGGUGAUGCCAGAGUGUAGAUGGUAGUUAGCAUGCCAAAUUUUGAACCGCAAGCGCUCGGAUUAGUUGUUUCUUUUCCCUUAGAGAUUCCCCCAAGGUUUAUCAAUCCAUGGAACAAGGGAUUUGCACGUUUCACUAAGCACUAAUCAAUGUAAUUGAAAGCUUUUCGAAUAAGAUAUGAUUAUGCUAACAAAGGAACUAAGCAAUCUAGAUUAAGAUGGAUAGAGAGUACAGGUUGUGAACAAGAUAGAUUAAACGCUUGUAGAUGCAAUCACCAUGCAUGAAUGAAUUAGAUCUAGGUGUUAUUGUGAGUGGUUGUGAACCAUGCCCAACACUUUCCCACCCGCAACAUUGUCACUACAUGUGGGUACUCAACUAUCGGAACAUAAGAACACAUCAAGAUGAUCAUUCUAGGUAAGCAAAUAAGCAACCCAAAGUAGCGCUGGCCAGCCUUUUCAUGAAAGAGCAUCAUCAAGAUAAGAUUGAUAACAAAAUAGAUCUCAACCAAAGGUUCAGCGAUUACAAAUCAAGAUCUUCGUAUAACCCCGAUGACAAAUAGAGGUAUUACCCCCAUGAUCUUACACAUGUUGAUGAAUUUUAGGGUAAAGGACACCCUGUAGAUCAACUGGACCAAAGAUGAUGAUGAACGGGGGCAGGGAAGGCCCAGGUUGAUCAGCCUGCGCACUUUUGAGCCGAUCAGCUCAGGGGGUUUCCUCCUCCCCUGGUGCUCCUCUUCGCGUGGCCUCCUCUGGAUCCAAUCUUCUCUUCAUUUCUCCUACUUGUGGCGGCAAUGGAUGGUGUUUGCAUGGUGAUUUCCUCUUCUCCCCAACUCUCCCUCCUUGAAGUCCAUGAGGGGGUAUUAAUAGUCUCCAAUAGGCGGCAGCUCUGGGUCAAUGUCAGUGAAAAAAUCCUAGAGAUCAUCGUACACUUCAUGCUGAGGAAACAAGAGGUUGACCGAGCCCUGGGAUAGACCAAGAGGAUCAUCCUAGAGGGUCCCAGGCUAAUCGGUCUAGGCCCUUCCUAGCCCUUCUAGUCCUCUCCUUCCUCGUGCUGGCUUUUCUCGAUGACCCUUGUCCAAAUAUCCAUGAAGCUCUAUAUACAUACCCCCUUGAUUAUGUUGUAUUUCCUGUCAAAAUACAAUGCUCCAAAAUACAACACAUAUGCAAUAAUAGGGUUAUUUCAGGUGCCAAUUGGUGGGUUAGUAUACGAAUAAGCAUGAAAAUACUGUUUAAAUGACACUAAAAGUGUGUCAAUAACGAGCACCAACAAUCCCCCCACGCUUAGAUCUUGCUCGUCCUCGAGCAAGUCUAGCGACUAAAAGAUCUUGAAUUAAACCUGAGCAAGCGAGUCAAGUACCUAGCCUUGAAACAAAAGAUUAGAGGAGCAGCAAAGAUAAUCAAAGUCUGGGUGUUCAAAGAUUUAUCUAAGCAAAGAUUCCCCUACAACUAUUAUUCAGAACCAAGUAACUUCAAAAAUCAACUACACUUAUUUUCUGGCUUUUUUCAGAGGGUUUUUCUUUCAUCAUAAAACAAUCUCCCUGCAACAAAAUUGAAAAAAGAAUUAUUUUCAAGGUGCUUACAUGUCGCUUAAAUGAAUGUUGGCUAUCCUACUUAUUUGCAAGCUCUCAUCUCUCAAAAUUCAUUCAAUUAUAUGGUGGAGUUUGGGUAAGGUUAGCUAGAAUCAACACGUAUAUUAUUGAAUUAAGAAAACCCUCUAACGGUGGCCUACCUUCCGAGCCAUUGAUCAUAAGAAUAUCCACAUAAUGUGAAGUUUUCAAGGAUGAGAAGAUAUAGAAUGGUGGACAUGUGCAAAGGCAAAGAAAUAUAGUGACUCUGAGGCACAAGCAAUGUCCUCGUCGUUGGAUUGCAUAUGGUUGUAAUGAAAAUAUGUUCCUUAAACAAGUCUAUCUUUUCUUUGCACCACUCUUGAUCUUCAUGACAGUAAAAACUCCUCCUUUAUUUCUUUCUCUCUUUUCCUAUUAUUUCUUUUUAUUUGUCUCAAUACUUUUAUUUCUUUAUUUCUUUAUUUUAAUCUCUUCUCUGAACCUCUUCUGAACACCACAUAAUAAAAAUAAGUUUUAGAUCCUUCCAGAGACCUUCCAGGAAUUUGCUACAUGAAAACCGAGGCAAGGAGACCCCAGGCCGAUUGGCCUAGCCACUCCUUUGCUCUCCUCUAGCUCUUCUUUCUGGUGAAGCUUCCUUAUCUUGUAUCUUUCCAAAAAUUUCAUAAAGCUCGACUAGAAACGGAACAGAUCUUCAUAUAAUGAGUUGUGUUCAAGGAAUUGGUAAUAAAAUUGAGAAAUUUGUGGUUCGGGUUUACGAAUUCAGUACAAAAAUAUGAUUGUUCCAAUGAAGAACUCUCAUUACUGAAUAUUGACGAGGCAAGCAUUCAAAGAUGGUAAAAAGGAUAUGAUCAAUUCUCAAAAUUAAAGCAAACCAAGAGAGAGCGAUCCUAAUUCAAUUCAAAGUGUCAAAUGUUGCUUAUGGUGGUAUGAAUAAAUAUUUUUAGGCAUUGGGUAGGAUAAAUAAAAACUCUCAACCUGGUUAAAAGAUAUUGAUCAAUCUUGUUUUUGCAGAGGUUUUAAAUAAAAAAUAAAAUUUUAAAUCACCUCCAAUUCAAAGCCUUACUCAUAAAUCAUAAUCAAAACUGAAGCACUUGAUCAUCAUAAAGCAUGGGUAUUGCAUAAACAAAUCGAUUACUAAAACUCCACAACUACGAUUUAGAAUUCAAGACAAUGCUCAUAAUCUAAAGUUGCAAAGAUAAAAUAAAAGACAACCAAGCCAAGGUAGACACUAAAAACACUUGCACGAUCCUUGAAUUUUAUUCAUGCUUCUUCUCACAAAGACGCUAAAGUAGCCAUGUAGGCCUAAGUCUUCCCAAAAGCUUAAGAAAACUACUACUUUAUCUACUUUUGGUUGAAAUAAAAAGACUAAUCUAGACUCUCACAUGAUUCGACUCGACCAAAUUAGAUCCAAAAACUCAUACGAGCGACGAUCUCCCCCCCCUCACGCUUAAAAUCUACGACCUCCUCGUCGUAGCCAUAUGGAGUACAAGGAAAAGAAGCUUGUAAACGCUCUAAUGACGCUACCCGCACUACUUGCACACGGGAUGGUUGCUGCUUCCUUCGCUUUGUUCUUCCUCAUGUUGCUGCACAUCCCGAAGAGCUUCCUCACGUUCCUCUGCAAGAACUUGAACUCGUCCUCCUGACGGCGAUCAUUAUCUUCUGCCUUUUGAUCCAGAGCUUGUAAGGCUUGCAUGAUGUCAUCGAACGCAUCGAAGAGGUAGUGGAUGUUCUUCCUGCAAGCUGUGGAACAUGUACGAUCAUGCUCCUCCGAUUCUGGCCCGUCGUCUUCUAGAUCCUUCUCUUUGCCCUUGUCUUGACGGUGGCUAUCUUGCUCCUUGCUCGCCUUCUUGCCUUCAGCCCAAUCCCAGUACGUGUUGUCAUCUUCUUCAUCGUCACGGCCUGCAGCACCCUAUGAUCCAUUGUCUAUCUUGUAUGAAAGAAUCAGAAGCUUGUUCUCCUCAGGGUGUCUUGCGCGGUGCAGCGUUUGCAAGUGCAAGACUUGCUAGUUCCUUUUACACAUUGUAAUGUUCAUUGCAUGCUCUAAUUGUUCUACAUUUGUAAUUUCUUGGUGAAGUUUGGUUACUGAUCCACUGUUUGAUUAACUCUUGGGCCCAAACACUGUACUACUUCUGAUUAGAUAUCUGUAUCUUGACUUUGACCAAAAAAAAUAUCCGGCAGUUUUUGCCAUUAAAGUUUCAUAAAUCAUCUUGCAAAAAUCGUACUAUACAACAAGGGACGGUUUAUUAUAAAAUAUACGUUCCCCUUAUCACAUGCCACUUCCACUCAAAAGGCAACGAAUCAGUUUUCAAUCCUGAGUGAGCAAUUUGCUUUUAUUACCGAUGCCUCCUAUUCCCUUGUGCACCAAGUUUAUUUUGGAUAGGGCUGCAAAAAACGACUAACCAGCUCGGAUUCUCCACCUGCAAAACCGCAUCUGCAGCAACCAACCCCACGCGGUGGAAAAAAAAACAAAACCUAGAAACCGGACGGGGGUGGAUGUGGGGCUCGGAGCCCAAGCAAAAAACGGAUCGGGAGCGCCGGAGCAGGCCAUCACCGGAUGUUAGAGAUAGAAAAUGGUUGAAGUUUGGAGUGGAAAUCAAACAAGCCUUGGAGCAAAGGAAAAAAAAAGAUCAAACCACUCAAGCAUUCAUUUGAUUUAGAAAAGAGAACAUUUGUUAAGGUGGGGAGUUGAAAUCAUCUUUUAAUUAGUUCCACGUAUCUGGUAUCAUUACAGUUGGUUUACUUGUGUAAGUAUAAGUAGCUCUGCCGAAGCCUUUGCUCCUAUAAUUUAGUAACUAGUACAAAUGGAUCAAUAGGAAAAUCAAGUUGCAAUCAUUUCUCAGCCAACCAAACCUAUGUAAAUCAAAUUAUUGUCCAUGCCCGGCAUGCACAGGUGCCUGCCAUGCAUGCAUUGUUGCUCCAUUGUAAUAACCAUUAUUGUCCAUCGAUGUUGCAGCGCAUGUGUGCACUGUGCAGACACCAAGCAUCGAGAUUAUGUACUAGUAAGGUGUUGAAAUAAUGGGCCUAGCCCAUAAGUAAUUUCAGAAUUUCAAAUAAAUCUCAAAGGCCCAUGUGGGCAAGAGGUGGAGUGGUGCAAGUCUUUAGUCCCACAUUGCUAGUCGAGGGGAGGGAUGACCAACUUAAAUAUGGAAGUUGUCUCCACUCCUCCAAGCUAUGUGUGAAGGGCGCGGGCGCGAGGCACUUGCGUGAAUGGUCCGCCGAAAUCUGGCCCCCCUUGCGGGGGCGCGGCUUCCUUUUGCCGUUUUAUUUUUUGGUUACUUGGUCGUUAAGUCAUGGAAUCCUAACCGGUUUAGAUCACGAUCGUGAAGGUUUUUGGGAAGCGCUCUGCGCGACUGCUCGAUCGCUUCUUCCGCUUCGUCAAGUUCUUCGUCGACUCCUUCACCACGGCUCGUCUACCUCUUCGUCGCUCGGGCCUCACUCGUCGUCGCGAACAACGUCAGGCUGCUGAUCGUCGUCGCCUGCUGUAUCCGGUAGUCGUCCAGGAGCCGGUUUUCAUCAAGAAAGAAACGUACGGUCUCUUAACUCACAUUAUGUCUUCCAUACUAGCUAUUAUGAUUGUUGCAGUCUGAUAGCUCUGGAUAGUAUGGUAGAAUGUCUGAUUCUAUUUGCAAUGAUAGACUUGUCUAGAUCUUGCGUAGACAUGUCUAGUUUAAUCUGCUGCUUGUUCAUCAUAUUCAUGAUUUAUUUCUGGAUUAAGUUAAAACUAAAAGUGCUUAUAUAUCCAACAUAAGGUACCAAGAACACGUGAAGCACCCGGGGGAGGCUGCUCCACUCCGCAUGCACAGGUGGGCACGGCACCACUACUCGUCUCCUUCAGGCUGAGGAUAAGUGAUGUACGCUGAUCAACAGACCACGACGGAACCAGCAAUAAUAGUUUCAGCCUGCCUCACAGUAAUUAAUAUAUCCUGUAUCCUCCGAGGACCCCUCCCCUUAAUCUUGGCCUAUUGCAUCCAAUAAUGAUAUGUGUGUUUAUCCAAAUUUACGGCACCUUUGGCGGGGGUUCCACCCAGCUCCGCCCUCUCCACCUUCGGUACUCCAUGGGAAACCAUUCCUUUGGAAUCAAGGAAGCUUGAACAGUAUAACGAAUAAAGUUUCAUAUAUCCAUUUGAUUUCACAUGAAAUAAAAUAUUCUGUCAGAACCAAUGGUUUCACUGAAGCUCCAGGCAGCGAGCGAAGGGGUGAGAGAGGAUAACGCUUACUGUGUGUUACCAUCGCGUGCACCAUGGAUGACCAACGCGCAGCCGAGAUGAAACGGCGGACCUAAACAGGUCCUCGCUAUUUUUGCAGGUUCUCGACCAGGCCAGUUCUUUAGGCCAACCUAUCAUUCACGAGUUAAACAUACGGUGGCUGGAGAAAUGUUCUAUUCUUUUAAACAAUACCAGCUGGUUCCUCCGUUUUUAUUCCACCAAUACAAGCACCACCUUGUAACAUUUCCUAUGUUUUUUUUCCUUUCGUCUGUUUUCUCACUACAUGCGUUGCUCUUUCAUGCAUUUUUUUCCAUUCCUGUAUUCCAAAUAGGUCUACAUGAACACAAAAUGAACUAGGGGACAGAAAAAGCCAGUGAAGUUAGUUUUGAGCUUCACCAGCUACUUGCUACAUAAAGUGUGCUAUAGUCGCAGAAAAGCUAAGCUGGAUCAGACGUGGCCGAAACAAUGCCAAAGAGCUAGGUCCCUAGCUGAUGGCAACACAUCAGAUGACUAGCCUGCUUUUCUGUAAUAAUGAUAUUGAGCAAUACACUGCAUGGCUAACCUGCUUUACAAUAAUUGUCAUUUUAUAAUAUUGGUCAUCACGAGAGAUGCACAUUGCAUACACCGGCCCAUCCCUAUAAAUAGCCAAGCCUUUCAGCCAUCUUGGGCACCUCCUCUCAGGGCCUCGUCUCACCAUCAGACAUCUCGUUCCCAGUUAUAAUUUGCGAGGUUAGAUCAGGCUGCGCCAUGGCGUCCGCAACUGCUGUCAAGAUCGUCGCCACCUUCAUGCUGGUGCUGACCAUGGGCCACCUGAUGGCCGAAGCAUCACCGCAGCCUCGGCGUGUGCUUGCAGAAACGGAGCAUGCUGCGGUGUCCGGGAAUCCUGGCCUCCCAGGUGAUGCUAGCGUCAUGCAGGUCCUCGAACCCGCCCUAGUUUCUCGGCUUGCCUGCAAACCAGAGUGCACAGUCCCUUGGCCUCCUUUUGUAUGUAUCUGCUAGAUCCUCUUCCUGGCUCAACGGAACUUCAGGGAAAUGGCUGUGACGUCGGCCAAAGAAUAAAUUGGAUGAACAUAAUAUACCCCGGGUAGUGUAGCUUGGGCUUUUGUUGAGCGUCUGGUGCUAGUUGUAUUUUGUUUGCUCAUGUGGCUUUGCUUCUGGUUGCAUAUUGGCUUUCCUAUCGCUCUCUGUUGCAGCUAUGGUUUCUGCCAGGUGUGUGUUAAUGCGGUUUGUAAGCGGUGCUUGUUCCUACCUUCUGUUUUCAAUAAAAGAAGUCGGAGUCUCCCUCCGACUCUUGUUAUCAGUCAACAAAAAUGAGUUGUAUCAUAUAUAUCUGCGUCUUUUUUCUACGUAUCUUUGGGCUGCUUCAGCUGGAAGUUUAUCGUAAGUACGUGUAUCAGGAUGAUCGUUUGAAUUAAAACGAAAUGAUAAUGUGUGGCUGCUAGAAAUGGAAUGAGCAUCUUACUAUAUUACUAAUUGGAAGCCUCCACGUGAAGCCACCUAGAAAUUCUAGGUGGACGUUUUAAAAAAAACAAAACUCAUAGAAGCCUCCACCACCUAGGAAUCCUAGGUGGACACUCUAAAAAGAGACAAAUCCUAGAAAUUCUAAAAAAAGAAAAAAAUAAUAACAAUAAGAUUUUUUUGCAGUCAAUUACAUAUAUUUUUUUGAGACACCGUGCUGCUAGCUCUUGCCAUUGCGACCAGUAAAGCAAGCAGAUAGUAAGAUGACAUGCGUGUGGAUUGAUUAAAACAAAUUCAGUUAGUUGAUUCUAAAUCGUAUGUAUCCUAAAAGGAAGAUAUGUGCGUGCAUGGUCCCUAGCGAUGACAUGUAGACAUGUAUUGCAAUUUCUUUUUUAAAAAACAUGUCUAUCUCUAAACCAACAAACAGAAAAAAUAUCAAUCUAAAUCUAAAUCUCUUCCGUUCUCACACGCCUAUUAAAGAGAAGACAACCAAUCCCAUCCAUGUUCCAUAGAAUCCAUCUAAAAGCUUGCUCACUGCGGACGGCAUUUGACGGCAAAUCAAUGAAAGAUCAUCCUCUCCAAAUAGCUGGACGGCAUCACCAUCUUUAUCUCACCAACCUACAGAGCUACAACGAUGUUGUAGAGAUCAACUAGGUAACCUACCAAUCACCCUCCCCUUUUCUAUAUGCUCUAAAGAACACGUGGAGUAAUUAUAGGCCUAUAGGAGCCGACUAACCUAGAUUAAUAUGAAAAAUAUUCCAAUAUUAAAAGCAAGCAGAUAGUAAUACUUGCCUUUGACCAUUUUUCUAGAACUGUUAUUCCUAUUGAAUGUUCAAGUGCUACGGCCAGGCAUCGAAUGCCUGCACGGAACCUUCCUAUUGAAUGGUUACUCUAGAGAUCAACGCACCGCGAGACAUUUUUAUGGAAUUUGUUUGAUUCCCCUUCUACAAUUAGAUUAAUUUUUCAUGGCAUAUAUUACUACUAUUAAAUUAUUUGUUUAUUGUCGGGCCUGCUGCAUGUGUGGUAUAUAUGACUUGCUUCUCACCAUUGUUCUCAAACUAUUAUUCCUAUCGAAUCUUUCUAUCGAAAUAUAUUUUAAUUACUUGAUUGUUGUUUGUGUACCAUAACUUCUGUAUAGAAAAAUUCCAUGUUUGUAGAUAAUGUCUUUUGUAUAGAAAAAUAGCCCAAUUAGAUCCAUCACCAUCUUUUGCUUAUGUAGUUGAACAAGUUGCAAUGUUGAACAAAACUUUAAGUGAAAUUAGACCAGGAAAAGGAAUUGUGGAACAUUAAGGCAAGGGUAACCAGAUUGUGGAAUGCAACCUUACUCAGUAGUGGCGAACAAUUAAGUCUUGACAUGAUCCUUAUUGAUCAAAAGGUAUGAUAGAUGUUCACUUUGAUUGCAUUAUUGGUAUAAUUUUUGGUUUACAAAUUAUUAAUGAUGAUGCAAAAUUAGGGAACCAUGAUCCACGGUGUUAUCAAUAAGCCCUAUAUGAAAAAGUUCAAACCAUUGAUUGAAGAAGGCAAUGUGUACAUAAUUGCAAAUGUCAGAAUCACACCAGAACCACAGAAGUAUCGGCCAGUGGAAAAUGACAGGAUAGUCAACUUCUUACCCACAACUGCACUAAAAACGAUCAAAGAUACUGAAGACAUUCCAAAGUAUAGUUUUAACUUCAUGAGCACGGAUAUGCUUUCAGCAAGAAUAAAUGUGGACAUGUACCUAUUAGGUAAAACAUUACUGGCUUUUCAAUUUUUACACUUCCACUCAUUAAAUGACCAUCUAAUAAUAAUACAUAUUUAUGUUUCAUAGAUGUUAUAGGUAUCUCAGCUCACAUUGGACCGAUAGAAGAAACAAGGACAAACUUCGGAUUUACUAAAAUCCGUGAUAUUGUGCUCCUGAUCGAGUAAUUCUCUUUUCUUUUGUAGAAAACAACUACAAAACUUUCAACAUUUACAUGUAUGUUAUAGAACUUCUGUUGAACUAAAAAAUAUCUUCUACAGUGCCCCUACAAAUAAUUAAUUUCGUAGUUGGAUAUUUAAAAUAUUUAUUAUUCACUUUUAAAUUUGUGGCCAUGAAGUUAAAGUUAGAUUUUGGGGAGACAAAGUUGAGGAAGUUGAUGAUAAGACAAAAUCCCAUGUCAUUGCAAUAACAUCUACAACUGUGAGUAAAUUUGGCAGUAAGUCUUCAUUCAAUAUGAGUUAUUCAAUAUUAGUCAUUCAACAAACUAACCUCGUAAGAAAAAUAAAUAAUUGAUGUUUUAUCAGGGUAUUCUCUAUCGUCAACCAAUGCAACAAAACUUUAUGUAGAUCUACCUAUUCCUGAAACUAAGGAUGCACAUGAUAGGUGAGAAAAAUUAGAUAUUGUUUUUCUAUUUUAAUCUAUGUAGCAUGCACUCUAACAUGAUACAUUCUUUCAUAUGAUAAAAAAAUGUUAGUUCAAUUGAAAAUAUUGUCAAAGAGAUUCAUAUUGAGGACCAUCUAAAAGGGACAUUGGAAGACCAAAUGCAGUACAAUAGAAGAACUUUAGAAGAAUUAAAUUUCAUAUUAUUUGAAACAUCAAAUCAGGUAUGGAUUAGUAUGUUCAUUGUACACUAUACUAUUUAAAGACUUACAUACAUAAUGAUGGUAUUGUUCCUACUUUCAGGAUGAGGUAUUUACUAUUGAAGCAACAAUAAAUGAAAUUAAUGCAACAUAUGGUUGGUUGUCACACCCGAUUUUAAGGACAAAAUUGAGUGCAUUAAAUACAUGUGCACCAGGAUCAAGUUACACACAUCCUAUGAGUACCGUCCUUCUUUGGCACAAAGAUAACCGGUGCUCCCCAUGGUGAUGAACUAGGCCGAAUAAACUAUUUUGCUGAUAAUUCCUCUAGUUGUUGUUUCAAUUCUUUUAAUUGUUCAACCAACAUUCUAUAAGGACGUUUGGAGAUAGGUGCAGUACCAGGUAAAAGAUCAAUAGCAAAUUCAAUGUCGCGGUCAGGUGGCAUACCUGGUAAAUCGUCGGGGAACACAUCCGGAUAGUCACACACCACUUUGAUAUCUUCCAAGGAUUUUCCAGCCAACUGAUUAACUGCACAAUCUGCUGCUGAGGGUAGAGUAGCUACAAACUCCACUUUCUCUCCAUCAGGACCUGUUAGCAGAACUGUCCUCUUGGCACACUGAAUCGUUGCAUCAAAAGCGGCUAACCACCUCAUCCCCAGAAUUACAUCGAUUCCACUGGACUCAAGGACGAUAAGAUCAGCCGGAAACUCUAUACCCAUUAUUCUCAGUUUAACUUGUGGACAGAUGUAUUGAGCCUUCAUUGACCCCCCAGGUGAACUCACUAGCAUAUGACGCCUCAUGGUAUGCAUGGGUAAAUUAUGCUUUGCUACAUAAUGACUAGUGACAAAAGAAUGCGAUGCUCCAGAGUCAAAUAAAACUGAUGCGGGGGCAGAGUUGACAAAGAACAUACCAAGCACUACAUCUGGAGCCUCCUUAGCAGUCUCGGCUUCCAUGUGGUUCACCUUGCCACAAACAAAGCUUUGCUGCCCCUGAUUGCCUUGUGGGGUCUGGUUCCCAUUCCUCGGUUGCUGCAUCUGAUUCUGCCGAGGAGCACUGCUGUUCUGCACGGGGGUAGCUGGCCCACCUCUCUUAGGACAAGAGCUGGCAUAGUGACCAACCUCGCCACACUUGAAGCAGGUAGGACCCACUGGAGCAUUGGGCCUUGUUGGAGUGCCAGUAGGGGUCAUCUGGCGGUUCUGCGUAAAGCUUGGGCGCGGAGUCUGCAUAGUCUGCAUCCCUGGAUGCUGGAACUGAGGGCUAGGGCGCUGGAAUGACUGCUGAGCAGGGCGCGGAAAUGAGUGCUGCCAAAAAUUCCCACUCGGGCCCCCUGCGCGGAACGGCGUCCCUUGCUGUGGAGCAAAGCGAGGGCGGGUGUUGCUUCCUGAAGACUACUGGGAAUUGAAUUUCCUCUUCAUCUCCCCGAGCUCGUUCCUCUUGUGUUCCAGGCCAAUUGCCUUGUCUAGCAUCUUCUGGAAACUGGGGAAGGUGUGCGACAUAAGCUGAUAUUGGAGUGGUCCAAUCAACCCAUCCAAGAAUAGCUCCUGCUUCUGCUCAUCAUCAGCAACAUCUUCGGGAGCAUAUCGGGACAACUGGACAAACUUGUCCCUGUACUCUGCCACUGUCAUGUUCCCCUGCUUGAGAGCAAGGAACUCCUUCUUCUUAAGCUUCAUCAAUCCGGAAGGAAUAUGAUGACUUCUGAAGCUAGUCCUGAAUUCAUCCCAGGUGAUGCCAUUAGCAUUGGCAUGGGUGGUGGUGUAAGCAUCCCACCAAUCAGCAGCUGGCCCUUCCAGGCGUCCUGAAGCAUACAGGACCUUCUCCCUGUCAGUACAUUGGGCGAUAUCCAGCAUCUUCUCCACUGUUUUCAGCCAAUCAUCAGCAUCUAAUGGAUCCGGAGAAUGUGAAAACGUCGGGGGCUUGUGGCUCAUGAACUCCCUAUGCCUGUCCCUUGGCGGCGGCUGCUGCUGGUUGUUGUUGUUGUUAUUGUUCAGCUGAGCUUGUAAAGCUGCCACGGUGUUGGUCAGUCCGGCGAGAAGCUGAGUCUGAGCUGCUAGAAACUGCUCCAUCCCUGCAGGUGCUUGUUGGUUCUGUUGCGGAGCGGUGUUGGGAUUGCUGCUGUUGUCCCUGUGGCGUGGCACUGUGGGACGGUCAACUCCUGAUCCGGACCUGGUGUUUACCAUCUGAGCGUUAGAGACAAUGGAUUUAGAUAGAUGUGUGAAAGAAUAACUGAGAAAGAUAAAGCGACCAGAUGUAAAAGUAACACAGAUUCUGUUAGCUCCAUUUAAUUAGGUGUGGUCGUCAGAAGAAGUGUCCAUAAAUUCUGAACAAUUACCAAGUCGUAACUUAUUAAAUUUGUAAACCAACCCAACUGGAAUCAUCUCAAUCGGACUUCUGGAUCUCGAGUUACAAAAUUAACAAGCUGACAGUGUCGGUCGAUAGGUUCAGAUUCUGAGUGCUUUACUAAUUCGCAUACACCUCCCAGACAGAUACACCAAAAAUUCUGAAAAAUUUACAGAUAGUACUCCACGAAAUUCUGAAACUAACCCCACUGGUUUCAUGUCAUUUGGACUUCUGUAGCUAGAGAUAUAAAUAAAAAAGUACUGGCGUGUCAGUUAAUGUCGAGAACAGAAUUGAAUGUCGCUUAGCUUGCGUGAUGGAUAGAUUUAGACAGAUGGUAGAUCAUGAUUAAGGAAGAUUAAAUACUGAUUUAGAACAGAAAUAAAACCCAACUAAGCACUUUAUUUAUUAAGACCAGUAUCGUGUGGCAAUUGCCCCACAUACCGCACUCAUUACAAAAUCCAACUCAAACAUGUAGCACAAAACCAAUCAUCUAAGCACACUUUAACUAACACACUCGAACGACGUCUAACGAUUACAAGAAUUUAAACUAAAACACUCCUAAUUUCCUAGAGGUCUUCUGCGGCGGUGCCGGGCGAGUCGUAGCGGGGACGCUUAGGCGACGGCGACGAAGCGGGAUGAACAGCAAACUCCUGCGGCGGCGGUGCUCCCGUCGCGGCAGCCAUAUUCGCAUCCCUCUCCCACCGGAGUUCCUGAACCUCCUGUUGAAGCUCCUGGAUGUGGUUGUUUGCUUCAUUCAAUGCGGUGAGAGCUGCCGACGUGUACUUGCGGAGGAAGUCUGUAGCCAUGUCAACCCCAUCGUUAGUAGCGAUGAAGGUUCUUGCUUCCCCACUAGCUCGGUAAGGAAGGAACCGAUGGUAAGUGUGCUGCAAUCGCGGCCGUUCCUUGUGGGAGACGACCUCAAGUGCCCUCCUGGCGGCCUCGGCAAUGCCGGAUUCCAUGGUCCUCCUUAUGGUCACAUCAUGGUGAAAAGCCUUCACCUCCCAUCCUCCCUCGUGCUCCUCACGAAGGACAACCUUCACCUCCCAAAAAGUGGGAUAGCGAGGGUGGGUGAACCGGGAGCACUUGUAGAGUGGCCUCAUGCCGUACCCCAAGCGGUGACAAGUCCACCUGAGUAUGUCGGCCAUGUGCACUCCUUGGCCAUAAUCUUCCUUCACCCAUUUGAUCCAUGUCUCGGGCUCGGGAUCUGCUUCGGGCUCAUCAUCCGUCAAGUCGACGACCGGUACGGGCGUCGGGGCUGGUGCAGGAGCGGGCGCCGGUGCUGGCGACGGUGCUGGUGACGGCGUGGUCUCCUGCUCCACGGUCACGGCGUCCCCGUCAGAGUCAUCCCCCGGAUGCUGGAAGAUCUCUUCCUCUUCUUCCUCGUCCCAAGGCUCCAUGGGGGCGUACGACGGCGCGAUGCCAUGACGCGGCGGACGGGUGCUCUUGCGUGCGGUCAACCGGGUGCGAGCCAUCUAACAGAAAGAAAGAAGAAAAUUUUAGAAUAAAAUUUUGAACAAAGCUAGAUAAUAAAAUAGCAAUAAGGAUGAGACAAAUCAAGUUUAAGAAUAAUUAAGUAGAUUUAAAUUAAGAAAGGUAGGAAUGGCUACUAGAUUAUUAUAAUCCUUAAAUACGACCAUUUUCUAACUAGGCUAACGUCCUACAGUCAACACGGCUCUGGUACCACUUUUGUCACACCCGAUUUUAAGGACAAAAUCGAGUGCAUUAAAUACAUGUGCGCCAGGAUCAAGUUACACACAUGUACGACAAUAGUGAAUAGUAAAGCCAGUGCUAAAUCGAAUAAAGAGAGUAUUAACCAUUAUUACAUGACCGAAUGUCUCAAAUAAACCACAAAGUCUAAUUAUUACGCAGCGGAACUCCAAAGAUGACGACGACUCCAUAGGCAGCUGACUGAAGAAACGUACGCCUAGAACUCCUCGAAGUCGUGGAAGUACUCCUCUUCCCAAUUAACUUGGUCUGAACAGCGGUUUUGCAAGGGUGAGUACACUUAUGGUUGGUACUCAACAAGUCGUGGGAAGUAGUGUAGUGUAAGGCUAAUUCAAGGUAUGGCUAAGGCGUAAAUAGCAUUCGCUUUUAAUUAAGUUGGUCAAAUUUUAUUAGCAUUUACUAAGUAUAAGUUCAUACCACCCGAAAUUAAACAUGAACAUAAAGUAAACCACAUGUGCAUGAAAUGAUAACAAAUUAAAUCCAUCUUCCGAUAAUAUUAUCAUGUGAGGGUCCAGGCCGCUCUUAACCGUGAGCACGGCUGAUUGAUCAGUUUAACACUCUGCAGAGGUGGCACAUCUUUACCCACAAGUCGCGUAAAAGUUCAAAAGAACUUUGGACCCAACCAUGCGGUGUUUGCAAGGCACCAUACCACACUUCCGAGGUGUGAUUGCAUAGGGACGCUACGAGGCCUUUACAAAGAUUCAUUAAUCAGUGGUAACCCGCUAAGGUUUCGGUGUCUGGCGUGCACCACCCAUCCCAGGUAAAAUGCAACGACUCAGUCCCCCCCCUUGAAUCAUCACGAGUAAGGUCACCCCAGACUAAGGUUUCUAAUUAAUCAGCCAAGACCAGAGCUAUUUAGUCUUGUGGUAGCACUGUUUUCCUGGGUGGUCGCUCCAUGUUCUGAUUAACAAAUAAUGAUCUUGUCUUAAUGAAAGGUAUAACAGAAAUAAGGCAAGAUUAAGCAUUGUUUUUAGUUAAACCACCAUGUACCAAGUAAGCACUAAGCAUGAGCUACCCAACAUAAAGUAAACCGGUUGGUCAAGGCAAAGGUAAAACAAUCUAGGCCAACCUUAAUUGGGACCCAUCAAUUUAAUCUUAAUAUGUGCACAGCAUAAAUGUUGAGUACGAGAAAGUAAAGGUGUAUAGGACAAAAAGGUAGUGAUCAAGGACACGACUUGCCUUCUUGGCCUUGCUCCUGCUGUUCGUACUCCUCGAAGGCUUGAUCGGCAACUCCCUCGAACUGCGGGGCGUCUACACGCAUCACACGAGCACAUACAAGCAAACAUGGGCAAAAGUAAGAAAACAGUAUACCAAACAUAGUCAAACAGAGAAAACAAGCUUGAAAAGAUGAUCUACGCUUUAAAACGAACACGCGGAUAUAAAGAACGCGAAAAACGGAGUUAAGAUGCAAAAGAUAUGAUUAAAACAAAAUCCAGGGACUUUUCUGUAAGAAAAACAAAACUUUUAGGGCCUAUCCGCGAAAACCGAGGGCUUAUACGUAAUUAUGCGUAUAAACCGAGGGUCUGAUGCGUAAAAACAUCAAACCCGGACGGCGGGUUGAUUUCUGGAAAGGUCAAGGGUUAAACCGAAAAAUGCGAGGGCAGAUCUGUAAAUACUUUCAACGCGAUCUGGACCGCGGGUUGAUUUGCGAAAAAGGCGGGGGCUAAAGUGCAAAAACUGCACGGCGCGGCUCGGUUGACCGGUACGCGAUCUUGAUUGACUCGCGUCCGGCCGUCGGAUUAAGAUCCGACGGUCGCGGUGAUCCGCGACAUCGCGGCGGCGGCGGCGAGCGGCGGCGAGCGGCGGCAAGCGGCGGCGGGUCGCCGGAGUUAGGCAAAAUAGCGCCACGAGGCACGGUUUAACGCGCGGGUUGCACCAAAAAAGAGAGGGGAACACGUCGAUCCCGUUUUGGGGGUUCUUGUCGACGGGGGCUCACCGGCGACGGCGAACGGCGGCGAGGAAGAGGCGGCGGCGCUAGGAGCUCGGGCGGCUAGGGUUUCGGGGAGCUGCGGCGCUGGUUUUGGGCGGAGGAGACUGGGAGGAGGCGGCGGCUUUUAUAGGGCUUGGAGAUAGAGCCGGCGCGGGUUCAAAUCCCCCGGAGGAGUCGGAGCGGAUGGAGUCCGGGGCGGAGACGGCGCGCGGCGGUUGCGGAGUUCUGACCGGAUUCGGCCGGAGGUGGGAGACGAUGGGUGGGGUCCACCCGUCAGUGGCGGAGGGGAGCGGUAGACGGGCCGGCGCGACCGUGGGCUGGCGCGCGCUCGUGGGCUGCGGGGAGCGGGAGAGAAGCGGCGAGCGGGCGCUGGCGGAGCAGGCCGAGCGGAGGUAGAGCUGGGCCGCGGAGAAAAAGGAGGAGGCCGGCGGGCUGCUUCGCAGGCCGGUAAGGAUGAGGCGGCCGGGCCGAAGAAGAAAAAGAAAAGGAGGGACAAGGAGCUUUCGGCCGAGGGAAAAGAAGAAGAAAAAGAAAAGGAAGAAGAAAAGGGAAAAGGUUUUGGAAUUUGAAUUUAAAUCUGAAAUUCAAAAUUUGAUUCAAACUCAAGCAACCAAAAAUUAUGCUCCAGCAUGAAUGCACAAAUAAUUCCUAUGAUGAAUUAAUUGAAUUAAAGAAAAUGAAUUUAAAUGCCUAGAAAUUAAAUAACACCCUAAUUUGAGCAAAUUUUAAUGAAUUUGAAUUAUUGAAAUUUUGGGUGUUACAUUGGUACUACAUCUCAUGUAGUAGAGGCGAUUGUAAGAAGCAACUUGAAAAGAAGUUUGAUCACUACUAUUGCAAUAAAUGUGACAAGAGAGCCGAACCUAAAGCCCAGUAAAUUAUUUAGUAGUUUACAAUCUUAUUAUAAUACUUCUAUUUCUAAUAGGAGAAUAAUAUUUUCAGAUUCAAAUUAAGCUUCAAAUAAGUGAUCCAACAACAAGUGCAACUUGUGUACUUUUGACAAGGAAGCAGAAAUGAUAAUUAAUGAAUGAGCAGAUUCGAUGAUCACCUCAGUUGAUCAUGAUAAUAAGUAGCUACCAAAAUCAAUUCAGGAAAUAUGUGAAGAAACAUUGAUUUCUCAAUUCAGAUUGACCGAGUACAACUUGACAAGUUUUAGACCUGAUUAUACUGUUUCAAAGAUAUUUUUUCCAAAAGAAAAGGGCAGUUCAAGAAUUGGUAUGGAAAGUGUAAAAAAGGUAACACUUUAUUAUUAAUUUUUUAUUGCACUUUUUUCUUUUGAAUCCGUAAUACUUAAUAAUUUUACUAUAUCAAUGAAACAAAUUCUAACCUAAAUUUAUUUUCUUUUUUAUUAUUUGUAGGAAGUAGAAGACAACUCAGACAAAUGCUACACGAUAACUACCGAGAAUGAAGAGGUAGACACUGAUGACUCUUUUACCGAGAAAGUAACAUUCGUAGAAGAAGCCAUAAGGACUGGGGAAAGAUUGGCUAGAAAAGUAUACUCACUUCCAUGUCAGUGUUCAUUCUAUUUACAAUACAUGCAAAAAAAAUAUUAUUCAUGCAAAAUUGCAGGUCUACUAAGCAUUAAAGGAAUAGCGGAUAGUGCAAUAUGUAAUCUGAGCAGCAUGCAUUACAAAGUGCUCUACUGCAAUUAAAUUAAAAAACAUGAUAUAUGUUGAAUUCUUAGACUUUAUUAUUAUACUUUUCUACGUGACAAUUCACAAUUUUUUAGAAAAAAGAAGAUCCCAGAAGAAGUGACCAUGAAAAAAGGUCUAUGACCAGCAAUAAGAAAAAAUGCAAGCAUAGAAACAAAUCCGUAGAAAACAUAGAAAAUAAGGUACUCCAUAAACAAAAGUAUUCUCUUAUAUUUUUAUUAAAUAUUUUUUUAACACUUGACAAGUUCUUUUUUAGGAUCAAUAUAUCAGCAAUUCAGAUGUCAUUGGAGAUGAAACCUUAGUUCAUCCAAAAGGUCAAAAAAAAACAUCUGAAGAAAGGUGUUUGGCUGAAAAGGAAAAGCAAAAAAGUGGUAAUGCAGACAAACACAUGCAGAAAAAUAUAAAAACAUGUCAUAGGGAGGCAGACCAAUCUUGCAAGGAGGUAUAGACGAAACGUGAUACACGACCUGCCUACCUUGUCGUGGAUACCCCAAGAAGAUGUCAUAGAGGUGCAGACCAAGCUAGCAAGGAGGUCGAAACGUGAUACACGGCCUGCCUACCUUGCCGUGGAUAUUAGCCCUGAGAUCAUUCUACUGUUCAAGGAAUAACACUCAAUGCUGCUGCUGCUGCUGACCUGGCUCCAUAAAGUUAUACUCCUCUAGGUGCUUGCACUAACUUUAUCUGAAGUAUUAUUCUCUCUGCACUGUAUAUAUGGUUAUGGAGUUUGCUGGAGUAUCCGGGGCGAAGAACCUACAUAAUACGUCUUGGAACUAAUUGACAUUGAUUCACAGACAAACUCUACAAGGUGCUGUUCUUGCCAUUUUAGAGCAUCCAAAGGACUAUAAAUAACAUAGUUUACCAUAUACCAUAUACCAUAUACCAUAAUAUGUUAGCUAAAAUAAGAGCAUACACAUGUUGCAGGAGUCCAAAAGCACCGGUUGAGGACCAGGUACAUUGAAUUACUAGAAAAAGACAGGGGACAAGGUUUAGGUAACCACAUGAAACAUUUGAAUUUAUUGUACUAUGAACACUUAGUUACCAUGCCAGGAGCACAUAGUUAACACUAACAUUUAGCCACUUUAGAUCAUCCCGAAUCACCAAUGACCCUCAAUAGUGACAAAUUUUGGUUUAAAUGCCAUCACCAAUGAUCCUCAAUAGUGACGUAUUUAGGUUUAAAUCCCGUCACUAAUAACCCUCAAUAGUGACCUGUUUUGGUUUAAAUCUCAUUACCACUGAUCCUCAAUAGUGAUGUGUUUUAGCAAAACAUGUUAUCAAUGACUUGUCAUUGGUGACGUGUUAAAACGCGUUAUCUCAAUGGCAAAUCAUUGGUGACGUGUUAUCUCAAUGUUAUCAAUGUUCUAUUCUUUUCAACAAUACCAGCUCGUUCCUCCGUUUUUAUUCCACCAAUACAAGCACCACCUUGUAACAUUUCCUAUGUUUUUUUUCCUUUUGUCUGUUUUCUCACUACAUGCGUUGCUCUUUCAUGCAUUUUUUUCCAUUCCUGUAUUCCAAAUAGGUCUACAUGAACACAAAAUGAACUAGGGGACAGAAAAAGCCAGUGAAGCCAAUUUUGAGCUUCACCAGCUACUUGCUACAUAAAGUGUGCUAUAGUGACGUGUUUUAGCAAAACAUGUUAUCAAUGACUUGUCAUUGGUGACGUGUUAAAACGCGUUAUCUCACUGGCAAAUCAUUGGUGACGUGUUUUAAAAAAACAUGUCACCGUGAGAGUCAUUGGUGAAGGGUAAUUAAAAUGCGUCACUAAUGUUGUAGCAUUAGUUAUGAUAAUUUAGUAACGCAAAAAUCUACCAUCAGUAUUGAGCUUUAGAGCCAUCGCUAAUGUGGGUUUCUUACAUAGUGAUGCAAGCUCUACAAGGUGCUGUUGCUGCCAUUUUAAAGCAUCCCAUGACUACAUGUUAAUAACAUAGUUUACCAUAUAUCAUAAAAAUAUUAGUUACAAUAAGCACAUACGCAUGUGGAAGAGUCCGAAUGCACCGGUUGAGGACUAAACACAUUGAAUUACUAGAACCAAAUGUAUGUUUAGAACAAAGACAGGGGUCAAGGUUUGGGUAACCGCAUUAAAAACAUUGGAUUUUACUGUACAUGAACACUUAGUUACCAUUACCAUGCCUUGAGCACCUAGUUACAACAAACAUUAAUUUAGCCACUUUAGAGCUUCCAGAAUCGCUAUAAAUAAUAUACCUACGCCGUACCAUGAAAACAUCAAGAAGAGAGACGGAUACAUGGACCACCAUCAAGCGAGUAGUGACAGCACGCACAAGAAUACCCGGAACCUGUUAGCUUGUCUGUAGUGAUCUGUUUUCUUCCCCAUAAAAUCCAUGAGUAUUGCCACAAAUAAUGAAAGAGGCUGACCAAGCUAGCAAGGAGGUAGAGCAAACGUGAUACACGGCCUGCCAAGAUUGCCCUGGAUACGCCAAUAAGAGCGACAGAUACAUGGAUCACACCAAUAUGGUGAAACGUAUAUUCAUCACACAAGCAAAGCUGGUCAGUUUAUCCAUGGUCAAAUUGUGGUCUUUGUUUUCACUUGAGAGCUAAUUGAGGCACUAUAAUAUGGGCAGGCCUAUCUUCAACAGACAUGACAGCUACAGGGAACUUGACAUAAUUUGCUGGGCCGCCUGUGCACAAUUAUUUGUUUUAUUGUCCUUGCAUAGAAUGCUAAAAUACUCUUUACAAAAUGUUGGAUCUAAUAUUUGAAAUAUAGAGUAGUAAUCAUAUAUUGAUCAACAACUUGAAAUUAUCUGUACAUUCUCGGUGAAGCUGUUGAACUAAUUUUUGCAAAUUAUUAAUUCAUCUCAUUACGUAAAGAAAAAAGUAAGUGGAUAAGAUAUUUCGUGGACCACAUCACUGCAAACAUGUCAUGGAGAGACAGACCAAGGAGGCAGGACGUGAUACACGACUUACCCUAGGUUGCCGUGGAACCGCCAAGAAGAGAUACAGAUACAUGGACCACACCAUCUUGGGAGUAGUGACAGCAUAUAUGCAGAAGAAUACCCCGUGCCUAUUUGCAUGCAUGUCUCAAGUGAUCUGUUUUCUUCAGAAAAUACAUGAGCAUUGCCAGAAAGAAUGGCAAGAGACAAACAUGUCAUAGAGACUUGCAUGUCUUGCCUUGGAUACGCCAAGAAGAGGGACACAUACAUGGAUAACACAAAUCUAGUGACACGUAUAUUCAUCACAAAGGCAAAUCUGAUAAUUUUAUCCAUGGAGCAGACCAAGGAGAAAUUGAUGACGGACAUGUGAUCUCUGUAUUCAGUUGAAAGCUAAUUGAGCUACACUAAUAUGAGCAGGACUAUAUUCAAGAGACUUGUUGAGAGCUACAGGGAACUUGUAAUAAUUUGCUGGGCGGCCUGCGCACAAUGAUUUGUUAUACAUAGUUGAAAUAUUUCAAGAAUUUAUCAACCUCAUACUCUGAAACCCUUGGUGCAAUGUACUCUGCUUUCCGAGGUAGACUGUUCACGUAAAAUGAGGUCAUGCGUAAGACGGAAUCGGAUUGGAUUCACAGGGAAUCAGAUUUGGAUAGCACCUUUUAGCAGGUUUUUAGUCAAAUGCAAAUUCGGAUCCACAUGUGGUUGAAUGCGAGUUCAAAAUUCUACUUGGAUAUCCAUUUAAUUUAGGUGAUAGCAAUUAGCACAAAAUGUUGGAUGAACAAAAUCAUAGUUAGACAUACAAUUACAUGUAUGGUUAAAGUAUAAUACAAUACACCAAGAUUAUUCCUUGAAAAUAUUUCUUAAAAAUAUUAUAAUAAAUGAAUAAAUAUAAUUGUGGCCACCAACAAAUAGUCGGUGGUCGCUAAGUUGGAGCCAUUUCUGGUUACUAAUGCGGCCUUCUCCUCGACCAGCGACGACAGCUGAGCUUGUUCCUUCUGACACUAAAUCAUCAGAGUCUUCCCUCCACUACUAUAGAAUGCACCUUUAGCACCAAUUGGGAAAUCCCCUUCAGUAUUGGAUGCUGCAACCAGUGCUAUAUAUCAAAAUGGAGACUAAAAGCCUCGGUCUUGGGUACCGGUUGCAUAACGCAUUACUAAAGGAGGCAAAAGAGAAAUGUAACAAAAAAAAUAUUUUGAAUUCCAAGAAUGUUUCACUAUUCAAGAUGACUAGCUGAGAGUCAACAGACAAGAUACUAGGAAUGUGGGUGCUUGAAUGCAUUUGUACAGAGGUCAUACUAUUUACAAACUCUUCUAUGUUUCCAUAUGACUACCUACUUCAAUGUCACGCGAGCCAUUCAGCUGGACACAUGGCACACUAGCUUGCAUGUCGAAUCCAUGAUUAAUUAUUUGCACUUGUGAUCUCUUACCAGUAUUUGUCCAGACUAGAAACGUGCAACACAUUUUUAGGAUAUGGACACGCAUAUAUUUGGACUAGUAUACAGGUCACCUUUGGAUGCGUACAAGGAUGACCGGGAGGGACUAAUGGAUACAAGGAAGGGACCAUCAGGAUUAAUAUUGACAUAUGCCACAUGACAAUCUUCAUUGUCAUGCAAUCCCUAUCAACAAUCAUGGAAUCCCUAGUGUACUAAUCCCUGGAGGGUUGUGUGGAAAUUUAUUUUACCUUGCGGUGAAAAUCUCAUGAGCAGUCAUUAGUUAAGCUGACUAGCUGAGAUAUAAUAGACAAGCUAGUAAGAUUGGGAGCAUCAAUGCAUCCAUACAGGGUCACAAUAUCCUUUCCAUUCACUUUUAUAUAUAACCCUACGAAUACAAGUCCAACGAAAUGCGGGCCUUUCGAUCAAGAUAAAUUAAAUGGCCCACUUGUAUUUCUAAUCCAGGAUUAACUAUGCCCUCUGUUCAUCUCUUGCAAGCACGUGCAACACAUUUUCACGAUAUGGACAUGCAUGGAGGUUAUUAUACUGUUUGGACAAACUCUGAUGUGCCAUGACCUAAAUGCUUAGGGCCUGUUUGGUUUGAGUUGCUUAUUAUAAGCAACUUAAAGUUGCUUAAAGUUGCUUAUUUGAAGUUGCUUAUUUUUAGUCUAAACUGUUUGGAUACCCUUGCUUAUGAGCAUUGAAUGAGUUGGACAUUGUCAAAUUUGCCCCAUGUGUUGCUACCCCUCCAAUUUGCCUCCCCACCCUUCUUCUUCCUGCACACGUCCGAUCCCGGGGGCCGACGGCGGGCAGGGAGCAGCAGCAGCUGGCCAGGGCGGCGGUGGGGCGGGAGCGGCGGCGCACACCAGCACGCGCUCGCACGCCAGGUGCUAGGGCGCGGCGAGGCAGUCGUCGUAGCCCACCGGGAGCGGGUGCUCGGGCGCGAGGCGGUACUCGACGGAGAUGCCGAGCGUCGGGCGCGCGGCGGCGAGCGCGUUGAGGAAGCGAUGGUAGUGCGGCGACGUCGCGGACUCCGCCACGAAGCCGCCGCCGUGGACGUACACCACCACGGGCAGCUUCGUCUUGCCGUCGGCGGCCGCGGCCGCGGCCUGGGGUGGCAGGUAGAGGCGGACGGAGCAGGAGCCGAGGUCGACGUCCCUGGAGUCGACGCCCGUGGCGGCGUCCAGGCUGGGCCCGACCGGCGGCGGCACGAGCGGGCGCUCGAUGCGGCCGCUCUUGUAAAUCCGACGGGUCUGUGCGGAGGCGGGCGGCGGGCGGGAGCGGCGGGUGGGAGCGGCGGCAGGUGGUGCGGAGGCCGGCGGCGGCGGGUGGCGCGGAGGAAGGGGAGCUGGUGAGUGGUGACAGGGGAGGGGGGGAGAGAGAGGGGGGGUAGGGUGCAUUGAAUGAGGGCAGGAGGUGUAAAGUGCACCUUUUAGUCCCCAUGAGCAACCAUAAGCAGCCCAAGAGUUGCUUAUUUGCUUAUAAUAAGCAACCUCAUAAGCAAGAGUGAUUGGUUUCAUAAGCAACUUAUUUGCUUAUUUUAAGUUGCUUAUGCAUAAGCAUGUGAAACCAAGCAGGUCCUUAACCUAUGGUUGUGGCACCACACAGUACAUAGUAUUUAAUAAUGCUAUUCGUUUGGUAUGUGCACAAGGGCACGCAUGAAAUGUCUGGCCCACGGUAAACAAGUACGGACGCUGCAAAUAAUCUACUCUGCUCGUCCAGUCCCUAGCCUAUAAAUAGAUGCCAUGCUAGCUCUUGUUGUGCUCACAAUUAAUCCUGACUACACACGAGCUUCUCUCCCUGGCCAAGACACAAUCAUAGUAUGAUGAAGAACAUGGCACUAGCCGGCAAUGGUAUGAAGAACUUAAUCCUCGCUGUUCUCUUACUGUGUCUAGUUAUAGGGCAGAUACAAGUGGAAGCUAAGAGCUGCUGCCCAUCCAUUACUGCAAGAAAUAUCUACAAUGCCUGCCGUAUCACGGGUACAUCCCGUCCAACGUGUGCAAAACUGUCAGGCUGCAAAAUUAUCAGCGGGGACAAAUGCAAGCCCCCUAACGACCACCUCACCCUUGACCCGGACACUGGUAAAUAAUAAAUUUAUCUCACUUGAUUUCUUCGUGUUUUGAGUCGUUAAUGUAUUUUCCAUCUGAUGAAACGUAUUGGUUUUGCAUUGAAGAGGAAGUUAAUGUGCUUAACUUCUGCAAGUUGGGGUGUGCGUCGUCUGUGUGCAACAACAUCAACGCUGGUAAGCACCUUUUGCUCAGACGGAGAAAACAAUAAUCAUUAAUUAGCGGCAGCUAGAAUCCUAUAAUCUAAUAUAUUUAUAUAUAUAUAUAAUUUUAUCAGCUCUGGGAAAUGAAGAGGCGAACGAUGCCGUUGAGAGUUGCGACCAAGCCUGCUCUAGCUUCUGCAACGUGCACGUUGGCGCUGCCACCGUGGUUGCUUAAGCAAAUGCAUCCAACUGGAUCGUCCUUGUGCUAAAUAAUUGGAUAUCGUAUCCACUUAAAGCUGCCUUGUGUAGUACGUUUUUGUUUGUGUCUCUCUUUAUAUUCCAAUAAGGUCGGUGAUCUUGAUGCCACACACUCAGACGUGUGUUCAUCUCCAGAUACUACUCCAUGCUACCUGCCCUUUGUGUUUUGUUCAAUAACUGGGUAUCAUAUCCCAGCCAGUGUGCCAUCUGUUUUGUGUUUAUUUCCUUCUAGUUUCAAAGGGGUUAUCAUGAUGUUACCUUCUUUCGAUAUGGUGCUUUGCAUGACUACUGUUGUAUGGUACCAUCUUGUUGGCCAAUAAAUACAUCUUAUCCUAUGACCCUUUGCUAUGACCCUUUGCAAAUAAGUACAAGAUUGUUAAAUACUCGGUAUAAAUUGACUACUGCUGUGAGUUCCCUUUCAGCUUAUCGUAGGCAUACAUUAUUGCUAGCACGGUGAAGACAACCAACACGAAUGGUCAAGUAAACGUACCGGUACUUUUGUAUACCAACACCCUUGCUUAAAUGUACCGGUGUUACUCCCCACUAGCACAUAUAUUCUUAUAUGCUAGCCGGCUUGAAAAUUAACCGAUUAAAAUAAUUAUUUCAAGACAGAAAUAACUUAUCGGCUUCUCGAAGCAUGUGUAAUGUGAAUUCAAGGACUUGAUGGAAGUUGAAUCGCUUAAUCUAGAUUGCUUUCAGGAUUUUGGGUAACUAAAUUUAACAUUUGCACAUACAAAUGUUAAUGUACAAAUAUUAAAUAUAGUUACCCAAGCAGAAUAUGAAGAUACUCUAUAGUAUAUAUAUACUAUAUAAAUCUAGUUAACAUUUAGUCUAAAUGUUAAAUCUAGUUACCUAAAAUCCUGAAAGCAAAAUGUAUAAAUAUAUAUCUUUUAAGGAAUCCCAAAGCAAGAGUUCAGUGGCAUUCUAUAGUCCCAUGCUGCUAGUUUGAGUUGGUCGAAGCCAACUUAAAUAGGAGAGCUCUCUCACUUCUCUAAAUACGUAACUGAAGGAGAGAAGGGGGCUUGGUUACACAACGCACGCACGCACGCAUAUUUGCGUUCUUUUCGCGUAACCAACCGCGUGACUUGAAACUUGCGACGUAGCGUGCUGCCAAGUCAAGUUGAUAUAACCUUUUUGCCGUAGGCGUGUAAUCUUUUGACAACGGUCAUUGGAGGUGAUAAGCACGCAGUCAAUACCUUAAUCCUGAGUUAAUAGGGCGGUUACUACUGCCAAUUAGUGGGGCAAUUUUGUAGGGGAAACGGUUAGCAGAGGGCUACCAUCUUCUCUAUAAGAAGUUCUGGAGACGUCCAGGAACACACAUGUACAUGUGAGAGACCCACGAAUUCCUUCCCAUCUCCCUUUUCCAUCUGGUGAAGUGUGCUAUGGUACUGAGCUGCUGGAUCUCGCCGGCUCUUCUCCUUGGCGUGCACCGAGGAGGAGGGUGAGCGGUAUCUCCGAGCUAUUGCCGUCAGGAAGCCUGCACGAGGGACAACAAUAAAGUUUUUGGGUAGCGCAACUACGCAACCGCUCGAUUCGAUCGACUAUGUUCUGCGCUGCCUCAUCUUCGAUCUGCACUGCAACACGUAACCCUGCAGCAAGUCUACACAAGGACGGAGCACUAAUCUGUAAGUCCUAGAUUGGUUUCUUACAGAGUUGUAGGUUACACAAGAUCUAGAAUUGUUACAUACUUAUUAUUAUGGGUUACAUGAUGUUUUGUACGGUUACGUCUAUUUUGCAUAUGCUAUUUUUACAUACCGUUUACAUGCAUAUGUAAUGGUUACGCCUAGCUAUUUGAAUCUAGAAUUGGGUUACAUAGCAGUAGCAAUGACUUACGUAAUAUGCCUCAUGUUUAUAUCUGGUAGAAUUUAACACGUAUCUCCAACAUAUUUUGAGGCAGUAUAAAUUUCAAUUCCUUUUGCUGCUCUGUUAAAUCCCGUCUUUCGUGUGGCCCAACACUCUAGUAUGCAUGUAGCACCAAGCUUGUUUGAGCCGCUUUGUGCUCUGAUUUUGCUGUCUGUAUCAGGUUGGACUGUUUCUUUGUCUUGCGAUGUAUAGCUUCAUAUCUUCUAGAGGUUAGACAGCAAAACCCGCGUUCUCUUAAGGCAACAACUCGAAGAAUCUGCAGCGCUCCUGAUAUAUCACUGCUGCAGAAACAAUCUUUAGUACUGAUUUCCAACCCCCUUUAGUAUCGGUUUGGCAAUCAGUACCACUACGUCGGUACUAAAGGGAGUUCUCUAGAAUCGGGUCAAAUAACUGGUACUAAAAGUGCUCCUCUACUACCAGUUGGUAACACCAAUAGGUAGUAACUUUUUUUGCACCCAAAAAAUUAAAGAAAAACAGCCGGGAGGCUCGCGCACACACGCAUCAUGAGUAAUAUGCGCGUGCAUGGUUUGUGGGAUUCCAACCCACGACCAAGCUAUAAGCACGUAGUUACAAAAAAAUUAAACACUUAGACAUUUUAGAGCAUCCCAAAUAACUACAAAUUCUUUAGUUUACCAUAUACCAUAAAAUAUUAGUUAAAAUAAGAGCAUACGCACGUCGGAAGAGUCCCAAUGCACCGGUUGAGGAUCAGACCAGGCACUUUGAAUGCACAUGCCAUAAGAUAAUUCUGCAGGACGAUGAUUGCAAUAAUGGACCAUCGAGAAGAUAGGGGCGAUGGGGUUGCCUCAUCAAUUAUGACUUGGCGCAACAAGACCAGCAAAGUCUUUAUCGACAGGGGUGGAUCAAGGGGUGGGGCGGGUAGAGCUCCAAUCUUCCUACCGCCGCUCGAACAAUGGAGCCCCCCUUAGCCCCUCCAUAAAUUUUUAGGUAGAAGAAAAAAGAAGAGAAGGGAAGGAAGGGGAAGAAUAGGGAGCCCCUCCUAAGUAGGUCGCCAUCGUGCUUCCCAACGCAUGAUCGCCGCACCGCAUCCAUUCCUCUACAAGCCUCCAGCGUCUCUCCUGCCGCUACCUCUGAACCAUGUGCAGCUGCAGACCCAACUAGUGUCUUGUCACCCAUCUCAAUCCCAACAGAGCGGCGGCUCCUGCCAGCACAAAUCUCCCUCCGCCUGUUCUUCACGAUCGAUGGCCACCACAAGCAUAAACCUCGCCUUCGCAUCCACGCAAAAGGGUCGCCGGUGUGCCUUCUCGCAUCGCUUCUCAGCCUCCUUCACUUGCGGCUGGCCAAGAACCGUGCCACCACCUCGGGUGCGCGCCACCGCUCCAGGGCCGCUACCCCAUGCGUGCGGCCGCCGCCGGCCACCACGCGUGUGCAACCGUGUCGCACCGCUUCCCUGCUCUGUGCCACCACUGCUACUGCACCACCAGCUCCACCACCUUGGGCUGGUCGCCAGGGUGACUGAUUGGUGGAUUAUUACUACAAAUAAGUUCCUUAUUAUCUGCAACUACUAUUAACUCAGGGAUACAUGCGUCUUUUGCUUCUCCUGUUAAUAUGUCCUAAAAUAUCUAGAAUGCCUUAUAUUUCUGGACGGAGGAAGUAUUUGAAUAAAAUGAACCAAUUUUAAAAAAUGUGUUGUACACUACUACAGAAAGAACUAUCAGUGUCAAACCCAAAAAUGUCGUCACUGCCAGUUUUGGGCAUCGUUGGUGAAAGGUUGGCGGUGAUGGGUAUCCCCUUCAACAACGGCACUAGAGCUAACAGUGAUUGACAUUAGAAAACGAAAAAGGGGACCCACCUAGCCACCCCUGCAACCCGGCUGGCCGUGCCUCCCGUCAUCCCCACCACCUCGCCUCCCCCGUGACCCCCCGCCGGCGCCCUUGCGCCUAGCCCCCUCGCCUGCCUGGCCGGCCACCCUCGUCACGAGAGAGAGGGGUGCAUGUUGUAUAAUUGCGUGAAUUUUUAAUGUUUAAUUUCAUGUAAGUUUCAUAUAAUAAAUUGUACAAGUUUUAUUGUAUAUAUGAAUUCCAUAUAUAUAUAUUUAUAAUUUAAUGUAUGGUUUCAUGUGUAUAUUUCAAUAAUGUGUAUAUUUAGUAGAUAGCCGAUUUUCUUUUUCUACAAGACAAGGGUUGAUGUAUAAUUACGUGUAUAUGUUUAUUGUACGGGCAAUUAGGACAAGUUUUGUAUAAAUUUCUUUUAUUUCAUGGUUGUUGUAUGGUUUCAUGUAUAUACAUUUAUUGUACUACUUGAGACAAUUUUUAAUUUAAUGUUUCUAUGGUUACAUGUGUGUAUAACUAAUUGUAUUAUUAGUUAAGAUGGGAGCCAAAGAGGAUGAAAGGUAUAUAAUGGAGCAGAUUAUUGCUGGCGGUAGUGGCUCAAACGUUGCAAGAACCUACAUCAAGGGUGAGGGUAGCUAGGUGGACAUGUACCUCAACAUGUCCAGUGAUGGCAAUGACGAUGAGGAGCACGAGCAUGACGUUUAUGAUAGUGCGGAACAAGACAUUGCAGAAUUGGAAGGUUCUAAUGAGGUGUGCUUCAUGUUGAUGAUCUGGUUGGCUUUUUUUCUUUGGUCACACCUUAGUUACCAUAGAACUUCGUCUCGGGAGAAGAUUGGAGGUGCUAUGGUGAUUGGAAUUUUAUUGCCUCCAAAUAUGAUUUCCAUCGAAUCAUAUCCCUUGUAUUUAUCUUCUUUUUAUUUGUGAGAGCAUCUUCUUUAUGCUUGCAAAACAAUUCAAGUGCACAUACUACACCUAGGGUGAUGAUUAGGAGUAGAAACAAUUGCCAACAAACGAACACCACAUCCUAAGAUUCUUAACUUGUGGUAUAAUUAGUCUAGUAAAAAGAAAGAUAAAAACCUAAUGGGUGUACGUGAGUGCAAUGCGUAUAUGCAUAUGAGUGGAAGGCAUAUAAGCAAAGAUAAUAUUUACACAUAGAUCUAAGCACCAUGUUUACAACUAAGUUGCUGAAUUUCUCCAUAGCUAUAGAGAUUAAUGAACCAAGGUCAAAACACCAUGUCUAUCCCAAGAUCAGUAAUUCUUUAUAGCACAAGAAAAAGAAAGCGCAUUGCAAAGUUUAUAAACCAACCAAUGCAGCAUGAAAACAAGAUGAAUAGCUAGCAAGGUUUAUUAAACUGAAUGAUGACGGUCUGCAAGCAAGUUUGAACACCAUCUUUACACAAGAUUGCAAAUGGAAAAUUCCCAUAUGAAGAACUAACAUGGAUAUGAAAUCAUUCAUCAUAAAGCGUAAAGAACAACCAAGCCAACCAUAUGCAAAGCAUGAAUGGAAUGCAAUGAAGGUGCAAGAGAACAUUUUUGGAUGAACCCAUUAUGAUGAUGGCAAAAUGCGCCGUGCCCCCCAGCCCCCGCGGUGAGAUCCCGCCGCUCGCUGCCGCCAGACCCUAUUAGGCCUCCACCGGCAGGUCCACCCACGGUCCCGCGCGACGUGGCAGCCUCUUGGCUCUCGGCGCUCGCGGCACGCCAGUGCUGGCGCAGCCCCACCAGGCGACUACCCUCCCCCCAUAAGGCCUCGGCCCCUCCCCAGCGCCGCCCCCCAACACCAGGACUGCCUGCUGCCCCCCACCGUGAGGUAAUCGAAAUCGACUGCUCAAUCUCUCAAUCUGUUGAUAUGAUGCACACGGUUGCAAAAAUAGAUGUGUCAAAAUAGAUGUUUUGCCAAUUGCUAUAGAUGCAUACGGUUGACAUGAAGUCAAAAAUGACAUUUGGUUCCUUGUAGGCAGUCAAAAAUGAAGAAGUCAAAAAAUAUUGAUCUGAAAUCAAUGUGGGAAAGGGCUAUGAAGACACGCAGGUAGAUUCCCUUGUGAACUUUUUAUGUCGUUCGUCUAAAUAAUUUUUUGCAAUGGGCAUACCCUACUCUGAAAUCCUGGGUCCGCCACUGAUGAUGAUGGUCUAAAAAUAAACCAAGCCUAGAUUAAUUAGCCACAACUGAAAUUAAGCAAAGGUUAAUGUCAUUGACCCUAGCUCUAUCCUAGCUUUUACCAAAGUUCCGGCACAUAUAGUGGUUGGGCCCACUCUCUCUGCUUCCCUCUCUGCUGCAUGCACGCACACGAGCAACGGGAGGCCCGACGAAGCCCAGAAGGGUUCGGCCGAACCAGUAUGAGCGCCGCUCCCUCCCAGCCUUCGCGCAGAUGCUCCUCCAACGUUCCUUGACCCCUCCCUCAGCGUCCCGUUGGGUUUAACAUUGCAGGAGAGGAGUCCCUUUUUUAAAAUCUCAACCACCUCCUCUCCCCAUUCACUCCACUCUCAUCUCCAUCAAACUCACCAAGAUCCGCACCGGAAAUCCCUGCUUACCACCAUGGCUGGCAAAGCCCUCAUCCCUUUCACCAACUUGGGCUUGACCACUGAUCUCGAUGGGGAAAUCACUCUGGCAAAUAUGCGUGUAACACUGCCCCCUUUGCCGAGGGUUAAAGCCAAAACACUCAGCAAAGUGGAUAGUACCCCCCUUUUUACCCGUUUUGUCAUGUAUAACGGACCCCUCUCAAUUCACAAUAGACAUCAUCAUAGGCAUUUAUAAUAAACAAUCACAGGCAUAAUUCACAAUCACCAUUACAAGCAUUAUUCAUAAAUAUCACAGACAUAAUCCAAAGUAAGCAUGAAACAAGCCAUAAAUCCAAGUUCAAGUCACAACUAAGUUUCAUCCAAGUUCAAGUCACAAAUGCAAUGUCUAAAUCCAUGGAGGCCAAGGAGACCACUGCGACAAAUCUUGGUCUUCAUUAUUCGAAGCCGCCGAUUGAUUCUGCACAUAGGAUAGGACAUUCUGAGCUAACAUCUAAAGUUGUCAAAAUUAAAGUAUUCAAUCUUAAGCACAAUGUGUCAAAUGACUCACAGGAGUAGUUGUGGGUGGCUGAGGCGGAGGGAACAGCAUCGAUGGCGGUGGCAAAGAUUGACCCAUGCUCGAAGCAAAAUUCUGCAUGUACUGGAACAUCUGGUCCAUCCUCAUCCGAUUUUCUUCCUCCAUCCUCUGCCGCUCGGCCUCUAACCUCCGCUGAACCAUCUGCUCCAUCCUCGCCGCCAUCUCCUCUUGUUGCUUCCUUGCUGCUUCCACCUGGGCCUACAAUAUUUCAUUGCAAUGUUACAAUGCAAAGCUAAAGUAUAGCAACCAACGAACAAUGAAUGGAAGAGAAAGAACCUGGAGAGCCUCCAUCUGGAACUGUCCAAUGGUUGGUCGUAGCCGUAUCGCCGGGCUCGAGUCCGUGCUCCUUGCUUGGAUCUGGGAGAGAGUGGCAGUAGAGGCCGUGUUGAUUACGCCGUCGCCAAUCCAAUAUCGGCCAUGCUUCUUGCCUCCUCCCACCCUCAUCACGAUUUCUCCAUCAAUAUCCUCAGAGCUUGAAUCGAAGUCUGGCCCGUGAACCUCCCUUGCCAUCACUGUAUAUUCCUUUGCCGAGUGCCCGAGAUAAAGCACUCGGCAAAUAGAAAACACUCGGCAACUUUACUGUUUCCCGUAGUGUCGCUAUUUUUGCAGGUUCUCGACCAGGCCAGUUCUUUGGGCCAACCUAUCAUUCACGACUUAAACAUACGGUGGCUGUAGAAAUGUUCUAUUCUUUUCAACAAUACCAGCUGGUUCCUCCGUUUUUAUUCCACCAAUACAAGCACCACCUUGUAACAUUUCCUAUGUUUUUUUUUCCUUUCGUCUGUUUUCUACAUGCGUUGCUCUUUCAUGCAUUUUUUUCCAUUCCUGUAUUCCAAAUAGGUCUACAUGAACACAAAAUGAACUAGGGGACAGAAAAAGCCAGUGAAGCCAAUUUUGAGCUUCACCAGCUACUUGCUACAUAAAGUGUGCUAUAGUGACGUGUUUUAGCAAAACAUGUUAUCAAUGACUUGACAUUGGUGACGUGUUAAAACGCGUUAUCUCAAUGGCAAAUCAUUGGUGACGUGUUUUAAAAAAACAUGUCACCGUGAGAGUCAUUGGUGAAGGGUAAUUAUAAUGCGUCACUAAUGUUGUAGCAUUAGUUAUGAUAAUUUAGUAACGCAAAAAUCUACCAUCAGUAUUGAGCUUUAGAGCCAUCGCUAAUGUGGGUUUCUUACAUAGUGAUGCAAGCUCUACAAGGUGCUGUUGCUGCCAUUUUAAAGCAUCCCAUGACUACAUGUUAAUAACAUAGUUUACCAUAUAUCAUAAAAAUAUUAGUUACAAUAAGCACAUACGCAUGUGGAAGAGUCCGAAUGCACCGGUUGAGGACUAAACACAUUGAAUUACUAGAACCAAAUGUGUGUUUAGAACAAAGACAGGGGUCAAGGUUUGGGUAACCGCAUUAAAAACAUUGGAUUUUACUGUACAUGAACACUUAGUUACCAUUACCAUGCCUUGAGCACCUAGUUACAACAAACAUUAAUUUAGCCACUUUAGAGCUUCCAGAAUCGCUAUAAAUAAUAUACCUACGCCGUACCAUGAAAACAUCAAGAAGAGAGACGGAUACAUGGACCACCAUCAAGCGAGUAGUGACAGCACGCACAAGAAUACCCGGAACCUGUUAGCUUGUCUGUAGUGAUCUGUUUUCUUCCCCAUAAAAUCCAUGAGUAUUGCCACAAAUAAUGAAAGAGGCUGACCAAGCUAGCAAGGAGGUAGAGCAAACGUGAUACACGGCCUGCCAAGAUUGCCCUGGAUACGCCAAUAAGAGCGACAGAUACAUGGAUCACACCAAUAUGGUGAAACGUAUAUUCAUCACACAAGCAAAGCUGGUCAGUUUAUCCAUGGUCAAAUUGUGGUCUUUGUUUUCACUUGAGAGCUAAUUGAGGCACUAUAAUAUGGGCAGGCCUAUCUUCAACAGACAUGACAGCUACAGGGAACUUGACAUAAUUUGCUGGGCCGCCUGUGCACAAUUAUUUGUUUUAUUGUCCUUGCAUAGAAUGCUAAAAUACUCUUUACAAAAUGUUGGAUCUAAUAUUUGAAAUAUAGAGUAGUAAUCAUAUAUUGAUCAACAACUUGAAAUUAUCUGUACAUUCUCGGUGAAGCUGUUGAACUAAUUUUUGCAAAUUAUUAAUUCAUCUCAUUACGUAAAGAAAAAAGUAAGUGGAUAAGAUAUUUCGUGGACCACAUCACUGCAAACAUGUCAUGGAGAGACAGACCAAGGAGGCAGGACGUGAUACACGACUUACCCUAGGUUGCCGUGGAACCGCCAAGAAGAGAUACAGAUACAUGGACCACACCAUCUUGGGAGUAGUGACAGCAUAUAUGCAGAAGAAUACCCCGUGCCUAUUUGCAUGCAUGUCUCAAGUGAUCUGUUUUCUUCAGAAAAUACAUGAGCAUUGCCAGAAAGAAUGGCAAGAGACAAACAUGUCAUAGAGACUUGCAUGUCUUGCCUUGGAUACGCCAAGAAGAGGGACACAUACAUGGAUAACACAAAUCUAGUGACACGUAUAUUCAUCACAAAGGCAAAUCUGAUAAUUUUAUCCAUGGAGCAGACCAAGGAGAAAUUGAUGACGGACAUGUGAUCUCUGUAUUCAGUUGAAAGCUAAUUGAGCUACACUAAUAUGAGCAGGACUAUAUUCAAGAGACUUGUUGAGAGCUACAGGGAACUUGUAAUAAUUUGCUGGGCGGCCUGCGCACAAUGAUUUGUUAUACAUAGUUGAAAUAUUUCAAGAAUUUAUCAACCUCAUACUCUGAAACCCUUGGUGCAAUGUACUCUGCUUUCCGAGGUAGACUGUUCACGUAAAAUGAGGUCAUGCGUAAGACGGAAUCGGAUUGGAUUCACAGGGAAUCAGAUUUGGAUAGCACCUUUUAGCAGGUUUUUAGUCAAAUGCAAAUUCGGAUCCACAUGUGGUUGAAUGCGAGUUCAAAAUUCUACUUGGAUAUCCAUUUAAUUUAGGUGAUAGCAAUUAGCACAAAAUGUUGGAUGAACAAAAUCAUAGUUAGACAUACAAUUACAUGUAUGGUUAAAGUAUAAUACAAUACACCAAGAUUAUUCCUUGAAAAUAUUUCUUAAAAAUAUUAUAAUAAAUGAAUAAAUAUAAUUGUGGCCACCAACAAAUAGUCGGUGGUCGCUAAGUUGGAGCCAUUUCUGGUUACUAAUGCGGCCUUCUCCUCGACCAGCGACGACAGCUGAGCUUGUUCCUUCUGACACUAAAUCAUCAGAGUCUUCCCUCCACUACUAUAGAAUGCACCUUUAGCACCAAUUGGGAAAUCCCCUUCAGUAUUGGAUGCUGCAACCAGUGCUAUAUAUCAAAAUGGAGACUAAAAGCCUCGGUCUUGGGUACCGGUUGCAUAACGCAUUACUAAAGGAGGCAAAAGAGAAAUGUAACAAAAAAAAUAUUUUGAAUUCCAAGAAUGUUUCACUAUUCAAGAUGACUAGCUGAGAGUCAACAGACAAGAUACUAGGAAUGUGGGUGCUUGAAUGCAUUUGUACAGAGGUCAUACUAUUUACAAACUCUUCUAUGUUUCCAUAUGACUACCUACUUCAAUGUCACGCGAGCCAUUCAGCUGGACACAUGGCACACUAGCUUGCAUGUCGAAUCCAUGAUUAAUUAUUUCCACUUGUGAUCUCUUACCAGUAUUUGUCCAGACUAGAAACGUGCAACACAUUUUUAGGAUAUGGACACGCAUAUAUUUGGACUAGUAUACAGGUCACCUUUGGAUGCGUACAAGGAUGACCGGGAGGGACUAGAAAUGGUCUAGUUUUGAUUGGACUACAAAACUUUUUGUACAGUGAAUAGAGAAUAUAUAUUAUUGUUGGAAUACGAGGUAGGCUACACUAUCGCAAUUCUGAUAUUCUACCGCGUAUAACCAAGAAGAACUGUCGUAUAAGGAUCACGGGAUUACCACUCGACGCACUACUGGUGCGGAAGAUGUAGAUAUGCGUCGAUGCAGUGAAGACGAUCACGUAGUCGUAUGUAGUCGAUCAACGUAGUCGUACAUAGUCGAUCACGUCCAGCAGCUCCUCAGCAGCUCGUCCACGUGCAGCAAGAUCGCCUCCGGUACCGCGGCUCGUCGUUGGCUUGUCGUGGCUCGUCGACGGCUCGUCGGCGGCUCGUCCAAGUGCUGCAGGCGCAACACCUCCAAGGUAUCCACACGUGCAGGGAGGAAGCGUCGCAAGCCGGACUGCUAGAUCCACGAGUUGCAACAGGCGAGGGCGUGGGAGGCGCGGCAGGUGUGUUUCGCCAAAAAGGUGUAAACCCUAGGGCGCCCCCACCCCUCUAUUUAUAGAGGUUCCUGACGGGCCUCUGGAUCCGAGGCCCAUUAGUACUUCUAAACCUAAUCCAACUCGGAUCAGAUCCGAAUUGGGCUUCCAGCCCCUUAAGUGUGUGACCCUAUAAGUUCGGAUACGUAUAGACAUGGCCCGAGUACUCCUACUCGGCCCAAUAGUCGGUAGCGGCCUCUAGCAAGACGUGCCAACUCCUAUACGCACACGAAGAUCAUAUCAGACGAACCAUCACAACAUAAUAUACAUGCUAUUCCCUUUGCCUCACGAUAUUUGGUCUAGCUUCAAGCCGACCGCUCUUUCUCAGUCCUGUGAUUCGGAAUCCCUUUGUAGGUUAACUCUUAACCGUACGUAGCAUGGCCAUGCAUUUUCGGAUCUGAUCACUCGAGGGGCCCAGAGAUAUCACUCUCAAUCAGAGAGGGGCAAAUCCCAUCUUGAUUGACCAUGUCUCAUAGCAUGCUUCUUGACAAACCUAAAAACUACCUUUAUAACUUCCCUGUUACGGCGUAGUGUUUGAUAGCUCCUAAGUAGGUCGAUCCACAUCUAGAAUACAUGCGACAAUUUCAGGUCUAAGGACAAAGCGUAUAUGUUGUUUAAAGAGAGAACUACUUCUCGUGUUGGGUCAGUCCCAGCACAUGUCUCCACAUGUGUCCACAUUAUUAGUUCAACAUCUCCAUGUCCAUGACUUGUGAAACAUAGUCAUCAACUAAUACAUGUGCUAGUCUAAUAUUCAUGUGUGUCCUCACAUGAACUCCGACUAGGGACAACUUUAGAAUAACCAUACAAGUAAAGAGUUUCACAUACAAUUCACAUAAUUGCAAAUCAAUUCAAGUAGCCUUCAAUGGAUAUUCAAUGAACACAACAUACAAAUCAUGGAUACAAAUGGAAUAUCAUCAUCUCUAUGAUUGCCUCUAGGGCAUACCUCCAACAGUCUCCCACUUGCACUAGAGUCAAUCUAGAAGGUACCUAAUACCCAUAGCUCUUACAUGCGCAUCAUGCUUAGCCUGCGGGAGUGGUUUUGUCAACGGAUCAGAAAUGUUCAGAUCCGUGUGUAUUUUGCAUAUCUUGAUCUCACCCCGGUUAACGAAGUCUCGAAUGAGAUGAAAUCGCCGCAUUACAUGUUUGUUCUUCUGGUGGUUCCUUGGCUCCUUUGCUUGCGCAAUUGCCCCAUUGUUAUCACAGUAGAGAUUCAAUGGGCUGGACCCAUUCGGGAACACACCAAGCUCAAUGAGGAAAUUCCUUAUCCAAACACCUUCCUUCGCGGCUUCCGAAGCCGCGAUGUACUCGGCUUCUGUCGUAGAAUCGGCCACCGUCUCCUGCUUGGAACUCUUCCAACUAACAGCACCACCAUUUAGCGUGAACACAAAUCCUGUUUGUGACUUUGAAUCAUCUCUGUCGGUUUGGAAACUAGCAUCGGUGUAACCUGUUACAACGAGCUCCUCCUCACCUCCAUAGACGAGGAAUAUAUCUUUAGUCCUUCUCAAGUACUUAAGAAUGUUUUUCACCGCUGUUCAGUGACUCUCACCUGGAUCAGAUUGGUGUCUGCUUGUCAUACUUAGCACAUAUGAAACAUCUGGGCGAGUACUUAUCAUUGCAUACAUGAUAGAUCCAAUAGCCGAGGCAUAUGACACUCUACUCAUGUGAUCCCGCUCAUCAGCAGUCGAAGGACACUGAGUCUUGCUGAGAUGUAUGCCAUGUGACAUAGGCAAGAACCCUUCCAUGCUGAACCGCUUCAACACUUUGUCAAUGUAAGUAUCUUGGCUUAAACCUAUAAGCCUUCUCGAUCUAUCUCUAUAGAUCUUAAUGCCCAGAAUAUAUGCCGCUUCCCCUAAGUCCUUCAUCGAAAAACUAUUUUUCAGUGAAGUCUUUAUGGACUCAAGCAUAGGAAUGUUAUUUCCAAUCAGUAAUAUGUCAUCCACAUAUAAGAUUAGAAAUACUACAGAGCUCCCACUAACCUUCUUGUAAACACAAGACUCUUCUUCGUUCUUGGUGAAGUCAAACCCUUUGACCACUUCAUCAAAACGAAUGUUCCAACUCCUAGAUGCUUGCUUCAAUCAAUAAAUGGAUCUCUGAAGCUUGCAUACCUUUCCAGCAUUUUUCGGAUCGACAAAACCCUUGGACUGUAUCAUAUACACGUCCUCAGUUAGGUUUCCAUUCAGGAAAGCUGUCUUGACAUCCAUCUGCCAUAUCUCAUAAUCGAAAUAUGCAGCCAAACUUGAUUGUCUCCCAUGGACUCUAUUUCGGAUUGCAUGGCAUUCUGCCAUUUUUCGGAGUCUGGGUCCAUCAUUGCUUCUGCAUAUGUCACAGGCUCAUCAUUGUCCAACAAUAAUAUUUCCUGCAUUUCGCGGAGCCUUGCCGACCUUCGUGGUUGUGGCGGUGCUUCUCUUGCCAUGGGUAUCUCAACUUGUUCUGCUACGUUAGCAUCACUCAUUGAUUCUUGCCCGAUCGGCUCAUCUUGAACUUCUUCAAGAUGCACUGUCUUUCCACUCUUUUCUCCUUUGAGAAACUCUUUCUCUAGGAAAACCCCGUUCCGAGCGACAAACACUUUGCCUUCUGAUCAGUUGUAAAAAUAAUAUCCCAAAGUUUCCUUUGGAUAUCCCACGAAAAUGCACUUAUCCGACUUGGGUGCGAUCUUGUCCGACUGAAGUCGCUUGACAAACACAUCACAUCCCCAAAUCUUUAGAAAAGACAAACUAGGAACCUUUCCAGUCCAUAUCUCAUAUGGUGUCUUAACUACGGAUUUAGAUGGUACCCUAUUAAGUGUGAAAGCUGCUGUUUCUAGAGCGUAUCCCCAAAAUGACAACGGUAGGUCCGACUGGCUCAUCAUUGAUCGAACCAUGUCUAACAAAGAUCGAUUACGUCGCUCGGACACACCGUUUCUCUGAGGUGAUCCAGGCGGCGUAAGUUGUGGAACAAUUCCGCAACUCUUUAGAUGAUUGCUAAACUUGUGGCUCAAAUACUCGCCUCCACGAUCAGAUUGUAAGGCCUUAAUUUUCUUGACACGCUAAUUUUCAACUUCAUUCUGAAAAUCCUUGAACUUUUCAAAGGUUUCAGACUUGUGCCUCAUCAAGUAGACAUAGCCAUAUCUACUAAAAUCAUCAGUGAAAGAUAUGAAGUAUUGGAAUCCUCCUCUAGCCGUCGUGCUCAUUGGUCCGCAUACAUCACUAUGUACGAGUUCCAACAAGUCUACUGCUCUCUCAGGAAAUCCUGUGAAAGACGUCUUGGUCAUCUUGCCUAGCAAGCAAGCCUCACAUGUCUCGUAUGAUUCAAAAUCAAACGAAGUUAGAAGUCCAUCAGAAUGGAGCUUCUUCAUGCGUUUUUCACUUAUAUGACCCAAACGACAAUGCCACAAGUAGGUAGGACUCAAAUCAUUAGGCCGAGGCCUUUUAGCACUUACAUUACAGACAGGUGAACCAUCAAGAUUUAAAACAAAUAAUCCAUUCACAAUGGGUGCAAAAGCCAUAAACAUAUUAUUCUUAGAGAUCACACAACCAUUGUUUUCACUCGCAAAUGAAUAACCAUCCUUCAUCAAGCAUGAAGGAGACAAAAUGUUUCGACUUAAACUAGGAACAAAAUAACAAUUAUUCAACUCCAUAAUAAAUGCUGACGGGAGGUGGAGUUGCAUCGUCCCGACGGUCAACGCAGCAACUCUUGCAUUAUUGCCCACGCGGAAAUCAACUUCUCCUCUUUCCACGCUUCUACUUCUUAUCAUUCCCUGCAUCGAAUUGCAAAUAUGAGCAACCGAUCCGGUAUCAAAUACCCAAGAAUUAAUAAUUGUAUCAGCGAGAAAUAUGUUGUCUAUGACAUUAACAACAAGCGUACCUGAGGUAGAAGUACUCUUACUUCCUCCAUUCUUCAACGAAGCUAGGUACUGCUUGCAGUUUCUCUUCCAGUGACCAAGUUCAUGACAGUAAAAGCACUCUUUGUCUGGAGCAGGUCCAGGUCCAGCUUUAACCUUGGGCGCUCGCUGGGUUUGGCUUGGAAAUUCCAGCCUUGCCCUUCUUCUUCCAAGAAUUGCCCUUCUUCUUAAAGCUAGGCUUGUUCUGUAUAGCCAUCACAUGGCUAGUACAAGCGCUUUUCUUGAUGUCUACCUCUGCUGUCUUGAGCAUACCACACAGUUCAUUCAAACCCUUCUCCGUCCCAUGCAUAUGGUAGUUCGAGAUGAAGUUCCCAUAGCUAGGCGGAAGAGAUGAAAGAAUGAAGUCAGUGGCCAACUCUUUGCCCAUUGGGAAGCCCAGCUUCUCCAAUCGCUGAGUGUAACCAACCAUGUUGAUUACAUGUGGUCCUACUGCUGCGUCUUCUGCUAGCUUGCACUCCAGAAAAGCUUUGGACACAUUGAACCUUUCAGUCCUAGCCUGUGUCUGGAACAUGUCCUUGAGCGCCACGAUCAUAUCGUGUGCCUCAUGAUUUGUUUCGAACUGCAUCUGCAGCUCGGGUUCCAUGCAAGCAAGCAUAAGGCAGCUUACCUCAAGAUUAGCAUCAAAUGCCUUCUUGUAAGCAGCCUUAACGGCAGCAGAUGCAUCAUCAGCAGGUACUGGUGGUAGUGGGGUAUCUAGAACAUCUUCCUUUUUAUCGGCCCUGAGAACAAUUCUCAGGUUACGGAUCCAAUCCGAGUAGUUUGUUCCAUUCAACUUGUCCUUCUCAAGGACCGAGCGCAAAGCAAACGAUGUGGUGGUGUUGCUAGGUGCCAUUUAAUCUACAACAAAAGUAAUGCAAAAUACACUAAGACAAACGUAUCCAUGAUAGAGCAAAUUACAUUAAACUAUUUUAACAGAAUCUACUCCCACUAAAAUCAAUAUCCCUCUAUUGAAACUUAGUGAUUCAGGAUCCACAACUAACAAGUCUACUAGUGAGCUUUAGCAUCACCGCUAGCAAACGAGGUAGAUCGGUAAGCAACUUUUGCUAAUCAUAUCACAUAUGACUCCUGUUGUUGGGUGACAUCUCCAUGUCUCGGCGCCCAACCAUUAUGCCCCAAGGUCCUUAACCGUUAAGAUGACCUCGUUAAGCAAACCAACCCUUAUGCGUGUAAGUGUCCGACACAAACCCGUCUAGUCAAGGAAAACUAGUGGCACCCUAAUUUCAUAGACCCACCACUAAUUGUACAAGACAUGGGACGGUGCAAGUUUUAGUUGGGAGGGCAUACUAACUUAAAUUUUUUGUGAGGGAUCGUUCUACUUCUAACAUCACAGCAUGCAGAAAGUAAAACAUAAACAGAAUAGCAUUCACACAGCUGUGACACAGUAUGGCCCGUUUUUAUAUGGUGAUCUCCAUCUCCAUAGAACCUGUUCACCAUGGUGAUCUCCAUCUCCAUGUUCCAUGUGCGCCAUCCUCCUGGUGAGGAGUCCUCCAAGAACUAGAACAUGCUAUUACACCUAAUAGCUAGUAAAGAAUCUAGUAAUGAAGAUUACAUAGUUGCUUGGAUCAUCACAGAUUGGUACGCAGACCAUUAAAUACAAUAAAGUGACAACACAUAUGGCUCCUGCCGUGUUGCCGUACGCGCGACACGCAGGUCACGAAUGAGUUACACACAUGCAUCACAUACACAAGGGGGCCAUACUGAUCACAAGAUACAUACAUACAUCCUGCAAAACAGAGUUAGGCGUCCUAACGUUCCAAACUUCGAAGGCCCGAAACUCCAUCUUCCAAGCCGAAUUUGGGAAAUCUAAUUUUGCCGAAAACGGCAAAGCGGUUGAAUUUCAUGUGUAACUUUUUCUGUAGAUCAAUUUUCAUAUAAAAUUCGCCCCGAUCCGAGAUCGUACCGAAAAGUUACGGCUGAUUUACCGAAGCAUACGCAUACGGCAAAAAUUCCGACCCCGGCAGUAGAUCCCAUCUACUAUUGCACAUCUAAUGCGCCUGGCGUAUGAUCCUGGAUUUCGAUUCGACCAAUCAUAUUGAUCUUCGCUCACUGCAACUGGAAUUACGUGUAUCACUUAACUCGUCGGCGGCUCGUCGGCGGCUCAUCCAAGUGCUGCAGGCCCAACACCUCCAAGGUAUCCACACGUGCAGGGAGGAAGCGUCGCAAACCGGACUGCUAGAUCCGCGAGUUGCAAUAGGCGAGGGCGUGGGAGGCGCCGCAGGUGUGUUUCGCCAAAAAGAUGUAAACCCUAGGGCGCCCCCACCCCUCUAUUUAUAGAGGUUCCUGACGGGCCUCUGGAUCCGAGGCCCAUUAGUACUUCUAAACCUAAUCCAACUCGGAUCAGAUCCGAAUUGGGCUUCCAGCCCCUUAAGUGUGUGACCCUAUGGGUUCGGAUACGUAUAGACAUGGCCCGAGUACUCCUACUCGGCCCAAUAGUCGGUAGCGGCCUCUAGCAAGACGUGCCAACUCCUAUACACACACGAAGAUCAUAUCAGAUGAACCAUCACAACAUAAUAUACAUGCUAUUCCCUUUGCCUCACGAUAUUUGGUCUAGCUUCAAGCCGACCGCUCUUUCUCAAUCCUGUGAUUCGGAAUCCCUUUGUAGGUUAACUCUUAACCGUACGUAGCAUGGCCAUGCAUUUUCGGAUCCGAUCACUCGAGGGGCCCAGAGAUAUCACUCUCAAUCAGAGAGGGGCAAAUCCCAUCUUGAUUGACCAUGUCUCAUAGCAUGCUUCUUGACAAACCCGAAAACUACCUUUAUAACUACCCUGUUACGGCGUAGCAUUUGAUAGCCCCUAAGUAGGUCGAUCCACAUCUAGAAUACAUGCGACAAUCUCAGGUCUAAGGACAAAGCGUAUAUGUUGUUUAAAGAGAGAACUACUUCUCGUGUUGGGUCAGUCCCAGCACAUGUCUCCACAUGUGUCCACAUUAUUAGUUCAACAUCUCCAUGUCCAUGACUUGUGAAACAUAGUCAUCAACUAAUACAUGUGCUAGUCUAAUAUUCAUGUGUGUCCUCACAUGAACUCCGACUAGGGACAACUUUAGAAUAACCAUACAAGUAAAGAGUUUCACAUACAAUUCACAUAAUUGCAAAUCAAUUCAAGUAGCCUUCAAUGGAUAUUCAAUGAACACAACAUACAAAUCAUGGAUACAAAUGGAAUAUCAUCAUCUCUAUGAUUGCCUCUAGGGCAUACCUCCAACAAUUAUUUCAUGUAAAUUUUUGACAAUUUUUUAAAAUUGUUUGAUAUUUUUUAAAUUUUUUUUAAAAUAACUUUGCCGAGUGUCCUAUUGUAGACACUCGGCAAAGCAGCCUUCACCGAGUGUUACCCCUGGGACACUCGGCGAAUUAAUGCCCGGCCGCUCAAGAAUAUGUGCCCGGCCCCCUCACUCUCCCGGCCCCCCUCACUCUCACUCCCCUCACUCCCUCCUCUCUCCCUCCUCUCUCCCUCUCGCCGCCGCCCGAAACCCCCGCCGCCGCCCGCCGCCCGGCAUGCCGCCCAGCGCCCCCCGCCGCCGCCCGGCGCUCCCGAAUCCGCCGCCGCCCGCCCGGCGCCCGGCCCCCGGAUCCGCCGCCGCCGGCCGCCCGGCGCCCCCGGAUUCGCCGCCGCCCGCCCGGCCCCCGGCCCCCGGAUCAGCCGCCGCCCGCCGCCCGGCGCACGGCGCCCCCGGAUCCGCCGCCGCCUGCCCGGCGCCCGGCCCCUGGCCCCCUGAUCCGCCGCCGCCCGCCCGGAUCCGCCGCCGCCCGCCCGGCGCCCGGCCCCCGGCCCCCGGAUCCACCGCCGCCCCCCCGGCCCCCGGAUCCGCCGCCCGCCCGUCCCCUCCACCGGAUCCGCCGGCGCCGGGGCCUGAAGAGAAGAGAAGAGGAGAGGAUGGUGGCGGCGGCGGCCGCGGCGGCGGAGCAGGUGGCAGAGCAUGCAUGAUUUUUUUUUAUUUUUUCAAUAAUUGUUCGCCAAGUGUUUUCUGGGCACUCGGCAAAGUCUUUGCCGAGUGCCCGACACAAAACACUCGGCGAACCAGUGUUUGCCGUCAAGAUUUUUGCCGUGUGUCGUUUGCCGAGUGUUACACUCGGCAAACGCUUUGUCGAGUGUUUUUGGGGUUUCGCGGAGUGACCCUGGCACUCGGCAUCACGCAUGUUUCCCUUAGUGAACUUGAAAUUAUCUGUACAUUCUCGGUGAAGCUGUUGAACUAAUUUUUGCAAAUUAUUAAUUCAUCUCAUUACGCAAAGAAAAAAGUAAGUGGAUAAGAUAUUUCGUGGACCACAUCACUGCAAACAUGUCAUGGAGAGACAGACCAAGGAGGCAGGACGUGAUACACGACUUACCCUAGGUUGCCGUGGAACCGCCAAGAAGAGAUACAGAUACAUGGACCACACCAUCUUGGGAGUAGUGACAGCAUAUAUGCAGAAGAAUACCCCGUGCCUAUUUGCAUGCAUGUCUCAAGUGAUCUGUUUUCUUCAGAAAAUACAUGAGCAUUGCCAGAAAGAAUGGCAAGAGACAAACAUGUCAUAGAGACUUGCAUGUCUUGCCUUGGAUACGCCAAGAAGAGGGACACAUACAUGGAUAACACAAAUCUAGUGACACGUAUAUUCAUCACAAAGGCAAAUCUGAUAAUUUUAUCCAUGGAGCAGACCAAGGAGAAAUUGAUGACGGACAUGUGAUCUCUGUAUUCAGUUGAAAGCUAAUUGAGCUACACUAAUAUGAGCAGGACUAUAUUCAAGAGACUUGUUGAGAGCUACAGGGAACUUGUAAUAAUUUGCUGGGCGGCCUGCGCACAAUGAUUUGUUAUACAUAGUUGAAAUAUUUCAAGAAUUUAUCAACCUCAUACUCUGAAACCCUUGGUGCAAUGUACUCUGCUUUCCGAGGUAGACUGUUCACGUAAAAUGAGGUCAUGCGUAAGACGGAAUCGGAUUGGAUUCACAGGGAAUCAGAUUUGGAUAGCACCUUUUAGCAGGUUUUUAGUCAAAUGCAAAUUCGGAUCCACAUGUGGUUGAAUGCGAGUUCAAAAUUCUACUUGGAUAUCCAUUUAAUUUAGGUGAUAGCAAUUAGCACAAAAUGUUGGAUGAACAAAAUCAUAGUUAGACAUACAAUUACAUGUAUGGUUAAAGUAUAAUACAAUACACCAAGAUUAUUCCUUGAAAAUAUUUCUUAAAAAUAUUAUAAUAAAUGAAUAAAUAUAAUUGUGGCCACCAACAAAUAGUCGGUGGUCGCUAAGUUGGAGCCAUUUCUGGUUACUAAUGCGGCCUUCUCCUCGACCAGCGACGACAGCUGAGCUUGUUCCUUCUGACACUAAAUCAUCAGAGUCUUCCCUCCACUACUAUAGAAUGCACCUUUAGCACCAAUUGGGAAAUCCCCUUCAGUAUUGGAUGCUGCAACCAGUGCUAUAUAUCAAAAUGGAGACUAAAAGCCUCGGUCUUGGGUACCGGUUGCAUAACGCAUUACUAAAGGAGGCAAAAGAGAAAUGUAACAAAAAAAAUAUUUUGAAUUCCAAGAAUGUUUCACUAUUCAAGAUGACUAGCUGAGAGUCAACAGACAAGAUACUAGGAAUGUGGGUGCUUGAAUGCAUUUGUACAGAGGUCAUACUAUUUACAAACUCUUCUAUGUUUCCAUAUGACUACCUACUUCAAUGUCACGCGAGCCAUUCAGCUGGACACAUGGCACACUAGCUUGCAUGUCGAAUCCAUGAUUAAUUAUUUGCACUUGUGAUCUCUUACCAGUAUUUGUCCAGACUAGAAACGUGCAACACAUUUUUAGGAUAUGGACACGCAUAUAUUUGGACUAGUAUACAGGUCACCUUUGGAUGCGUACAAGGAUGACCGGGAGGGACUAAUGGAUACAAGGAAGGGACCAUCAGGAUUAAUAUUGACAUAUGCCACAUGACAAUCUUCAUUGUCAUGCAAUCCCUAUCAACAAUCAUGGAAUCCCUAGUGUACUAAUCCCUGGAGGGUUGUGUGGAAAUUUAUUUUACCUUGCGGUGAAAAUCUCAUGAGCAGUCAUUAGUUAAGCUGACUAGCUGAGAUAUAAUAGACAAGCUAGUAAGAUUGGGAGCAUCAAUGCAUCCAUACAGGGUCACAAUAUCCUUUCCAUUCACUUUUAUAUAUAACCCUACGAAUACAAGUCCAACGAAAUGCGGGCCUUUCGAUCAAGAUAAAUUAAAUGGCCCACUUGUAUUUCUAAUCCAGGAUUAACUAUGCCCUCUGUUCAUCUCUUGCAAGCACGUGCAACACAUUUUCACGAUAUGGACAUGCAUGGAGGUUAUUAUACUGUUUGGACAAACUCUGAUGUGCCAUGACCUAAAUGCUUAGGGCCUGUUUGGUUUGAGUUGCUUAUUAUAAGCAACUUAAAGUUGCUUAAAGUUGCUUAUUUGAAGUUGCUUAUUUUUAGUCUAAACUGUUUGGAUACCCUUGCUUAUGAGCAUUGAAUGAGUUGGACAUUGUCAAAUUUGCCCCAUGUGUUGCUACCCCUCCAAUUUGCCUCCCCACCCUUCUUCUUCCUGCACACGUCCGAUCCCGGGGGCCGACGGCGGGCAGGGAGCAGCAGCAGCUGGCCAGGGCGGCGGUGGGGCGGGAGCGGCGGCGCACACCAGCACGCGCUCGCACGCCAGGUGCUAGGGCGCGGCGAGGCAGUCGUCGUAGCCCACCGGGAGCGGGUGCUCGGGCGCGAGGCGGUACUCGACGGAGAUGCCGAGCGUCGGGCGCGCGGCGGCGAGCGCGUUGAGGAAGCGAUGGUAGUGCGGCGACGUCGCGGACUCCGCCACGAAGCCGCCGCCGUGGACGUACACCACCACGGGCAGCUUCGUCUUGCCGUCGGCGGCCGCGGCCGCGGCCUGGGGUGGCAGGUAGAGGCGGACGGAGCAGGAGCCGAGGUCGACGUCCCUGGAGUCGACGCCCGUGGCGGCGUCCAGGCUAGGCCCGACCGGCGGCGGCACGAGCGGGCGCUCGAUGCGGCCGCUCUUGUAAAUCCGACGGGUCUGUGCGGAGGCGGGCGGCGGGCGGGAGCGGCGGGUGGGAGCGGCGGCAGGUGGUGCGGAGGCCGGCGGCGGCGGGUGGCGCGGAGGAAGGGGAGCUGGUGAGUGGUGACAGGGGAGGGGGGGAGAGAGAGGGGGGGGUAGGGUGCAUUGAAUGAGGGCAGGAGGUGUAAAGUGCACCUUUUAGUCCCCAUGAGCAACCAUAAGCAGCCCAAGAGUUGCUUAUUUGCUUAUAAUAAGCAACCUCAUAAGCAAGAGUGAUUGGUUUCAUAAGCAACUUAUUUGCUUAUUUUAAGUUGCUUAUGCAUAAGCAUGUGAAACCAAGCAGGUCCUUAACCUAUGGUUGUGGCACCACACAGUACAUAGUAUUUAAUAAUGCUAUUCGUUUGGUAUGUGCACAAGGGCACGCAUGAAAUGUCUGGCCCACGGUAAACAAGUACGGACGCUGCAAAUAAUCUACUCUGCUCGUCCAGUCCCUAGCCUAUAAAUAGAUGCCAUGCUAGCUCUUGUUGUGCUCACAAUUAAUCCUGACUACACACGAGCUUCUCUCCCUGGCCAAGACACAAUCAUAGUAUGAUGAAGAACAUGGCACUAGCCGGCAAUGGUAUGAAGAACUUAAUCCUCGCUGUUCUCUUACUGUGUCUAGUUAUAGGGCAGAUACAAGUGGAAGCUAAGAGCUGCUGCCCAUCCAUUACUGCAAGAAAUAUCUACAAUGCCUGCCGUAUCACGGGUACAUCCCGUCCAACGUGUGCAAAACUGUCAGGCUGCAAAAUUAUCAGCGGGGACAAAUGCAAGCCCCCUAACGACCACCUCACCCUUGACCCGGACACUGGUAAAUAAUAAAUUUAUCUCACUUGAUUUCUUCGUGUUUUGAGUCGUUAAUGUAUUUUCCAUCUGAUGAAACGUAUUGGUUUUGCAUUGAAGAGGAAGUUAAUGUGCUUAACUUCUGCAAGUUGGGGUGUGCGUCGUCUGUGUGCAACAACAUCAACGCUGGUAAGCACCUUUUGCUCAGACGGAGAAAACAAUAAUCAUUAAUUAGCGGCAGCUAGAAUCCUAUAAUCUAAUAUAUUUAUAUAUAUAUAUAAUUUUAUCAGCUCUGGGAAAUGAAGAGGCGAACGAUGCCGUUGAGAGUUGCGACCAAGCCUGCUCUAGCUUCUGCAACGUGCACGUUGGCGCUGCCACCGUGGUUGCUUAAGCAAAUGCAUCCAACUGGAUCGUCCUUGUGCUAAAUAAUUGGAUAUCGUAUCCACUUAAAGCUGCCUUGUGUAGUACGUUUUUGUUUGUGUCUCUCUUUAUAUUCCAAUAAGGUCGGUGAUCUUGAUGCCACACACUCAGACGUGUGUUCAUCUCCAGAUACUACUCCAUGCUACCUGCCCUUUGUGUUUUGUUCAAUAACUGGGUAUCAUAUCCCAGCCAGUGUGCCAUCUGUUUUGUGUUUAUUUCCUUCUAGUUUCAAAGGGGUUAUCAUGAUGUUACCUUCUUUCGAUAUGGUGCUUUGCAUGACUACUGUUGUAUGGUACCAUCUUGUUGGCCAAUAAAUACAUCUUAUCCUAUGACCCUUUGCUAUGACCCUUUGCAAAUAAGUACAAGAUUGUUAAAUACUCGGUAUAAAUUGACUACUGCUGUGAGUUCCCUUUCAGCUUAUCGUAGGCAUACAUUAUUGCUAGCACGGUGAAGACAACCAACACGAAUGGUCAAGUAAACGUACCG
RNAcentral lists this long non-coding RNA (144584 nucleotides) under Setaria viridis. RNAcentral describes it as "long non-coding RNA (SVIR_LNC007217)". Lineage: Eukaryota; Viridiplantae; Streptophyta; Magnoliopsida; Poales; Poaceae. The record is from RNAcentral.